AAUGCAUGAGUGCGAUACAAUACUCUUCAUCUCUACCCGUUAAUUCAUAUAAUAAAACACGCGGACCUGCACAUCGCAUACCAUGCAUUUUACCUCUACAGUAGUGGUUCGAAUGUUCUAAUAUACAAAUUAACCCCCUGUAACUCAAUCAUCCCAAUUUCCCUUUUUGUUAGUCAUAUUGCCAAAACCUUCGUCGCCAGUCCCGAAUUACCCUUAAAGAAUUUGUGUAUUGUGGGCUCGCCUGAGACCUAGUACCUGCUAAGAGUUUGGCUAAACUACACAAAGGAUCAUUUCCAACUACCCUCAUUUCCAGUUCCUUUCUCAACAUCGAACUUCCAACUAUUCUCAUACAUGAGUAAUGCACAAAUAAUCUCAUUUCAUCAUUCACAUGUACCACAACAUAUUCUCAGCGAAUAGCAUUUCACCAAUAAUUCUAUAACCAAUAACAAAUAAACACACAAGAGCAGUAUUUGUCCAAUUAGUAAACCAGAUCACAUUAAUCAACCAACAAGAUCAAUAACAAUAAUAAUAUAAUGUUUCACGAAAUUUAAUAAAGCCAGUCUCCGUAAAGGUCUGCCAUAUUUCCCCUACCUGGAUUCCAAAGCAUAGCUCCGAGAUAAUAACACAAAGAAGUAUAAGAAAAUCACUAUAUGCAAGACAAGAACUUUAAUCCCAGUCAAAGCACUUGAGAUUACUAACUUAACAACACCCAUUUCAAAUACCCUUUUGAUUGAUCUAAAAUAAUGACAUGGUCAUAAGAGAACAUUUGAAUGAGUACAACUUGCAGAAAAAGGGACAGGUGAAAUACAAAUAUAAAUAUGCAUGCUGUCUUCUUGGUGUAUAAGCUGGGAACAUAACUUUAGCCAAUAAUUAAAUAAAGUCUUACAUAUGAUUAAUGAAUAAGUAAACUAAACCACAUAUAUAAGCAAAUUACCAAAUGUAUGACAUGAACUCUAAUCCUAAUUAACAUAUUUAAGUUUAGCGAUUCCGCAAUACUAAUUCACAAGUUAUUAUAUAUACAUCAACUCCAAACACAUGCUUUACUUGAUACAGUUGAAACUAUACCUAUGAACAUAUGCGGAUAGUUCCAUGCCGAGAAAGCUAGCUUGGUUUACUCUGGCUUGUGCAAAGUUAUAUGCAUGAAUACCAGCAUAUACGUAAAUAGUUUCUCUCAAAACCAAUAAGAAAGAUAUAUGUGCGAAUUAAUAUGCUCAAGUCCUCUUUUAUACAACAACCUCUAAUAAAGGGAAGAUAUAAUAUUUAGCAUGUGAUAAUUAUAUAUAGGCUCAAUCUUAUCACUUUUGUGUAGGUAAGAUGAUCUCCAAUUGUAAAGUCUGAUAGCCAAACGUCUAUGCAGAUAUACUUACAUAUAUACUACAAACCAACAGAGAUGAAACACGACUGAGUUGUACAAUAUAUAGAGCUAUGGAAAGACUAAAAAAUAUGAGAAUCAUUACCCAUAUUUACCCUGCUACAGAUUUGACACCGCCGAUUAAGAAGCACCUCAGCUUCCGGUUUCUUACACCCUUCUCUUUCUCUCACUCUCUUUUCCUCGUAAGAUACUAAUGUCCAAAACGAAAUGCAAGUGUAGCUCCCUAUUUAUAGUCAGAGAAGGCAGCAACUUCUUAGAGUGCUGAACAAGCACUUAGAGCACCUUGCUGGCAACACCCCAGCCACCCUUAUCCAUAUAUUUCUUUGGCCAUCUAUAAACUUCACACGUCCAGCUUGAAAGAGUGCUUAGCAAGCACCACUAAUGGCUGCCUUAGAAAUUGAGACACCUCAUAAGACAAAUAAAAUAUAAACUAGUAAAAAGAAUAUAAACCAUUACAAAAUUAAAAUGAAUAAUUUAAAAAUAUAGUUUUUAAGUCAAAUAAUACUGAAAAAGUCUAUUAGACUUAUUUGAUCAAAAUAAAUAUUUUUUUUAUAUAAAUAUAAAAUACAGGUCUUCACAACCUUCAAUUCCUUAGUUUCUGGUAAGAGUGUGCUAAUAACGUGUUGUAGGCAUAUUUGACUGAACUAUAUUUAGGACUAGAAAAGGGAGAGAGGCCGGUGGCAAGAAAGAGAGAAGAGAAAAAUUUAAUUGUGAGGUGUGUGUUGUAUCACCACAUUGUGCCUUUAUUUAUAGCAAUAUGAUAGAUUAAAUCCUUACCCUAAUAGGAUUACAACUAUAAUAGGAUAAUAACUACUAAAGGGAAUAUUCAGAGGUAUCACUAAAUACACUAGGAUUUACACAACACAUUCCUAUUCUAAAUAUGAUUGCAAUAUUAUUCAAUUUUUUUUAACAAACAAUAUUAUCUACACUAAGAGGGAGCAUGUGGGCUUAGCCUCAUAAUGGGCUAGCAAUAAUGUGGUUCAAAAUCGUUUUUAGUGAGAAUCGAACCUAAGAUGUCUAAUUUACAAGUGAAGAGGAAUACCACUAGACCGUAGUACUAAGUGACGUUAUUCAAAAUUUAAAAUAGAAUUCUCAGUCAAGUAUUGAAUUGUCCUUAUGAAAAAGAUUCGCGAUUGUAUUUUUUUUCUUUUCAUUAGAAAACAAAAUUAGGGGAAGGGAGGUUAUUCCAUUCCAAGACUAGAGCGUAUCACAAGAUUUUUUAAGGAUUCACAGAGGGGGCUUCAGUCUUUUUUUUAUUUAUUUAUAAAUUAUAUAGAUUUCACGCAAGAGGGAUUGUCGGCAACAGGACUCGAACCUAAGUCUUGAUCUAUUAAAGAAAAAUAUCUUUAUCAACUCAAAUAAUUCUGAAUAAAAUUUGUGUUUAUAUCUUACAUUUGAUAACUAUUUCAAUUUUUCGUUUCAUGUGCAAGUGAAAUUUCACUUGGUGGUCAAAUUGUGAAUUCGAGGUCAUAAUGAAUGGGCAAGUGAUAAAUAGCAUGUAGCAUGUUGAUAAAAAACAAAUCGAAGGUAUGAUGAAUUUUUGGUUGGCAAACGAAAAUUAAAAUUGAAAUUGGUUUUACACAGAUUUCAAAGAUUGCAUUGAUUUUGAAAUUGAGAAAUGUUAAGGAGAGUUUCUCGAACUCUCCGUCACCUUAUGUUUUUAAUUGGGUUCUUUAGAAAAUGGCCCUUGAAACUCUUAUUUUCCAAACAAAAACCCACCUAAUAUUAAAUAUCCAAAUAAAACCCAAAUUUCAAAUAGAGUACCAUGUAGACAAAUAUGUAACCAAUUAUUAUCACAUAUUUACAACUUAUGCCACAAAACCCUAAUUAUGUCAAUAAAUAUUAUUACUUACCCUAAUUAUGAUUAGUAAUUAACCCCAUAUGGAAAAUUUCACCUUUCUUGUAUGGUAAAUAUUAGGAAUAUUAUAAUAUAUAUAUAUAUAUAUAUAUAUAUAUAUAUAUUAUAUGUAUUAAUUUAACCAUGUUCAUAAACAAUUAUGGGCACAUUUUUCAUAUGAAAAAAAAAAUCCUUGUACAAUCAGUUAUUUUGCAUCAAAUAAUAUUGUUGGAUAAAAAACAAUAAAAAACCAAUUAAUAUUCUUUUAUGUUGUAGGUAAAUUAUUUUACCUAGAUUAUUACAUACGUUAGGCAUAUUUUGUUUGUUAUCAUAUAUGCUUGUUAAAAAUAAUUUAUCUAUAUUUGUAUGUAAAAUAUAAGUAAAUUAAUUUUGAAUCAAAUAGCAUUUAUUUUGUAGGUAAAUUAAAAUAGUAGUUCCAUUAUUUUGGUAAAGUUAAACAGUGCCUAAAUUAUUUCGUAAGAAUUAAACCAAGACAAAUUAUCUCUACUAAAAUAAAACAGUAGAUAUUCGACAAAAAAUAAAUAAAAAAUAAAACAGUAGAUACAUUAUUUUCUUAUAAGAUUAAACAAUAGGUAAAUUAUAUUGUAGGUACAUUAUGUUUGUAAUAUAAAAAAAAGAAAUUGAAAUUUAUAAACAAAAAGUAGUAGAUAUAUUAUUUUUUAAUCAAAUUUCCUUUAUUUGUAGGUGAAUUAUUUCAUCAUAUAUUUUUCAUUUUAUGCAUUAUUAUAUAUAUUGGGCACAUUUUACUACUAAUAUAUAUGUGUGCAAUAAUUUACCUAUAUUAUUAUAUAAAAUAUAGAUAAAUUUAUUUUGAAAUCAAAUAACAUUUUUUAUAUUACAAACAUAAUGUACCUACAAUAUAAUUUACUGGAUAUCCGAUCCCGUCCUACACCUAUUAGGACUAUGAACCUAGUCCUUAGCUAUUAGGACUAUGAACCUAGUCCUUAGCUAUUAGGACUAUGAACCUAGUCCUUAGCUAAGCUGGAUUAAUUUCCUGGAUAUCCGAUCCCGUCGAGACUCCCCAUUGCACUAGGAUUCGUCUUAACCGCCCUAGGUUUGGACUCCCACGGGUUGACCGAUCCAUGGUCCUUUUGCCGCCCGGCCUCCUGGGCCGAGAGUGAUCCUACCCUCGGCCCAAACUAUUAUUUUGGGCCCAAACACAUCCAUACAUAACAAUUGGUGUGGUAUAUUCAUAUCACAACAUAAUGAACAGUAAGAACUAGCAUUCUUGAGACUAGAACUCGUAGGGAUAAAAAUAGAUUACGGAUAGAAUCAAAUUUGCGAAUACAAUCUCCUUAGAAAGAAAAUCAUGUCUCAUAUUAGCCUGCUUUGGUUUCCUUGCGAAACUUUUGUUAUCGGGCUAGCAUACACUCUAUAUGUUUCUAGUGAUUCACAUGAUAUUAUCAAAUGAAAGUCUUGGAUAAGAAUUUAUAACGCACUAUGACGUUCUUGUUGACGAUCCUUUACUCCGAUAGCAUCUAGAGUUCAUCUCUUUGAAAUUGCUUUCGUUUUUCAAAAACCAACGGGGAAAUUCAGUUUUCAAAUCAUAAUUGUCACAAAAAUAAAUGUUUUCGUUCAGGAUUGUGGGUGACUUGUAAUACCAAAUCAUGUUAUGUGCCAGCGUAGAGUUUUACGUGGAGGUAAAACUAUAGUCCCAAUAUAUUUUCAUAUAGCUUUUAUUAAAGAACGAGAUCCACGUGACUUUUGGCAUCACCUAUUCUUCCUAGUCCCUAAAUUAUAGACCAUUAUUUAUUUAUGAUUGUGACAGUUUGUCACGAAUCAUUACGCUCGUACAAGGUUCUUACUCUCAUUAUUAAUGAGAGACUUAUUUUCUACACAUCUUUUUAUAUGUGGUGAAUUUUCAAGCUUAGUACGUAGAGCACGUGUAGCUUUUAGAAUUCACAUGACAACUUGCUCUAAUACUAUGAAAAAAGUUGAGGUUCCACCAUAAAAUCUAUUGGUAUAGAGAGUAUGCCAACUUACUUAUAAAUUCAUGCAAAGUCUCUCCUAUCAAUAUGAGAUUUAUUCUUAAUAAGAAUAAAACACUAGCACUACGGUGUAUUGAUAUUGUUCUGCAACUUGUAAGUGAUGAGUCUCAUAUUCAACUUCUACAAAUGAUGAAUCUAAUAUCUUAUUCUUGUGGCUAGUAGUGCGCGUCUUAUCUCAAUUCUCACACUAGCACUAUAGUCAGGUGAAGUUAUUCUCCAACUAUAUGUAAGGUGAACUUUAACUCUUAUAAACUAUAAAUUCAAAGGAAAAUUAAUGAAAAUGCUUGAAAACUUAUAGUUUUAACGAUAAGGAUAAAAUAAAUGGUAAAAUGAAUAGUACUAUGAUUGAUUUUUAAGUAUAAUAAUAUAAUUUUUUAUUAAAGUAAACAAUACCAAGAACUUUUCGAUAAAGUUUUCUAAAUUCAAUACCUAAUUACUAUGAUUAGUUAGCGUGCGACUUAGAACAUCCUUCUAGAGAAAAAGUAGAUAAUAAAAUUUUCUCCAGCAAACUUAUUCAAACUCUCUGACCCCAUCUUAUUUGCUUCACCAACUUAAAAAACCUGACUUAAUUAUUAGGCACAAUGUAUCAACUGACCAAUCGUCCACUUGUUGCGUAAGAACAAAACCACCAAUAUCAGUUUGUCAACCGUUUGGAUUUGAGAAUCAAAUUAGUAUUUAAUUAAUGAAGUAAUUAAGUUUACAAUAGUACCUGCAUAAUCCUAAAUCCUUGCGUACACUUCCGGAUUACAAUGUAUUAGUUCGUUCAGAUCAUAUUCUUAUAGGAGUCCUGGGUUGAUAUGUAAUUUAAUUUCUAAUUUACUCAAAAGGAACGAGUAAGAUGUGAUGUAGAAUAGAAGGUUGAGAGAAUCGAAGAACAAUUAAAAAUGCGUAAGGCCCAAACACUACAAAUUUAGACUUCAAAUUUUUAUUUGUGCCCAUAAUCUAUCGUUUCAAAGACAAUGGCGAGGUGAACAAGACACAAUGCUCGACGUAUGAAUAUUUUUGGCCAAAUUCCUUUGUUUACUAGCCUCAAACGAGAUUUUACAAUUUUUUGGACCCUUAUGUAAUUUGGUUUUCCCAUUUUUACUCUAAGAGCAACUUCACCGCUAAACAAACCCUAGGCAAUAGGCAACUCAAUCUCCCAAAGUGAACAACAACUGUCCUUAGUGAACCGUAACUGUCCAAGUGUAUCUCCACUCCUAAAUUGAAUAGCCCAGGCUAUUGGAAUUAAAAUAUUUGUUUAUAAAAUAAUAAAAGAUAAUUUUGUUUUUAAUUUUGGACGUUUAACCAAAUCUCGGUGGAAGAGCAAUGUUAGGUAUUUAUAGAACUAUAAAUUUUUUUGUUAACCUUUUCAAUAUUUUUAAUAAAUUUUCUGUAUUUUUUUAAUAAUUUGUAUCUAACCUAAUUAAUAUGGACCAUUUGAUUACAUUGUAUGAUUAAUCCAAAAGCCCAAUUUAGACACGUAAUUUCAACGGUAAUAAUAGGAUUUUCUCUUUUUAAUUUUUUUUUAAGCUCGAAAAAUUUGGACCAAUAUCUAACAGACCAGAUUCCGCCACGUGGACAAGCCGUUAUUUCGAAUCCAAAUUUUUUUAACCAUAAGAAAUCCAAUGGCCGAGAAAUUUAACGGUUGAAAAUCCGACGGUAAAGGUGCCGUAGCCCCUAAUUCUAAAGCACUGGGUGCGCCUGCAGCGCGAGCCCGCCCGAUUUCUUGUCGGCUCACCCACCGAUUGUUGCACGUGUAGUUCGCGAGCCCAGCACAUAAAAAAAGAAGGCUAAUAUGGCUGACGUCACUCUAUCCAGUCGUUGGGCCUGGAGAUUGAUAUGGGCCGGAGUUGCUCUAAAAACGUUUUAAGGCUAAGGGGCACUUUAAAAGUAACAAAUUCAACAUGUGGAGGGUCAUCAUUGCAAAUGAUUGUUACUUGGCCACAAAUGAGGCUUUUGUACCAAAGUUUCAAACUCUAAAGAAAAUGGAAUGAAAUUGUUGCCACGUGGCACGUCACUAGCUAGGUGGUUCAUAAAACUAAAGUCACGGCAGGUAAUGGGAUAACGAUUAGAAAAUUGCCUUUUGAAAUUGUUGCCACGUGGCACGUCACUAGCUGGCUUGGUGGGUCGCCAUUGCCUUUUGAAAAUUGCGCAUAAGGAUUUCAGACUGGUGAAGAAUUUGGGCGCGUUUGCCGUUCGAAAUCCAGUUGAUUGAUGGAGAAGGAAGGAAUUGGAUUCCAUUCAAAUUUACUUUAUAUAGGAAUUUUAAGAAUCCUUACAUUUUAAUCAUUCAUCGUAUAUCGAGAAGAUUAGAAAAUAUUUUACUUUUUUAUUUAAAAUUCAGCAUAAAUAAUAUCUGAUAAAAAUUAACUGUACAAUGUACGAUAACCGUUAAAAUGUGGAGAUUUUAUUUUCGAGAAGGGAGGGCCCAACGCAACGCACGCUUACCCUGACAGCGCAAUAUUCCAAUUUCUUCCUCAACUGCCUCUCUUUUUUCCAUUUAUUUAUUUAUUUUAAAUUCAUAAUGUUCUCUUGCUGUCUCUACUAACGUAAGCCGCAUGGUUGGUUUUUGUAAUCUCACGAUAUUCUACUCCCAUUUCACCUAGUCUCGAGAAGAACUCACAUCUAUUAACGCAUGUGCGAGCGAUCGCCAGUAAUAUUUGCCGGUAACAUAUUGCCUUAACAAAAAUCUCCUCAAGUACGUUGGAAUUAGAAAUUAAGGCAGACUAAAAUGCACCGGUUCUAAUUAUUUUCGUAACAAAAAAACCGAUAAAUGAAAAACUAAUUUGUCUUAAAAUCUUGAUUAUCAUCUCACACGUUAUCGGUUCAUUUUAGAGAUGAAAAUGCUAUUUACUCUUCGAAAAAUAAUAAUUAAUUUUUUCGCUUAAUCGCAAAUAAAUAAAAUAAAAUAAAAUACACAUGUUUUUAGACAAACAAUGAAUACCAGACAGCGAUUCUCUCUCCUCUCAUCUCACUCUCUUGUUUCCAGUUUCCACGCCCAGUUUUCCAUCCUGUCACGAUUUCCCCAAAAUUCAUUUUUCUGCAAUUUUUUGCUGUUAUUAUUUUUGAGUAAAUAAAGUUUCGAUUUUUUACCCAAGGAGUAAGACCGUGGAGGAUUGCAGUUAGGGUUUCGUCGUUAAACCUCCUGCAAAUCUCGUUCGGAGGCGACAGAAGCUGUGGAGUGUUUCGGAAUCGUAGAAAGGGGGAAGGUUAGGUUUUCUUGCGGACUCGAUUUGGGAGGGGUUAGUCUCUGGCGACAAUGGCCAGCAACUUGCCGAUGAGCCCGCAGUUGGAGCAGAUCCAUGGCGAAAUCCACGACAAUUUUCGAGCCCUCGCGUAUGUCUCUGUAUUUUCGAGUUAGCAUUUCGAUUUUCAUCGGUUACUGAAUAAAUUUCAGAGCUUUGAUAUUUCUUCAAGUGUUUGAAUUUUAUGAGCAUUGUUGAUUGUGUGAAUUCGAUGAUUUCUGAGAGUCCUAGAAUGUUUGACAUUUGACGAAAGAAAUUAGAGGGAUGGGAAAAUCAAUUUGCUUGUUUUGUAAUUCGUUUGUGUAUUCUUACGAAAUUUAGUUAGAUUGAUGACCGUAAACUGUAGUUGAGCAUUAUUGAUUUACCGUAGAUUCAGUUGCUAAGGCGAUUCGAAGAGGAUAUGUGCUUCCUCAGCUGUUCCAAUAAUACUCAACCUCUUUUCGAUGUUUUCGGGAGUGUUGAGUAACAUUGUUUCUCUUUGGAAACUUAAAGUGGGUGUCUUUUGGAUAACACAAAUAAAUUUACUAGCUUUCAAGACUCGAGUUGCUCUAUCGAUUUUGCACAUUGAUGCAUAAAGCAUUGGCAUUGGUUAUGCGAGGGAACCAAAUACUGAAGUGAAAAAAUUUAUUUUGGCCAUGCUCUUGAUGAUUCAUUACUACUCCCGUGCUACCUAGAGGGCAAUAAUGUUAUUGCUUCCACAGCCGCUUAAAUUUUUUUUGGCAUCCAUACUUGAAACCCGAGGGCAGCAACAACCAUGAUAUACUAUCUGGAAACUGAUGGAUAAUGAGGGAGAUAUUAGUCAAAUAGUAGCCAUUGCUUAGUAUUUGUUCUUUAUUAGAGUCUCAUUUAGCUUCCACUUGUUUAGGUGGUUGCUGAAACCAGAUGCCAUUGUUGUAUCACAGUUCUUCACUGCCUCCGUCGGACCCAGUGUACUCUUUAUUAUCACUAACCAUCGUGAUUGUGCAGUGCAUUUUGUUAAUCUCUCAUGUUUGUGUCACCAACUGCACAUGAUACUUCUUGUUGUGCACCAUCUUACGUGUUAACUGUUUGUCUAUUUUUCUUCUACAAGGUGUAGUCACUUAAUGAAAGAACAAUUCAUCUCUUUGCGGACUAUUUCUUUGUUUCAUUUGUUGGGGGAAGUGCUGGGGUUGUUGCACUAGAUACAUGUAUUCCACUUUCCGUAUUAAACUGAUCACGUUAUAAUUAUUGUGAGUUCGUUUUUUGUUUCAGAAAUGGCUUCCAGAAGCUGGAUAAGAUCAAAGACUCCAAUAGACAAAGUAAACAGCUGGAGGAACUUACAGGAAAGAUGAGGGAAUGUAAAAGGUAUGCCACAUAUGGGAUUUUACUCUCUGACCCUUUGUCUGAUACUUUUAGUAACUGAGGAUCUUGGACAAUCUUAAUUUUCACAUUCUUUGAAGAGAGAAAAUAAGACAGACAAAAUGUUGUCACAACAUCCAAUGCAAUGUCCAAAAUUCAACAAUUCUUGCUCAAAGACUUCAUUAGGUUACUUUGGAAGUUUGAAGAAUUAGUAACUUAUUAACAAAGACAAAUUAGGUUGGAGCCAUAAAAGUUUCCUCAAGUAUAACUAGGAUCUUGAUGUGAGCGACUUUAAGUCAUGCUUAUAUACAAGCCCCACAUCCUGUUCCUGGACUCCCAUGCAUCUCUUCAUUUUUUAUUUUUUUGGGGGAUAUUGGAAGAAUUCAGGCGUGCGAUGAUUGCCGUUAUGCUACAUGAAAGAAAAAAAUAGCUAAAAAGGGAAAUAGAAUCUCAGUUAUUGAGGUAUUUUGUUUUAGAUAAAUUGCAGAGUAUGAUCUUGUAAAUACUUUGUUUCAGAUUAAUUAAAGAGUUUGAUCGUGAAGUCAAGGACGAGGAGAGCCGAAAUCCUCCUGACGUGAAUAAACAGCUUAAUGAUGAAAAGCAAUCUAUGGUAAGUUGUUGUGAGCUUUUGUCUUUUUCCAUCACAUAAAUGCACAGGUACACUGUACCACUUGCAUUUUUACAAACUCUGUGACUACUUUUGACCGGUCUAUUAGUGCACAAGACCUUUCCGGGUACACAAUAUCUAUUAGUUUCUGCUAGUGUAACAACUCCAUCUAAUUAUCAUGCUUCAUUUUGCAGAUCAAAGAGCUGAAUUCAUAUGUGCAAUUGAGAAAAACGUAAGUCCAGUAUGCAUUCUAUGUUAUUGUCAAUACUAUGGAGUCUAAUUGGUUUAGCAUGUUGCCUUCAGUCCUAAUAUUCAUGGGAUAAAUAAAUUAAUCGACAAACACAACAAAUUAUUGUAUAUUACAGUCCUUGAAUUCUAAACCCUGUCACUCUUCGUGCUCUGGGUAUCUGUGAUUUUUUAAAGUGAUUUUCAUACUGUAGCUGAACUGCAGGUAUAUGAAUAGCCUUGGUAACAAGAAAGUCGAACUCUUUGAUAUGGGAGCAGGAAUUAGUGAACCCACUGCUGAUGAGAAUGUUCAAAUGGCUUCAGGUAGUUUUGUCAUUCUGCAUAUCUUUGAGCUUAGUUUGAAUUUGUAGAAAUGAGCUUUUUCCUAUAUCUCUUUCAAGCUUUAGCCGUUAAUCAUGCUAUGUUAAUCAGCAUGCGGUCUUUUAAUGAUAGUACAAAGUAAAGGUGUAUCAAACUUUGUAAAGAUCAAUCUGCUUGGACCAUUCUAUCUAUGUCUUCUUGUUUUGUGCCUGAUUUGAUGAAAAGAUUUGUCUGACCACCUUUCUAAUUGGCAUGUAUUUCUGAUAGCUAUGUCAAAUCAAGAACUAAUCAAUUCUGGGAUGAAAACAAUGGAUGAGACUGAUCAGGUCAUUGAACGCUCUAAAAAGGUGAACAGCUAUCCCAGAAAAAAAAACCUUCAACUUUAAGUUUGAGUAUUUUAUUUUGCCGGCAAUUUUAACUCGAUAGUUUGUGAUAGGUUGUUGAGCAAACAGUUGAAGUGGGAACUCAAACUGCUGUUACCUUAAAGGGCCAAGUCAGUGUGUUCACCUAUUGUCUCUAUACCUCUCAUUUCAAGAGUUUAGACUAACAUUGUUCAACUCCAUAACUUGUAGACUGACCAAAUGGGCCACAUUGUAAAUGAGCUGGACACAAUUCAGUUUUCAAUUAGGAAGGCCUCUCAGCUUGUAAAGGAGAUUGGUAGACAGGUCAGUGAGAUCUCACCCCUUAGAUACUCUACUUGUAUAUUUUUCUAACAAACGCUAUUUUUUUCCUCUAUAUUUUCAGGUGGCAACAGAUAAAUGCAUCAUGCUUUUUCUUUUGCUUAUUGUAAUUGGUGUAAUAGCAAUUAUUGUUGUGAAGGUAUGCUGUUUGAUUCAUUUAUCUAUUGCCGUAGAUUUGCUACCCAUUUUACACAUUUUUUUUAAUACUCAGGAAGUCACACAUUUAAGUUACAGAGAUAUCUGCAGAGUUGUAUUAUAGGAACUUUUUCCGGAGGAAAUUUGUUGAUGAGUUUGGCAAGUUAUUUCUGACGGAUUGUGAACCCUGCUACCUAUUUUCCUCUCCCUGUUAAAUUGUUAGUAAUGCAUGGGAAAAUUGAUGCUUUCCUUCUCAGGAGUGUGUUCAAAUCCUCCUGGCAAAAAAUUCAAAGUUGAGAAAUGACUACAUCUGUUCCUAACUGUAAUGUCUGUUUAUAUUUCAGAUUGUGAACCCCAGCAAUAAAAACAUAAGGGAUAUCCCUGGAUUGGCGCCGCCUGCUGCAAGGAGGCUUUUGUCAACGAGUCUUCUGCAACAGUUCGAAUAGUUUCCUCCUCUUUUUCAGGAUUCAAUUUUUCCGACAUAGGUACUAUGAUUCAUGUUCUGGGGAUGCGGAGGAGGCUCAGAGGAAUACUUGUGCAUUGAUCGGUCUUUUCUUUUACUUAUACAUUAUUCUUGCCCGAGUUGUGCAUAUUGUUUGUGAUUCUCUAUGUAAAUCACGCGUGAGUCCUUUUUUUUUUGCUUUGGUUUGAAUGGCCAUCCACGGUUCUUUCUGUAAUCUUUCCAAGACUGUUUUAGUUAUAGAGAGAUGCACUUUGCUCUAUAUCUACCUGCGAUUUAGAUGUAUUGCCUUCCAAUAUGUAUUCACAUUGUUUUAUUCUAAUUUCUAGUGAAUAUCGAAGCGCCUUGUUGCAAGUUCUGUGCCAUUUUCUGCUCCGUCACAGGUUCACACAAUGUGGGAGGGCCUGCGUGUUUCGAGUUCCAGCAAUAAACGGUAAUUACAACAGUAAACGAGAUUGAAGUCCGUAUCGAGCUUCAUCAACAGCGCGGUAAGUAGCAGUUUAUCCAAAAAAAUAUAACUCGCAAUUGAGAAUCAAUUCGUAACAUCUGAGACUACUCAUGAAUCAGAGCUCAUGUUCUAACCACAAAACUCCAGCAACAGAAAAAAUACAGAGAACAGACAGACCGCCGCAUGAUAAACUUUGGGUUUCUCCAUUACUACCUGGACUACAUAUAACAAGGAGAAAUGCGUAAUUCGUCAAGGCUCUUGACAAAUUAAUGGUGAGCUUGUUCACCCGAUGACCAUGGGUCAUAAGCUACCAUCUACAAAAUUCAACCGGCAAAUCAUGCAUUCACUUCCUAAAACCGAAAGUAAUACAACGAACUGCCCCCGUGGUUCAGCGCUUUAAAGUCUGUUCCCUGGAAAGAAUUAAGGGUCUAGAGUUUGAAAAGAAUCUGCAUACUCCGUUUCUGGACUUUCCUUUUCCAAACAUCAAUCUACACGCGAGUUCGUGAAUCAUGCGGCAUAGUUGCCAGCCUGUGUUCGUCCAAUGUGAGACAACCUUGUUGAUUGAGUUAAGGGUGUUUCUUCAUCAACAUCAUCAGAGGCUGAACCAGCCCCUCCAGGGAUAAAAAUAUCAGAGGACUUUUUCUCCAUCUUCCAAUCCUGUAUUGGCCAGCACAGAGAACACGUGUUACAAAAAAAUUAUGGGAACUUUAAUGAAAAGCUCCAGAUACUGUUCACUUUAACGAAAAACACAUUUUAACACUAAAAAGUCAAUCAUAAUACUAUUCACUUUACCUUUUAUUUUGUCUUUAUCGGUUAAUACUCAAAGUUUUCAAACCUUUUUCAUUAGUUUUCCUUUUUAUAAGGGGAUCAAGGACUCCAAACAUUUUACCGGAAAUCAAAUUCUAGAGAAAGCAAACCUUCGAAAUUCUCUCAGGAAUGCUUUCAGAAGGUAGCUGAGAUGCACGAACAUCCUUGACCUUUAUGUAAUUGUACAUGACAACACCACACAGCUGCAGGCCAAAUUGACUGGUCAGCCAAAACUUCACAUUUAAACAUGUAUAAAAUGCAGUUGUAACUUCGAAACUUUCAAGUUAAGAUAUAUGGAGAGCUACCUAUGGCAUAACCGAUUAUGUUCAGCCUGGUUAUAAUAGACUCUGGAAAUAUAACAGUUGAAAGGGCAAUCAAUAUCCAGUCUUUCAGAACACCAGCAACCCGGAUGGUAACUGCUCCAGUUCUACCAAUUACUAAGAAUAUGGAGAAGUUCAAAGCCAAAGCACAAAGAGCAUUGGAGAAAAAGAUCCAGAAGUUGAACUGAAACUGUGAAUAUUCUAUUGCAGACUUCUCAAGUAACAACCAAGGCACAAACAGGAAGACAAAACUGCAAAAAUAAAUGAAACAAUAAUGGUGAGAUGCUGAAGCUAUGGCAUGCCUGUCAAUAGUUUACACUUAAUUUUGAUUUUCCUGUUUCUACUUCCACAAGCAUCAAUGGAAAAAGUCAAUUGAGUACAGAACCGUGUUUAAAUCACAUGCAUCCAUCAAUAAGGAGAUGUAGAACUUCAUCAGAAUAAGGGUGUAAACAGAAGGAAUGGAGAUUUCCCAUGGUACAGAUGGAUCGUUCUUAUACUGAUAGUAAGCUUACCAAAAUUGUGAAUCCCAGCCAUAUACCAUAAGUUACAGAUUCAGAAACUCAAAAUUACGAGAAAUAGUAAGUUAAAGAAUAAUUGGCGUUCACUAUCAGAACUAAAUUCUAGAAAUGAGUCACUAUUCUCUAUCAAGAUUGUUACGGAUGCCAAAGAACUAAUAUGCUACUUAUUCAUACUUUGCAAUUGGAAAAAGUAGAGUUCAUAUAUUGCGAUUGGAAAAAAUAGUGUUUGCCUAAAUUCCAACUCCUAUGAUGCAUACAAGUCCAAGCAUGAUAGUAUAAUACCUGCAUGGGGCGAUAUAGUACAAACUGGUGAUUGGAUUUAGAGUCAAGCCCUUCUUCUGUAGAAGGACUUGUGUUAAGACCAGUCUAAGAGCUUCUGCAAAGAUGCCCGUAACCUGGUACACUGUACCAACUACAUUAAAAUGAAUCUCCCCGUAUGAGGAAAUGACAACUCCAACACUGACCAGCAACAUGUUUGUGAACACAUCGCACCUUGGUUUGUCAGUGCCACACAAUACAGCCAUGAUAAAAGUAGCCACUGGCACUGCAGUAUUGAAUGUACAUAGAUAUAAGCAGUCAUUUGCGUUUAAAAGCAUCAUUAUUGUAGUAAAAUAGAUAUCAUGAGUCUCUGCAUCAGCACACAUACUUAGAGCUUUAAGCAUUUGGAUGAACGCCACUGAAAUAUGCAAGUAAGCAGUGUUUCCAAACCUGUAAUGACAGAAAAAGAAAAGUUCAAAACAAAAAAACUUGAAUUCUCGUCUUGAAUCUUGAUAAGUGCAAUUUACAACAAUGCAAAACUUGACAAGCAUACAAUUCCUAAAUGUGGGCAUUGCAUUUGAGCCCAAAUCUGGACAACUCAACCAACAAGGGACACCAAUUCUUGAAGGAAGUUCGGACAUUCUACAUCAGGGAAUCUAAGCAUAAGUCCAUUGUUUACCACAAAAUGAGAAAUUGUAAGAGAACAGAUUGGCACAAGUAACAUUAAGUCUCUACGCAUUUUAGUAUUUUCAUCGUUGAGAGGCAUGAGCCUAGUUACAGUCAAAUCUGAAAAUUUUGACCGUAACCUUUACAUAAAAAUAUGACAAUAACCAUCUCAGCCAAAACAAUCCAUGCCCUUAUUAGUUGCAUUAUUAGCCAAAACACCCAAUUACAUUUCAAUUCAGUGCUUACCAAAGACUUGAUGCAAAGAACGCACUGAUUGGAAUUACACAUGUUGCAUAUCUGCCAUAUAAAGGGAAAAAAAAAAUAAGAAAAACAAUUUGGACAAAAAAAAUUAAUAACAAGUCGGAGCCUAAAUUCAGCCUACAUACUUACAUUUCAAAUGUCAUUUUGACAGGAGCUACAACCUGCAAAUUCACAGAGGAAUAAAUAAGGAGAACAAAAGCAAUAAAUGAAUACAACAAAAACAAAAAUAUGGAGUAGUGACACAUGCAUAACAGAAAACUGAUACUUGCAUAAGAUGCAGCCAAAAAAAAAAAAAAGGAAAGAAACUAGAGCACACCGUGUGUACCCUAACUCUGCACAAUUGAUGACAAACUAUAAAUUUUGAAAUUCAAUAAAAUUUCAAAAUUGGCUUCUAUAGCUCCAGUUAAAUCCUAUUUCACUCUGGCCAUAUAGGACAUCAGUUACAUGCCUUGUCCCGCUAUAGACUAACCUAACCCACUAUCUUUUUGGCAGUCUCCCUUCUCAUUCAGAGUUGGGUAGCAUCAGUUUCGAAAUCAUUCAUGUAUUAACUACUGAUAAGAGCAAAUUCAGGAAAAGCAGAGAAGGUAAGAAUCCUAAUGGACACAAACAGCAGACAUCAACUCAACCAAGAUCUCAAGGUAAUCAAAGUGAUGUGAAUCACAGAUGAGUUCCAGUCAGAUAAAGUUAAUAGCGAGGAUUAAUAUGUCAGGGAAAUUAUAUGAUAUCACUUCGAUUGUCAACUAAACGAAAAUCCACUACCUGUCAAUACGUUAAACUGGCUUGACAGAGAUAUCAACACCUAUGUCAAAAGUAAUUUGGAGAUACAAAAAGCAUAUCCAAAAAUAAAGAGUCAGUCAUACCUUGAAAACACGAACAAGUAAAAAUGCUACUAGUCCAGAAAAUCCCAUAUGAAUCAUUGUAAGUGAUGGGUAAUGGAAAAUUGAAGUAUUUUGGAGACAGAACCCACUGCAAGGAAAUUCACCCAGAAAAUCUUCAGUAAAACAAGGAGGAAAAUAAUAGCUCAGAGUUUCAGUUUAACCAAUAAAGACUAUCGGUAACCCGCAAUAUAGAUAUAAACAUGCAAAUCAGUAAUGGCAAGAUAUAAAAAUGAAGUACUGAGGAGGAAGGACCUUGUUGUACAAUAUAACGCCGGACGAAAGCAGAAUGUAGAUGAACAGGUAAAAAUAAGUCAGCAACAGCGGUUUGCUGAUCAUCUUGGGCAUUUUUUCUUUUAUCAAACGACCUAAUGUAUGAUUUUCUGGCCUUUAAACCAUCUUAUUCAACAUUUUUCACUCCGCAAAUGUUAUGCAGUCCUAAACCCAGAACCGGAAGAGGACCUCCUCGUGCCCUCAAUCACAGAUUUGUGUGAGGAUCAAAUAUUGCAAUGGCUGCACCGACUCGAAUGCUUAAAUCCUGAAAGUGAAGGCACAAAUGAGAGAAACAUACUACAGUACCAUACACCUUAACCAAACAACAAGGAAAGCAUCAAACAUUUGUUUAUUAAAAUAGUAGGAAAUGGUACAAAAAUUAAAAGUGGAAGCUGCAGAGAAAUUGGGGAAAUGGGCAAGCACAGAAUCUGAUCCAAGACACUUAGCAACAAGCAUUCAACAAAGAAUCACGCCAUGGUUUCUUCAAGAACUAACAAAACCAACAUUUCGCAAUUGGAAACCGAAAAGGGCAGAUCUAAAAGGGACCCAAAACAACAAAGCGAGAGAAGCCCAAUUCAGAUUCUGAUCCAAAACACAAAACCCAUGUCGAAUUCAAGACGAACGAGCUUACCCAACAGUCGAAAUCAACUGGAACUCGCUUCGAAUCUGAAAAACCCCCGCUUAAUUUCAGAGAUCUACCCACUUGGGAAAGAAGACAAAGCGACACGGAGUAAAGGAGAAAGAGAGGGAGAGAGGGAGAGAGAAAUGGGAUCAAGGACUGGGAAAUGGUUGGUGACAGUGGGUGGGCAAAUGAGUACAAUAAAUAAGGCUGGGAAAGCUAAGAGAGGGAAGAAAGUGGGGUUAUCGAUGAAUCACAGAGAGAGAGCACGUGGGGUAGCCUGAAUCAGAAGAAAGAAGGGAAAUUUACGACUAGCAACAAGCAAACCAGCAAAGAGAGCAAGAAAGAAAGGGGCCCGCUCGCCUUGCCCUCCUUCUCCUACCUAGUGAGAGAGAGAGAGAGAGAGAGAGAGAGAGAGAGAGAAUGCAAGACCAAGCGUUAUCUGGGCCUUCCUCUCACUGUCUGAUUGCGACUUACUGGCUUUGUUUGCCACAGAAAGAGGAGAGCGAAGAAUAAUAAGCGUUUUUCUAUAAAUCCCGCGUUUUUGUUCUCUCUCUCUCUCUCUCUCUCUCUCUCUCUCUCUCUACUAUUUUACCGGACGGUUUUGUUUUAUUACGUGUUGUUGAUUAUGACUUUCAUAAAACAAUUUCACUAUUAGCGUCACGUUUUGGUUUAAUAAUGUGUAAAUUUCUCUCUGCACGUUAUUGGGUUGUUGAAACGAGAUUGAAUCUUUGGUUUAAUAAUGUAUAAAUUUCUCUCUGCACGUUAUUAGGUUGUUGAAACGAGAUUGAAUCUUUCAGUAAAUCUGUUGCUUUCAUUCUUAAGACUUCUCUUUGGUCAGUCACUCACUCAUUUUCUAACUGAGUAUGCAUGUCGAAUUGUCAAUCUCAUAAUCAAAGACUAAACAUCACUGCAAUUGCGUAGAGUUGUGCACUGUACGAUAUAGUGCGCCGUCAAGGUUCCUUCAAUGAACGGUCGCUCAUGCAUAGCGGGUAAGUGAUUCUUUAUCGUAGACGUACGUGAAUUUUACAAUAAAUUCCAUAUGCAUUAGCAGUUACGUACACCCACUAACGACUGACUAGCAUUAUCAUUCUUCCCAAACCGUACAAUUGAUGGAAAGAUUAACCUUCCUAGUUGUUGUGCACGAAAUAAUACCACGUGUUUUAUAAAGGAAGUGUCGCAAGUUGGACGUAGGGACACAUAUUACACGAUGGUUAAAAGCUGGUAUGAGCCAAAAAAAACAUUUCAUUUACUUGUCACUUUAGUACUAGGAUAGAAGCAUAGAGCCAUUUCAAAUCGACCUGGAUUGUCGGCCCUCUCCUAUCUCAUCUUAUUCUAUUUAUGUGGUCACGAUUAAGCCACGUUAAUAUUUUAUAUUGAUUUUUUUUAUAGAAAUAAUAAGACAAAAAACAAUGAGAAUAUAAAAUGUUGACGUGGUUUAACCGUGACCACAGAAAUAGGAAGGGAUGAGAAAGGUAUGGGAUGAUGAGGGCUGACAAUCCAGAUCCAUUUCUGAUACCCGAAAGGUUAUGGGUGCCUCCAAAGUUGUCAGGCUGGAAUGGCUAGAACCUAGAGAGGUUCCCCUUUAUAAUAUAUAUUGGAGUUUGGAGUCUUUUGACCUUCCUAAUAGUGGUUAGUGUAUAUUUUGGCUUUGCCCUAGCUGUAUAUGAAUUCUGAUGUAAUGACAUUCUAACCACAACAAACUCAAUUAGUAGUUUUUAUCAGAAAAAAAAAAAAAAAAAACUCAAUUAGUCAAGCUAUAAUCUAAAUAUUUUAUGGUGCUCCAUAGUAUAUUUAAUUUCACAGAGUACUCUAGAGUUGAUCAUUGUGAUUCUCCAUAACUUUUCAACAAAUUGAAUUGAUUUAGUCGGCAAAAACUUGAGUGUAAUUGGGAAUAUAUUUUGAUCAAGGAGUAUUUUGUAUGAUCAAUUUUCAUGUAAUGAUCGGGUGCAAAAUACAAUUUUCUUAGCUAGGUAUGGGAUGAUAAUUGACAUUAGUAUAUUGUUGUGAGUAUUGUUGGAUAUAUGUCAACAAUCCGUAAUAAAAUAAAUAUGCUAAUAAUAAAUACGAAUAAAUGUAUUCCAGAGACUCAACAAGAUGAAAUAUUAAUUAAGCAGAGUAAUAAAAGAUUGAGGCUUGCGUACCGUAAUGUCCUUGAAACAAAAAUUUCGCCCCUACUCAGUGCUUGUAGUUCUACGGACGUCUGCUUCACCAGGAUUCAAUGAUCUAAGUCAGAAAUUCCAGCACCGGAAAAUUGACUUCUGGCGAAUAUUAAUGUGGUUCUCUCAUAAAGGAUGUUUAUGAUUGCAGGAGAAGAUUUAUGAUUUUUUUUUUUUUUUGUAUUCUAAAUGUCAUGCAGAUGAAUGUAUAUAUAUCAGAUAGAUGCAUGUUUGCAACAGGUAUGAGAAUGGGGUGUGACUGUUGGGAGACAUCUCUUCAGAGGGGUGCUUUACUCUGUGUUCAGAAAGAACUCUCAGACUUCAUCUGAAAGGAUGAAUCUUUUCAUAAAAAAUAAAUAAAUAAUUAAAUUCAAAUUUAAUUAAAAAUAAUUAAGUAAAUCCAAAAAAUAAUUAAUUAAAUAAUUUAAUUAUUAGAGCCCAAGAGCCCCACCCAUCUUUUGACAAUUAAAUAUAUAUUAUUUAUAAUUAAUUAUAUAUUAAUUACCAAUUAAUUAGUACACCCCAAAGCCCAACCCCAAGGAUGAGCCCAAUUUUAGUCUCCAUGCCUAUUACUCCAAUCACUUUCUCUAAAGGACGAAGCCUUAUAAAGUGAUAAAAUCUUUUGGGAAUGGCCAAUGUGGGACAAAGAAAUUUAUACUCAAACUACUCAAAUUUCCAACAAGUAUGAAUUCUAUAUUUGAAAAGAGAAGUUUUGCUUACUGAUUUAAAUAAUCCUAAGAGACUCUCUUGUACUGCCAAUUGAUUUUAGGUUGGAAGAAAAGGAAAGUCUUGCCUACUUAUUUAAGUAAUUAUAAGCCUGUCUCUCCUGAUUUGAAAAGAGAAGUCUUGCCUAUUGAAUGACUAAAUGACGUUAGUUUUAAUUGAUUUUUUGUAGAGAACAUAUUUACAUAAUGAUUUAUAAUAUAAACAUUUCUUAUUAUAAACACAAAGUUCUAUAAAUCGAUCUCACAUUAGUUGGUCAAGUGUAAUGUGACAAUAAUUAACAAGGCUCGCAGCAUGAAUGAGUCAAAAUCAAAUUCGAUGGCUCAAUGAAAGUAAUGCAAUUGAUAUUUGAUAUUCCUGCCAAAAACUCUUGCAAUUUGUAUUAUGAGGGGUCUUUUUUCAUGAAUAUUCAUGGACAAAGACAAGAUGAUGGAAUAUAUACAUCUAACUUUCUAUUCACUAAUGGGAUUCAAGCGUCUGUAUAGACAUUUUAGAUGUAGCUGUUGAAAUCCCUCGAGCAAUGCGUGCAGUUUGAUAAAUUUUCAUCAACAAAUUAAUGGUCAGAAAGUGGAUGGGACUAGAGAAAUUUAGAAUAUAGGGUUUGGACCACGACUGAAAACAAAUUAAAUUAACAUCACACAUCACAAUUAAUUGGAAUCAUCGGACAGGCCAACUACUCUAAUACAGCUGCAUAAUUACUAUUUUUAAUCAUUUUUAGGUCACAUUAUUUCUCUAAUCCCAUCCCAAAAGCCUUCUUAUGGAGAUAUCUUAAUAAACGCUACAAGAAGAAGCACCAUUUUUGGCUUCUAACCUGAAUUCGAUACAAUUAAUAGGAUAUGAAAUGACAUUUGACUUGAUCUGUUUACGUGUCUAGUUGAAUGAUGGUGUAUAUAGUUCUUGGCAUAUGAUAGAGAGGGAAUCCCAAAGUGUACAUGAUGUCGUCGAAUAUAAUGUAAAUACUCUUAACCACUUGAGUAACAAACUUUUUGAAAACAUCUUGCAAGACAUUGCAUUAAAACAAUUCGAAAGGAGUUGUACCAACCAUGCUACUUAGACACAUAAAAUUGACCACAUUGCUGACUACUUUUUUAACAUAGGUGAAUUCUACACACAACUGUGAAGUCCAUCUAUAGAAGAAAGGUGGUCGACAAUAUAGUUUUUUUAUGUGUCUAAGUAGUAUUAUUGGUUUCGAGCUAUUUGUGUCCAUGACCACAUGGUCUAGUGGCACCUCAUAUUUCACUUUAUUGAAGGAAGUUUAAGUUCAAAUUUCAUGAACAAUAGUUUGUUAAAUUCAGAAUAGAAAAGAAAACAAGUCUAGAAUCCCUUUAUUUAAUUUGGGCCUUACUAUUUUUGGGCGGACUCAAACACAUUUCAAAUUUUGGGCCUCAAGAACUUUGAACACAUCCAACGGCCACAAAAUCAAGUGUCUUUCCCAACACAGAAGUAGUAUUCUGGGGUCCUAAGUUGUUCCUCUGUAUCUUUCUAAACAGAAGAAGUUUAUCUUGAAGUAAGUGCUCCAAGUCCAAUUUUUUUAGCCUUCAUCAUUAAGCUGGAAAAAGGGAGUGUGACACAACCAUAUUGAAUUCAUAUGGAAAAUUAGGAAUCACUCUUCUACAGUCGGAGAAAAAUUGAGUGUAAUACCAAUUUAAAGAACUCACGAGUUCGAUAUAUCAAACUUAAGAGUGUGUUACCAAUGAACUCAUACUAGUGUAACAAUAGUAUUACAGUAAUCAAACUUAGAUAUUUGAUUCUUAUAUAUAUGUAUCACACUCACCUAAAUCACUGUGGAGGGCUUUACAAACCAUAAACAAAAAAUUAAGUGAUUAUGUCAUAGUUAGGCCUAAAAAUUCUGUGAGAUUUGCAAUUAUGGUGUCAAAAGUUCAAUGGAAUGAGCCACAUCAACAACAACGUUGGAGAUUGGAGGUUAAUAGAAAAUUCCAAAUAAUAUAAUUAGGGGAAAAUAUAAUUUCAUUAGAAAAAUUUAUUUCAUUAAUUAUUGCAUUAAAACUGCAUUAAUUAUAAAUUAAUCAAAUCAGUAACAUAAGUUGAUGCUUCCCAGCUAACAACCGUAUAUUAUCUAAACAGAAACAGAUGUUGCUGUUUCAACAACUGAUGCAAUAUGUCAUCAGCUGCAUAAUUACUAUUUUAAACCAUUUUCAGGUCACAUUAUAUCUUUACCAAUUGUACACACGUUAUGUAUGUGCUUAAUAUUUUGAGAAUAACAUUUACAAUGAGAGAAAAUAUAAUAUGGUCACUAAAGUUUUUUGAUGUCGACCUUGAACAAUUUUUCGUUGCUGAAGAGAUUAUUCACAUCUUUAGCGACUAUUUCGUCACUAAAAGUUUAUUUUAUUUGGAAGAAAAACUUGGAAGAUAAAAUGAGGGCAACUGAUAUAGUUACCUAGCUAUGAGGCUUUAAAAAAAAUGAGUUUUAACGAAAAGCCCACGGUAUUGUUCACUUUAACGAAAAACCACAUUUUAACACUAAAAAGUCAAACUCAAUUUACCCUUUAUUUUGUCUUUAUUGUAAAAACUCAAAGUUUUCAAGCCCUUUCAUUAGUUUUCCUUUUAAAAAAACAAUAAAAUUUUUUUGUGCUUAAAUAACUAUAUUGCCCAUAAUUUUUAUUUUGGUUAUUUUCUUAGUUUUAGUCUCUUUUGGUUGAUAAAGAGAAUAGUGUUAAUAAGUUGUUUAGAUAAUUAAAUGUACAAGUGCAUAAGCAUGCUAAUUUAAACAUUAUUCUUCUUCCAUGAAAAUUCCAAGAGCAUGCAAAUUGGGGAUCAUGAGAAUAAAUUAGAGUUUGAAAUGCCCAUUGGCUUCUUCCUAUCAUCCUGUCCAAGCCUUGCUCUAACUACCAACAUCAAAGAUUCCUUUUUAGUUGAUCAAGUUUGGCUUCAUAAUAUAUUGGGAACCAAAUCUAUAUAAGAAAAGUUGAUUGGGUUUGCCACUCUCAAUUCACUCAAAUUAUAACACACGUAUUGACCUUUGAGCUCGUAAUUUUAGGCUGUUUAUAAUUUAGUUUUUUAGAUACAAAUAAAAAACAUGAGUUAUAUUGUUAGAUAAACUGAUACAUUAUAUUAACAUGUCUAUCACAUAGAGUAUCAUAUAAAGUAUAUAUAUUAUUAGUUCACUACAUUUAUCUUUAUGGUAAAGAGCAUAUUCUAUUUCGAUAGGGUCAUCUACUAAUAUUAUCAAUAGCUUAUUAUCAUAUCGACAAUUUAUCAUUUAGUAAAGAAGUAUAACUAGAAAUAAACUGAUCGUAAUAUUAUAUAUGCCAUGCGGAUCGUUGUAUAUACAGAAUUAUUGUAAUCCAAUCCAAAUUUUUUUUUUUUUUGGUAUGCUUUAGGUUAAGAGACAAGUAGAAGAUUUAAUUUGGACCAUCGUCUAUGUGACCUGUAUGAAACCCUAAAGAACCUGUUAAGCUUUAAGAUUUGGGACUAUAAAAUAUAUGAACCUGUAUAUAUAUCACGCUUGCCCUCAAAACAUAGGACAUUGAGUUCCCUUGAGGAUUCUGUACAGCACAUUCUUUUUCCUACUUUUUCAUUAAAAUACAAGGCAAAAUGCAUGAUCAAACUUGACCUUGAUUUUCCUUGCUGCUACAAAAUUGCAAAACCUAAUUAUACUGCCGACGAAAGAGAAAAAAAACAAGAAAAACCUGACUUUAUAUAUUUUUAGCAUCUGCAUCAAGAAUUAAGAAUAAAAAUAGAGAAAAAUGUUUCUUUAACAACCGAAGAAACUUUGAGAGUCUCUUAAGUCACUUAAUAGUACGGUUUAGUGAUAAUUUUUUCAUUUGUAAACGAAUGGUCUUGAGUUUGAAUCUCGUAAAAGAUGAGUUCGAUAUCAAAUUAUUCUUGUAAUGCAAAUAUGUUGUAGUAUAAAUAAAAAAAAUAACACAUUGUAGCUAUCUACUCAUGUUGAGAAUAUAGUUACUUAAGUUUGGCUGUUUAGUUUUAGAAACCCUAACCACUGUCUUAACAAUUUCUUAAUUGGAUGAUUAUAUUAUAUUAAACAGGUGACCGACACCUACUAGCUUACAAGAUGACAUUGUUAGCAUCAUUCGAUUUUAAGUUAACAUUUGAACUGUUAGAUAUUUUCCUACUUUUUCCCAAUUAAGCAUGAAAUUUAACACACUUUUGUGAGAAGUCAAUAAUAUUUGCGUGUGGGGAAGAACUAUGCCAACCUUUUAUUAGCAUAUUCAAUCUUGACGGAGCUGGUCCCAUAGGAUAAGUUUUCCUGGAAGACAACAACACAUCAAAGUAGUUUCUAUUUUAGAGAUUGAAUAAAAAUUUUAUUAACAACGACCAAUAAUACAUAAGGUGAACAUGUUAAACGUAAUCAAGAGAUUACAUACGCUAAAUAAAGCAUUACAAAUUUAUAGUUACAAACUCAUGAGCGUCAUACAAUUCCUUAGUUACGAAGGACCCUACCACAAAAAAGAUAAUGCCCUCAAGGACUAAACCUUGCAAAUUGUCGAACUACCGUAAAGGUACCAUGAGAAAAAGACUGCACAGACCUCUGAUGAUCUUGCAACUGUCCGCAAAGAAGCACUGCUAUGAGUCACCUCUAACAAGUAUCAAACUUCCUCUUCACAAUCAUUUGACAUGUGCACAAUACCACACAAGAAACCCAAAACCAACUCCCUCGACUCUGAACAAUAGCCAUCACUCAAAGAUUUGAGUUUGAGCAGUAAGUCAUAGGCGCUACAAAGACUUUCUCAAGAGAGCGAGAGCGAUCAUAACCAAAAAAUAUAGAUAGUCAGAAGAUACGAUAAACAUAAAGGAAAAGGGAAGGAAGAGAUUGUCGCUAAGACCAAACAGGGUCCGCGACGAAGGGUUUUUCUCUCUAUCGGCUAUAUAUCGCAUGAGUUGAAGUUAACACAUGCAAUAAGAAAAUCACUAGCGAAUGCACUACGACUAACUAAACUGAAAUAUUGGUUUUUUCAAUAUUUUGUUUCACAUAAUUUUUUUUGACCUUACGUGGUUAAGAACAGUUAUUCAGGAGUUCUUGGUACCGGCCAAGCAAAAAUAAUAUGAAUAGCGAGCCAUCUACACGAGGCAAAUGCUUGUUCUUAUGCUUUUUUAAUAUAGGGCGGUGACUAACUAAAACAUUGAUUUAUAGAGCCAUAUUUUGCUAAGAUAAAACACACCAUUAAGGCUUGUUUAGUCAGUUGUCUCAAACUGACAAGAAAGGCAGUUGAGAUGUAAACAUGUGAGUUUUUAGGUGGAAGCUUCUAUCAUAUAUAUGUUCACGAUUUAAUAUCGAACUAACUAUAAAUAUAUCGGCAUUGCAUUCAUAUGAGCUGAGCUUAAGACCAGCGAUCAACUAAGUGAAGAUCGGAUGUUGCUUGACCAACUCAUGAUGUGCAUAUUGUUUAUGCUUGAUUCACAUUUUCAUUUUUCUGGAAAAUGAUACGAUAUUCAUUACAAUGAAGAGAAUACAUAAAAAUGAUCAGGUGUAAAAAAUAUCAAUUCGUUAAAACCUUGCUGGGAUUCCUAAACCCUAAUUCACACUUGAGAAAAAGGGUUUUUCUUGUUCUUUCCCCCCAGGAGAUUUUAGGGUUUCUUAAAGUUCAUUUGGGAGUUUGAUUUAGUAAUUGUCAAGGUAUUCCUAAAUCUCAUUGGAUUCUAUUUAAUCAUAUUCCAUGCUUGGGUGACUAAUCUGAACUCUUUUAAACUUUUUAAAGUAGUCUUAAGGGGCCAAAGACAAAGGCUUAUCUUCCAAAGCACUAUUAUCUUAUUCUAUAUUCUCCACUUUAAGCGAAGCCUUGUGCAAUGCUCAAAAACCAAGUGCAAAGUAUAUGAAAUUUGAAAAACGAUUCUGUAUAAGUAAGCUAAUACAAGCUUAGAAUUCGUUAUCAAUCAUUAAAUCAUCCCAUAGAAGUUAUUAUGUGCUAUUUAUACAAAAACACUAAUUUUUUAAAUCGAGCCUUUCACGACAAUCAAAUUGUCAAAUCACAAUGCAUGUUUUGUACUUCCAUACCCUAAUAAUUUAAAGGGGUACCUAUAUACAAGCGUGUUUACAAUACAUACGGUGGAUGACCAGAUUCAAAAACCAAUAAAUUCAAGUACAACAUUUUAAUUAUCAUUUUUGUGGAUGACUCCCUCAUAAUUUAAACUUAAGACAUUUUUUAAUGUUGAGAAGAGAAGUAUCACUAAAUGAAUAGUUGAACGAUAACUUAAUUAGCUCUAUAGUACUAAACAUUGCCAUAUAUGAUCAGGAGUAAGGCAUGAAUUCAGGUGUCUGUACAGGUAGGUUCACAAAACAAAACAAUAAAUGAUGAACAUGGACAACAUGUGAAGUCAUGCAGAUGGAGAUGGACUGUACAUGCAUUGCAGUGAGCAGAUAAUAAUAAUAAUGAAUAGUUUAAGAAGCAGAGACGUGUUAUGUAGUCUAUGUAUCUGAAAUGUGAAGCAAUCUGACAUUUCAACCUAUAGCUAGGUAUAUGAUCGAGUCCUCAGCCUCCUGCAUUCACUGUACCAACCAAUCCUGCUACUGCUAAACAUGAUUGAUCCUGCUCUAAGAAAUGGAACUGGAUCCUCCUUGAGCUCAGGAUGAGGAUCCUUCUGAGCAGUCCAUUCGGACCGUUGAAAUUUAAUCCAACGGCUUCAAAUAGGGGGUUCCUCUAAAAGUUAUAAUAAUUACAGCCGUUGGAUCAAGUUUGAACGGUCCGGAUGGGUUACUCAUGAAGAUCCCCAUCCUGAGCUCAGAAGAGGAUCCAGUUCCCUAAGAAAUGCAAAUGCCGCAAGCUGACAUAUUAGUUGACUAUAAUAUAUACAUACUCUCUCGGUCUUUCACCUAUAGCUAGUAGCUUAUUGGUUCUUGUAUUGUGAAACCCUAAUGAGAUAUUUACUUACAUAACGGGAAGUAAAAAAUCGAGAAACUUAUGAAUAAAAGAAAUGUGGAAUGAGAACUGGAUACAACGUACUACUUUCCUUAGUUGAUGUAAUUAUUGGUUUUGACGAUAUUGGGUUAUAGAUUAUAAGAUGAAAUUCACGUACCUAAUAAAUGCUGAAAAGUCAGGAAUUGUAGUGAUUUACUUUGCUCGAGUACCAAUUCAUGAUAAGUAAUAACAUGCAAUAGGUUAAACAUCGGCCAUCUUGUGAACGAGAGUUUAUACAAACACUUAGGUAUUGUUUGGUAUGCAGAUGGGAUGAGACAAAAUGGAAUCGGAUGGGAUAGGACGGAACGGAACGGACAGGAAGCAAAGAUGUCCUCGGAUGGAAACAAGGAGGAAGAAAAAGGAGACGGAGAGGUUAUAAUUUUGUGUUCCAUGGAUGUGGAACGAGUCGUUCCAGGGGAUGAGGGCGAAUGAAAAUUCACUCAAAAUUAGUCCUGGGAAACAACGCGUUCCACCCGUUUUAGGCGCACCAAACGUGGGACGGAACGUCUCGUUCCCCUUUAUUCCGUCCCGUUCCACGUACCAAACGGUACCUUAAUCAACAGUUACAAAACAAAAAAUCAACUUCAACGGAUCCAUGCCCAUGCACGGUGCACCCAGAUUGCAUUUUCCCCCGAGAAAUAAUUUUCAAUUUUAUUUUCAAAAACAGAUGAUAUAUUAGUAUAUUAUCAGGGGUAUUUUGGGGUCAGGAGCGUAUACAAUUUGGUACGGAGUUGCAGUCUGUUUCCUUGACUAUUCCGACCUACUAAAUUUGAACAUCCCAACCUCAAUGAUUAAAAAAAAAAAUAGAAAUUCACAAAGCUCAAGGAAAGAAAAAUUUGCAAAUUUCAUGAAAUGAUUAAAUAUUCAUAAAUAUGAGAAAUUUUUAAUUAUGAUCGAAAUACGGAUGGUACACCACGUGUUUUUAUGUAAGUGAUGAAAAAUUUUAUUUUUUAAGUUAUUAACUUUUUAACACAUGUAUCCCACCAUUUAUAUAACGACAUGUAACGUAUCAUUCCGUAUGACGAUCACACUACAAAAUCUUUCCAUAACUAGGGCAUCAAAAGGUCUUUGGUUAAUUUGCUGUCCAGUCUGUUCAUUUGACCUUUGAACCCCCCCCUUUUAUGCUUUCCUUUCACAAUUUGUGCUCAACAUUUCUUCAAGGUCACCUGAUUAAUUGUCCCCCAUGUAAUCAUAACCCCUUUUUGUAUUUAAAUACAUUUAUUUUAUUUAAAAAUGGAUGUUUGACUAACAAAAACGUUUUUUGUCGUAAGAAAACGUUGUUAUUUCUUCUUAAAAUAAUGCCAAGAAGGGAAUACGAAUUUGUAAACUCUCAAGUUCACACUUUUUUUUCGUAAUUUGGAAUAUAAUCAUGUUGAACAAAAUAUUAUAAAUUCUCUAGAGAAAAUGAAAAUACCGAAAAUAGGGUCUUGUGUUAAAUGCUAAACCUGAUUAAGUUUCAGAUUGUCUGUCACCCUCGGCACGCAUUUAGACAUCACUAUAAAGGAUUAAAACAAAUAAAAAGAAGGGAAAGAGAGAAAUUUGAAGAAACAGCAAAAGAAAGCUUCAAUUUUUUUCAUGCUUCUGUUUUACUGUAUGUAAUGUUGUAAGGCAGUCUCUCUCUCUCUCCCUCCUCCUCAUCACCUACCACUGACAACUCCACCCCUUCUUAUUAACCCCACCACCACCAUUUGCUCUCUCCAGAAUUCCAUGUGCCUCUUCUCUUCUCCAUUCCCCUUGGACUGCACAGACACACAUUAGCCUCUGUUCUUGUGAGUUGUGAACCCCCAUUUUUGUUUGGAGUUUUUCAAAGGGGCAAGUGCUUGUGGGGAAGAGUGUUGCUCUGCCUCUGUCUCACCAUCUGAGCUUGGAUACAAAAACCUAUUUCCCAAUUGAGAAAACCCAGUAAGGAACCCCACCAAUAUUUACAUUACAAAUAAUGGGAUUGAUUUGGUUCUGUGGCAGCAGCCCCAUUUCCAAGCUGGUUUUUUCUGGGUUCUUUGGAGAUCUAGAAGAUUGAGUUGAAGAAGCCUUUCAAAUUGAAUUUGAAGAAUAAAGGUACCGAUUCAGAAACUUCCAGUGUAUGGAGCCUCUCUAUAUGGUUACUUUUGCUGCAUUUAUAUACAUUAUAUAUAUAUAUAUACAUUAUAUAUAUAUACAUAUAUAUAUAUAUAUAUUCCCUGUUUGUUUGCUGAGCUAAAUGUGGAAACGAUUAGGAAAUGGAGUUUCUGAAGAUUUUACUGUUCUUGUUGUUAACCUGUAGAAUGUUAAAAGUUCAUGCUUGUUUCAACUUUUGUGGGUAAUGUAGAACUGGACUGAGCUAAGCCAAGCGGUUGUUGUAUUAGGCUUAUUGGGUUUCUGCAGUUAUUGGUUUAAUUGGGUUGGGUAAUAAAUGUUUAAAGUUUUGGUCUUUUCGAUUGUGUAUAUAUUGGACAAUAUGGAAUGAUGUGGGAAAUGCAUUAGUUGGUCCUGUUGUUAAUAUGUUUUCACUGUAUGAAAGUGGGUGGAAUUGGAAAGGAGAAAUCUUUGUGCAUUUUUUCCUACUUUUCCUUUGGUUUGUAGUUUGAAUGUCAUAUUGAGGCUGAGUUUGUUUCCGUGAUCACUUUGGUGUUAUGUGAUCUGCGUAGUCUUUGUGAGAUUGUGGAUUGUGGUUGAGUCCGUUUCCCUGACCAUGUUGGUUUUCCGCUCUCUCUCUCUCUCGCACUACAUAUUUGUUUCGUAGCACACUAACUUCUACCGCUUUGUUUACUUUUAUUAUGUUCCCAAUUUGUGAAUAUGUGUUUUGUCUUUGAAAAGAAAAAAAUUGAUGGCAUUGAAAGAGGUGAAAUUUUACAUAGACAAGCAGUUAAAUUCAGUAACAAAAUGGUAGAUAUGCAAAAGAUAGAGUUUUUUAUGCAUGGAAUUGGAGUUUCUAAUUUCUUUGUUUUGAACUCUGCAGGGUCCUUUUUAUCAAGAGUAAAUGGCAUCUGGUCUUGAUACUGUAUUAACCAAGAAGACAUUUGUCUUCGGUUUAAAGGUUUGGGUAUUAACGGGGAUCAUUGUGGGAGUUUUUAUAGUGAUGAUUCUUGCGGUGAUAUCAAUUUGUCUUACUUCGCGAAAGAGAUCCAGAAAGUCUACUGACAUGCUUCCUCUGCGCAGAAUUCCAAAUGAUUCAAAGGAAAUCAAAGAGAUUAGGGUAGAUCAAGCUUGUGCAAAUAACUACGUACCCCGUAGUAGUUCUUUUCUCACCCUUGGCGAUAAAUUCAGUGACAGAGAGUCUGAGAAAGUUUUGAUCCAUAAGAAUGGAGAUGGUAGCAGUCGAUCAGGCUCAUUUAACAAUGGGGAGAAGGAAAAUGUUGGUUCUCAAUCUGGAGAUGAGUGUGGUGCAGCUUAUAUGUAUGAGCCUUCUUCACAGCCUAUAACUGCACCUUCACCUCUAUCUGGUCUACCUGAAUUCUCUCGCCUUGGUUGGGGUCACUGGUUUACAUUAAGGGACCUUGAGUUCGCAACAGGUCGGUUUUCAAAGGAAAAUGUCAUUGGUGAGGGUGGAUAUGGAGUUGUUUAUCGGGGUAAUCUGAUUAAUGGAUCUCCUGUGGCUGUGAAGAAGCUACUCAACAACCUGUAAGAUGCAUCUUAUUUCAGUAGCUUUAUGGAUUUCUGUUUUUUCUAUCUUCUGUUUUCCUUACAAUUCAAUUGCUUGGGCUUAUAACAUAUAUAUUUUCAAUCAUCACACAGAGGACAAGCAGAGAAGGAAUUCAGAGUGGAAGUUGAGGCUAUUGGGCAUGUACGACACAAAAACUUGGUUCGACUUUUGGGAUACUGCAUCGAAGGAACCCACAGGUAUUUCUCUGUAAUUUUAUGUAAUGACUUCUACAUGGUAAAAUACAGGCAGUCAUGUUAUUAUUUGCUGAGCACCUUGUUUGGAUAAAAUAGAGAGUACUAUGUCACAUCCUUAGUUACAUGUAUAAUCCAUUCAUACUUAAAACAUGUGUGUUUUGUUCAGGUUGCUGGUUUAUGAAUAUGUCAACAACGGAAAUUUGGAGCAAUGGCUUCAUGGAGCGAUGCGUCAUCAUGGAUAUCUCACAUGGGAGGCACGCAUGAAAGUUCUCCUUGGCACCGCUAAAGCGUAGGUCUUCCUAUACCUUUGUUUGAGUUUUUCAUCCUUGUGGUUUAUCUUUUUCUGACUCUUUUUUUCACAUAUUUCAGGCUGGCUUAUUUGCAUGAGGCCAUUGAACCCAAAGUUGUGCAUCGAGACAUUAAGUCGAGCAAUAUCUUACUUGAUGAUGAUUUCAAUGCUAAGAUAUCUGAUUUUGGUCUGGCAAAGUUGCUAGGUGCCGGGAAGAGUCAUAUUACAACUAGAGUUAUGGGUACCUUUGGGUGAGUACCUUUUCUCCCUUAGGAACAGUUGCAAUUUCUUGUACGAAGAUUCUUGUGUUGGUAGAAGAACACUAUAUCAUAAUUCUAGAGUAAUCCUUUCUUAUCGGUUCCUUUCAUCAUUCUGUUUUUCAGAUAUGUGGCCCCAGAAUAUGCCAACUCUGGCCUUCUAAAUGAGAAGAGUGAUGUUUAUAGCUUUGGGGUUGUGAUUUUGGAAGCAAUCACUGGAAGAGAUCCGGUGGAUUAUGGUCGGCCAGCACAAGAGGUAUGACAAAAUUGUUACUGUUUUGAAGUGAGAAUUUGGAGAUCAAAUAUGCAUCUUAGUUUUGCAUUCGUAUAUUGAUUAGUUAAGGAUGCAUGUCAUAUUCGAUAAUCUGCUUUUAAAUUCAUUUUAGUUUGCACAGGAAAAUUCUUUGCUUCCGAACAAAUGGAUACCCCAAAAAAACCUUGGAGUUGUUUGAUAUGUUCUGUGACAGCUAACUAUCUUUAUAUCUGCUUCCUUUAGGGGAACAAAAAAGAAGAAAAAGGAAUGAUACCUGUGUAGUAACAGUUGCCCUUACACCUGCUGUGUGCAUCUUGUAGGUAAAUUUGGUGGAUUGGCUCAAGAUGAUGGUUGGAGGCAGGCGUUCAGAAGAGCUGGUAGAUCCGAACAUUGAGACCAAGCCAUCUACGAGUGCCCUUAAACGAGCCCUCUUGACUGCACUGAGGUGUGUAGAUCCAGAUUCUGAUAAAAGGCCUAAGAUGGGUCAAGUGGUUCGCAUGCUUGAAUCGGAGGAGUAUCCCAUACCUCGAGAGGUACGUUUCUGAAAUCAUCUUUGAAAUAACAAUGCUAAACAGACCUUAUAUCCAUUUGACACAAAUAUAGAUUUCAUUCGAAUUUUUGGCUUGCGUGGCUUGUUUUUUCAAUUCAUCUCAUCGUUAUACUCUGAGGAGUUCAUAAGUUGAUCUAUGUAAUGUAACUUGGCUGGAAUUCAGGACCGAAGACGCCGCAGAAGUCAAGCAGGGAACACAGAAGCCGAGUCUCUAAAUUCUGAUACAGAUUGGAGUGAGAAGCCAACUACAAAGACAGAUAGCAGAAGGAACCGUCGAACAUAGGCAAAUGGCGAAUCAAUCAUAGAAAUGCAAGGAAUACAAAUCAAAGGGGACAUGUUACACUCGUUUAAAGCUUUCAUAUUCUUCAGCCUACCAUAGUUGUGAUCAAAGGAAGGAACUGAAACGAGAUAAAGGAAAGGACCAGAACGAAAGGAACUUUUUUUUACUUGUUUUUUUGAAUAUAUAAACCUACUUAUAGGUGUUGAGAGAUGGUUUUUGUGUAUGGAGUGGCACUAGAAGGGGAUGCCUUAGCCAUCGAGUGUGUACAGUUAUCGGUUUUUUCUCUUCCUUUUUUUCUUUAGGUGAUUGUAAUUCAUGAGAUUUUUUCUGAGACAUGCUAAAGUUUACAGGAAGAAACGUUUUUGGCUUGCAUUGUGUGUUUCUACUACCAGCAUUGUGUUAGGUUUACGACCGCGACGGGAGCUUGGUUGAAUGUCAAGCCAUGUUGCCGUGCAUUUGAAGCAAACUGUGAGAUGUGAAACUCAGCACAAGGAAAGGCAGUCAUAUAAUUGCCAAGUUCAAUAUAAGGGUUGCGUGUCAUGUGAUUUUGGAGGCUAAAAUUGCACAUCAUGUGCUUUGAUUUAUUGCUAAGCACGGGAAGGCUAUUUUUCUCCUUUCAUGCUCCCAACUUUUCUUGAGUAAUUGCAGACACACAGUACCAACACAUUUAAUUGUUCGAUUUGAUUUAACGCUCGUUGGUCAUUCAGUUUAAACCGUUGGAUCAAAUCCAAGGCUUUGUAUUUUUACAGAUAGGAUUGAAUAUGGCUAUGCAUUUUUUGUUUUUUUUGUUAUGCUUGGCAAUAUUAACCAGACAACGCUUCAAAUUAAAAUGGUGUUUGAACAUGUUAUCCAACAACCAAAAGGGGUCAUGAGCAUUAUGGGAUGAUUUGUUCCGCCGAAUCCAUGGACUAAACAAAUACGCAUAUGUGAAUUAAGCCAGUUGAAAAAGGCUCCGUGUCUAACCCGUGCAUCCAAGCUCAAAUCACCCUCCUCAUAAAUUAGAAUAAUUUAAAAUAUCAUCUCGCCAAGAAUAAAAACAUAAAUACACUGUUUGGUCCCCUCACAACAAAAAGCUAUAUUCUGCACUAUGUUUGGAAUCUUAUUCUCUGCAAAUUUAUGUGCUGUUCCAGGAGACUAAACAGACACCCAAGAAAAGGUUGUUGAUUUAGAAAAGUCGAAUAAUCCAAGGCUCCAAUAAGGAACUUUUGAACAGGUAACAGAGUCACCGUGAAUUACAUAGGGGAUCAUUAAGAUUUUGAUGAGCAAAAGGAACCGAAGAAUGGUAUGAUCUACAGAAACUGUGUUUACAAAACGAAUCUCAAUAAUGUUGUCUGCACGAACGAUUGACAGGUCGGGAAUCCAGAAGCUUGUUGUUUCAAUGGUGGGGAGCGGACCGAGCAUGCAAAAGAGGCUGUAGAGCCUUGACAACAAUGCUCAUAUUUGGCCGGAAAUCAGCUUCAUAUUGGACGCACAAGGCGGCAACAGCAGCCAACUGUUUCAAGCACACAAAUUGUGAUCAGUGGAUUUGAAGUAAACCAACUGCCUGCCUUUUCAAUUAGUCUAUAACUGGCCAGACCAAAAGUAUGUCGUGUUCUUGUCCAUCCAAUCAACAAUUUAAAGAUAACAUAAUUAUAUAUGUGUGUAACUGUGUAUACAUAUUAAGGAAUCGCAGCAAUGGCAAGUAUUUCUUGGAAUCAAGUAAACUGGUGGUGAAUAAUUACUCAAUGUGUUCCCGAUUACCUUUGCAACUGCCUUGGAAGGGUAUUCUCCAUUGAGUCUAGCAUCAACACACUGCUUCACCUUAUCCUCACUGAGUUUUGGUGUUGCCUAAUAGAAUCAAAAAUUCGAGAAAAAAACUCAGCGAAAUGAAAGAUGAAAACCAGUAACCAAUAAAAUUCUCCGCUUCCACCCGUCCUGAAUGAAUAAAACAAAAGAUGCAAGAACCAAGCAUGAGUUACAAGUAGACAAGAACUAGGAUGAAAUUAGUACCCAUGUCACAAGGCUCUGCUGCCCACGCGGCAAUGUGUGAUCAACAGGUUUACGCCCAGUCAAGAGUUCAAGCAACACUACACCAAAGCUGUAGACAUCACUUUUUGAACUCAGCUGUCCAGUCAUUGCAUAUCUGCCAUUCGGAAUCACAGACAAGAAUUACAAGGGGAUAUAUGCCAAAUCAAAAUUUUGGGCGUACAUCAUAACGUGAUUAUACGGUACAUCAAGGAAGAAAUUACUCUGGAGCAUGAUAACCAAAAGUCCCAAGAACACGAGUAGAAUGAAGACGUGCUGCCAUAUCAGGUGCUUGAUUUGACAGAUCAAAAUCAGCAAUCUUUGCAACAUCAUCAUCAAAAAGCAGUAUAUUGCAGGACUUAAUAUCACGAUGGAUUAUAUGAGGCUGCGCCUUUUCAUGUAGAUAUUCAAGUCCUCUCGCUGCUCCUACAGCAAUUUUAACCCUUUGUACCCAUGACAGAACCGGACCUGGCUGUGCUCCCUUAACACCUUUCCGACCUAUAGCCACAUAAAGAGAAACAAAUUUCUAUUAGCAUAGAGAUGAAGGCGAUCUUACUAAUUAUCAAAGAGAUAAAGCUCAAAAAUUUGCAGCUGAUGAGCAAUUUUCUAUUGUUUGGAGGCCAACCCGCUCGUUUCGCAGAUUACAUGAAACACUAGGCGUCAUUAAACACAAACAACUAUCAUCAACUAAUUGACCUUCAACCUAUAAGUUAUUAAGCCUCAUUCAAAAUUUGUAAACCAAAAAAAAAUUCUGUGUGCAUAAAGCUUCACUAAAAAAAGAUCUAUGUGGUACUUGAUUAAAAAUUUACAACUUUUGGAGGCUGUAAAUAACACCACACGAUAGGAAUGUGGAAAUGUUACUUACCAUGGAGAAUAUCAUGAAGGGACCCCUUAGGAGCAUACUCAUAGGCAAGGAGACGGAGAGGGCCAUCAAUACAAUAACCAACAAGCUCGACAGCAUUCUCAUGUUUUAGUCUUGAAACCAUGGAGACCUGUAAAUUUAUGCUCCAAGCAUUAAAUAAAUUUGAGUAUCAAAUAGCGUACCAUGUCAAGUAUCAAACACAAAACAUUCCGCAGACUUAACCUGCGAUAAGAAUUCUCGCUCCGGUUGUUUACUGGAGUCUAACUUCUUAAUAGCUGCAGCAGGCCCACUUUUCAGAACACCAUGAUAUACUCUUCCAUAUGAACCCUCACCGAUUAAAGAUUUCGUGCCAAAGUUAUCUGUCAAAUCUUUCAAUUCAUCCACUGGAAUGGCAGCGACAGCGAUGGGGAGGAUAUUUACAACCUGAGUAUCCUUGGGUGCAGCUUCUUUCUGAUAGUAACCUCCACUAUUGCCUAAAUUUCAAAUGUCGAGUUUUGCAUCAAUCAAACAAUAAGCCGUAAACAGUGGAUAUCUAAAAUCAAAUGGCAUAGAAGUUGACCUGACUAAUUCCAACUGAAAAAGUAAUGGAAUAUGUCAUUAUUAUCAAUGCACUCAGAAUAAGAACAUCGUAUAUAUACACCCACGCGGUACCUGCUGAGUGAUUUGUCACAUGCGGUCGAGUCUCAGAAGCUUUACGGACAUCAUCUUGUACACAACAACUGAAGCAGCUCAUGAUGUUUUUAUCUGAAGAAACAGUUGAAAACCAUCUUAAGCAAUCUUACGUUGACAGACCGCGGGCGAUAAAAUUUAUCUAACAAAGAUCAAUGGUUUCUGGAUAGUUAUAAAGUCUGGCUUAAUUUCAGACUAGUUCAAUCUGUUAUAAGUUACUAAAACCUCAAUGAAUUAACAUGCUUUAUUCUAAAUCAAUGUUAUUCAAACAAGAGAAACGAUGAAGAAGCACUUGGAUAUCACCCAAAAAAUUAAAAAAACACAACCAAAAAUCUGUAUCAAAAGUUAAAUCCAUCAAUUUAUUCAUUUCACAAAUUAAACCAAAUCAAAGUAAAAAUUCAAAAUUCCCAUUUAAGAUCCAUCAACAAGGAGAGAUUCAUUUUUACAACAGAACAUAAAAUUCAAAGCUUUCUAUUUCUACAUGUUCCUCUUGAGUCCUGUCUCAAAAAAACAAAACAGAUACACAAUAAAUCAAAAGAAAAAGAAGCCACAAUUAGAAAAAAGUGCAUCUAAAACAAAUAAAUUUACAAAAAAUAAAAAAUAAAAAAAAAGUAGCAGAAUUGUGGGGGAAUGAUAUCUCUCACCUUGGUAUGUUUAUAUGGUUCUUCUGGCAAUUGGGUUUUUUGAGUUUUGAGUCAAGUGUUGGGAUUGGAGUGAUGAGAGUGAUCAGGCCGGCUAUGGAGGCCCGCAGGAGAGGGAGAGGGGAAGGAGGCGCACGUCAGCAAUGUACAGAAGGCAUGCAAAUGGGGAGGUUGGGAUGUCUGUCUGUCUCUCUGUCUCUCUGUUCUGGCUUUGACUUACGUUAGAAGAGAGGACACAAAGACAACAACCGAAUUUUGUGUUUCCACUCUUAAACUCCUCGGUCUUCACGAUCUUCUGCGCAUUUCGAAACUGUCAAAAACCAGUUGGGAUGUUAAAUCUUUUUAAUUUUUUUUUUAAUUUGAUAUAAAUAUCUCUUCACUCAAUUGCGUUCUUAGUUUAAGUUCUCUGAUUUAUUUUUAAGUGUGCAUUAACGUAAGAUAUCGCUUCUAAACAGUACAAGUAACAACGCCAUUUACAGUUAUUAAUUAAAAUUUUAAUAAAUAAAAAUAAUAGUGCUGUUUUCUAAAAAAGUAAAACAUCAAAAGUAUUAAUCAUACUAAAAACUAACAUUUGUCUACAUACUUUGUAUGUAUGUACAUAUUUUUUUUUUAGAAAAUAAGAAGGAGAGAGAAAGCGUGUAGGGUGAGAGAUUUUUGUUUUUGAUUUUGAUUUUUUGAUUUUUUGAUUUUUUUUAAAUAUUGAAGGUAUUUUAACAUCACAUGUAGGUGAUGUUUUAAUAAAAAAUAAUAAAAUUUGGACCUAUGAAAUUACAUUAUUGCCUAUCUUUUUUUUUGGUGUCAUAGAAGACUAAUUUAUCUUUUCACUCUCUUUUGAUUGACAAAGAGAGUUUUAUUAAUUAGUAGAAAUAUUAAGGCCAUCUCCAACCGAUGGCUGGCCAGAUGGCUCGUCUCAGCCCUCUGGCCCUCCAAGAUUCUCCAAGAUAUUAAUAAAAGGGGAUGAAUAGUGAGAACAAGUUCAACCCAAAAAAGAAAAGCAAUAGAAAAAAAAGAAAACUAAUGAAAAAUGUUUGAAAACUUUGAGUUUUAACGAUAAGGGUGAAAUAAAGAUUAAAGUGAAUAGUACUAAUAUUGACUUUUUAGUGUAAAAAUAUUAUUUUUUAUUAAAGUAAACAGUACCGGAAACUUUUCGUUAAAGUUCUUAAAAAAAAAAAGAUGAAAACCCAGUUGACGUGUUAUUUUGAUGAAAGUGGCUGGCACAUUGUUUGUAUAUAUUACUCACGUACUUUCUAUACAUAUUAAACUACAUAAAGCAGAGCAAAGCAAUUAUUCCUCUCCAAAAUUCUUCUACCCAAUCUCAGUUUAUAUGUGCAUGUUACGCCUCGUUGCAACGUCAUCUUGAGUCAUGGGUUGUUCAUUUAGAUUAGUAAAUUAUUUCGCUCCUUAGAGGUGUGCGAUGCAAGAAGAUUUGUAACUAACUCGUUUAAUUACGAAUAUUUACAUUUGCAUCGGAUGAUUUACGGUAUUAAGUUCAAACCUCUCCUUGACUCUUGUCCUUUGAUUUUAAUAUAUGUUAAUUCCAGAUUAAAUUAUGUUAAUGUGAUUUGCAUUACAUUUUUAUAUGCACCGCCGUUUUGAAGAUGUGGAUUCUGGAGGGAUUGUUCCUCUGUGUAAGUAUGUCUUAAUGGGCUUUUAAAUUUAGAUGCUUUGUUAGAUAAUUUUUCAUUGUGGCUGAAACGUUAAAGCGUACUCCAUAUAUUAUUAUACAAUUAGAAGGACAUUUAAAAAAAAAAAACUUUCUACUGAUGACAUGUGAUGUAUUGUACUAUGUUCUAAAUAUGCUGAAAAAUUUCUCGCCUCAUUGACCGUUUUCAUUGACUAAACAUCGAUUUCUUUUAAACUUUUGAUUAAAAUGCUUUUUUCUAGUUAAUUAAGCCAUUUUAUGUACAAAAUUACACUUAUGAUAUAUUUUCUUUGUCAAAAGAUAAAGUUUUAUUGAAUUCCAAUAUAAACGUUUUCAUUUUCAGCAAGAAUAUUAAAAAAAAAUCUGGAUCAAGAACAUCCCACCGGAAAUCACCUCCAUGCGAGGUAACAUAUGAGGCUACAGCAUCCAUAACGACAUUUCCUUUUCGCUUUACAUACAAAAACCUCACCUCUCCUUGUUGAGACACCAAACAUAUAAUGUCACGAAUAAAACAUUCCAAACUAGCAUCUAUAGAAUACGCUUCUUGAAGCAUUCGAAUCAACGACUGAGAAUCAGAUUCGAUUUCCACCAACGCAGCACGAAUCGCCGCAGCUUCAGCCAUAGCCGCGUUGUUGAAGAAUAAACCCCCUGCGCCACCCGCCAUUUGCAACAACCCUGCGAAAUCCCUCAUAACCCAUCUGUAUCCUCCCUGUAAAGACUUCCCACACCAGGCACCGUCACAAUUAACCUUUAGUACACCAUAGGUGGGCCUCCUCCACCGUACCUGCUGCUCAGCAAAAAUAGCACCAUUCGUUUCCACAUAGGAGUCAGCAGCCUGCUGAUUGGUAAUAUGGCAUGCUUUAAAUUCUAGGAGUAGAUGCCGCACCAAAUUAACCCCAUCCAUAGGAUUAAUUAAUGUACCUUUGAAAACCAUUGCAUUUCGACUCUUCCAGAUUCUCCACUAGACAAACACGCACUCCUGCAAAAGAAGACAUACCAUUGCUAAAUGAAAACGUACCAAUGCCAAAUUAAAAUAUAUCGACGCUAAAUCAAAAUGUAUUGAUGCGAGGUGAAUAAGUCUCAACACAAAAUGAAAACGGUCAAAUUAAAAUGUAUCGACCAAAUUUAUUUACCGGUAUUAGACAAAGUACGGACCUAAUUUAUUUACCCGUUCUAUACAUGUCACUUCAAGUAAUGCUUAGAAAGUACAUGCCUACUAACACACAAUUAACUUUAUAAAUUAAAUAUGAAAAUAGACGUACAAAUCAACAAUAUUAAUAAAAUCGCUUUGAAAAAUAUGUAUAAAGUUAAAUUGAUUAUAGAAACAAACGUACCAAUCAACAAUAUGAGUAAAAUUGCUUUAAAAAAUAAUAUAUAUAUAUAUAUAUAUAUAAUCAAACGAUUGUGGUGGCACUAGUGGCGGUUGUGACAUUCGCUAAAUUGCUCCGGUCAUUAGUAUGGAUAAGUAUGUAAAUGGAUAGAGAUAGGGAAGCAAACUCAAGAUGUAUGUGGUUCACCCAGAUUGGCUACGUCCACGGAGUAGAGGAGUUCUCAUUAGUUGUGAAGGGUUUACACAAGUACAUAGGUUCAAGCUCUCUUUUAGUGAGUACAAGUGAAUGAUUUAGUACAAAUGACAUUAGGGAAUAUUGUGAGAGAAUGAUCUCUAUUUAUAGAAGAGAGUUUCUAGUUUCAUUCUGACUUUGACACGUGUCGUGUUGUGAUUGGCUUCUGAUGUUGACACGUGUCGCGAUAUGAUUGGCUUCUGAUGUCGACACGUGUCGCGCUGUGAUUAGCCUCCUGGUUGGAGGGAAACUCUUCUAGGUCCUUGAUAGUAUAACGUUGACCCGUGCUCAGUAGUUUCGGGAUUGGUCAAGUAUGGUACAAACAGUGCUCCCCUAAGUUCCUGAGUGAGGGAAGCUCCUCGGUUGGGGACUUGCAAGAUCCAAGCCAUUGAGUAAUCACGAAACUUCUAAGUACCGAAGUGUGGUAUCAUUUUCACUUGUCUUAUCUGUCUCAUACGUAGAUGUGGCAUCUUCUCUGGAAGUACUUUUCCUCCAUCCAGGGGUGAUAUCUUUAACCGAUGAAGAUGCACAAGGUAAUGUAUCAAUUUCACUUGAAGCUUACUUGUAGUUUUGGGCUUGGUCAAAUGCGAUACAAAACCCUAUAGUAGGAGCCCCCCAAGUCGCCGAGCUAGGAGAUUUGCCGAAUGAGGUAACAGACAAGGUAAGCAAUCAGACUUCCAAGCAAGCAACCUGGAUCGGAGGUUCGUCUUCGGAUUCCGGUUGAUUGUUCUUCUUCUCCUUAUGUCGUAAACAACAACAAGGAUAAGGAGAAGCAAAUGGAGAAUAGAUGAUAUGAGAUACUUUUACUUUUGAAGAAGUAUUUUUCCACAUGCGUAUUCUUGAACUGGGCUGGAGGGUUUUCUAGUUUCUUUCAGAGUAUAAGGCUAACUCAAGAAUUUGAGGGUCAAAACAAGUCCAUCAAAUCUAGAGUACGUUUGACCUUGAUGAUAUGUGAUACUUUUGUUGUUGACAAAGUAGUGGAUGUAUCGACACGUGUUCUGUUACGCUUGUCUCCACAUGCUUCCUUGUAUCCUUCUCACUUGCCCUAUCUGUUCCUCAGGCAGAUGUGGUAUCUUCUAUGGAAGCAUAAGAUGUUGAAGAUGAGUACUCGAGAGCAAUGUCAGGUAAGUAAUCAGGCAAGGGGUUCCAGGCAGUCAGUUCCUGACUGGAAGCUUGAUUCCAAGUGCUGACUGAUUGCUCUCUUUCUCCUUGUCUUGCAGGUAAGAACAAUGCCAAAGGAAAAGACAGGGAAAAAGCAUGAUAUGGGAUACUCUUGCUUUUAACCCUGAUGAUAUGAGGUACUCUUGCUCUGGUGUGGCUUGUUUGCAUAGGUAUUAUCGGGAGGAAAAGAAGCUGAGUAUUUCGAGAGACUUUGCUGAGAGUGCCCUCUCGGAUGUGAAGAAAAGUUGAGCAUUUUUUUUAUUUGCAGGUCUGCCUAGCUGUGGAGGAUGGAGGUCGACAUAUAUAGGAGUCUCCUUAACAACAAGUAGUAGUGCUAUUCAUUUACCCUUCUUGGUCAUAGCAAUGUAGUGGGAGCUGCAAGCUUCACGUGUUUUAACUUUGUCAAAGCACUUUGAAAAAGUGGUCUGUGGUAUCUGGAAAGCUGAUGUUGCGUGUGAAGAUUGCAGACAAGCUUUAUCCAAGGAAAUCAGGCUCUCGAAGUUCGGAGAGCGGUGCCUCUUCGGUUUUCGAACAGGCAAUCUUGUCAAGGAUCUGGCUUUCGAGAUUCAGAGAACGGUGCUUCUUCAAUUUUUGAGAACGCAAUCCUGUUUGGGGUCUAACUCUUGAGAUUUGGAGAGCAGUGUCUCUUCGAUUUUUGAGAAAGUAAUCAUGUUGGGAGUCUGGCUCUCGAGAUUCGGAUGGCGGUGCCUCUUCAAUUUUUUAGCACAUAAUCCUGUUGGGAGUCUGGCUCUCGAGAUUUGGAGAGCGGUGCCUCUUCGAUUUUUGAGAAAGCAAUCAUGUUGGGAGUCUAACUCUUGAGAUUCGGAUAGCAGUGUCUCUUCAAUUUUUUGAGAAAGUAAUCCAGUUGGGAGUCUGGCUCUCGAGAUUCGGAGGGCGGUGCCUCUUCGAUUUUUGAGCACGUAAUCCUGUUGGGAGUUUGGCUCUCGAGAUUCGGAAAGCGGUGCCUCUUCGAUUUUUGAGCAAGUAAUCUUAUUAGGAAUGUUUUCUCGAAUGUGAGUAAAGGUUGGGCAUUUUUGCCAGUUUGCCUUGCCACGGAGCACGGAAGUUGACACACAUUGGGACUUUCUACUUAUCAAGGAGUGGAGCUGUUCCUUUACCCUUGUGGGUAAUAGUAGGGUAGCUGGACCUUCAAAAUUUAUGUGUCUAAACUUUGUCAGAGAUUUUUGGCAAAGUUAUAUAUGGUACCCGAGAAACUGAUGUUGCGUGUGGAAAGUGGUGCCACUUCAAUUUUUGAACCAAUUACCCUAUUGCCCUUUCUUUUAUAAGGGCACCAAUUGUGUGCAAGGAGUACAUUCAGAGAGUUAUUGCUUGUAGGAAUUUUCCCCUUACUUCAGAGAUUUCUUUCACCUAAUUUUUCCUUCAUCAUUUCUGAGAAUGUCUGACCCAUAUAACCGUCGUUUUGACUUGAACUUUGGUGAAGAGGUAGCCAUACCUUCUCAAGACAACAUAUAACGGCCAUCUUUCUUAUCCUCUACUGGUCCUCUUACCGUUGGAGACUCUGUGAUGAAGAAUGAUAUGACCGCUGCGGUGGUGGCCAAGAACCUUGUUACUCCCAAAGAUAACAAACUACUUUCCAAACGGUCUGAUGAGUUGGCUGUUAAGAAUUCUCUGGCUCUUAGUGUUCAGUGUGCAGGUUCUGUGUCUAAUAUGGCCCAACGCCUAUUUGCUUGAACCCACCAAGUUGAAUCAUUAGCGACUGAAGUGAUAAGUCUCAAACAGAAGAUCAGAGGGCUCAGGCAUGAGAAUAAACAGUUGCACAGGCUUGCACAUAACUAUGCUACAAACAUGAAGAGGAAGCUCGACCAGCUGCAGGAAUCUGAUGGUCAGAUUUUAGUUGAUCAUUAGAGGUUUGUGAGUUUGUUCCAAAUGCAUUUAUUGCCUUUGUCUUCUGGGGCUGUACCGCGUAAUGAAGCUCCAAAUAAUCAACCUUUGGUGCCUCCUCCUUUUGGGAUUCUGCCUAGUACCGAGGCUCCGAAUAAUCAUCCUAUGGUGCCUCCUCUUUUUAGGGCUAUGUCGAUUGCUAAGACUUCUCCUGAGCAACCUUUGUGAAGGCUCCCUCUUAUUUGUUUAUUUUGAUUCAUGUAUAUGUACAUAUUUGUAAUUUAUCGGAGAUAUCAAUAAACAAGUUUUGCUUCAUUUCAACGUAUUGUGUUAAAUACAUCAAGGCCUUCUUCACUUAGUUCUUUGAAUUUUUCCUUUUGUUGAAACUUGUAUGUUGAAGCUUUGUGAGUGAAGCAUGUAGGUUGAGGUAGUGCUCCCCUAAUUUUCCGAGUGAGGAAAACUUCUCUUUUGGAAACUUGAAAAAUUCAAGUCACUGAGUGGUCGUGAGACUUCCGAGUAUCAAGGUGCAGUAGCAUAUGGUAGGAGUCCCCCAAGUUUCCGGUCGAAGUAGUUGACGAAUGAGGCAUUUCCUUUCUAAGUGGUAGCUCAAAACUCCUUCUUCAUAUAUAUUUGUUAUGAAAGUUGUUAGACUCAUAGAAUAGGAGGCCUAGGCAAUUUUUAUUUUAUUUUUUUGAAUUUUUUUUUUUCGAUUUUUUUUCGAAUUUUUGAAUUUCCAAAAUUUUGAAUUUUUGAAUUUUUGAAUUUCUGAAAAUAUAUAUAUAUAUAUAUAUAUAUAUUUUUUUUUUAAAGCUUUGUAAGUGAAGCUUUGGUGUUGAAGCUUUGAGGUUGAAGCUUUGUUGGGCACCAUGAAUUGAUUUUGCUUCACACUAUCUUGAUCAAGAUAGUGUGAAACUUUUGUAGGUGAAGCUUUUGUAUUGAAGCUUUGUAGGUAAAGCUUUUGUAUUGAAGUUUUGUAAGUGAAGUUUUUGUGGGUGAAGUUUUUGUGGGUCAAGCUUUUGUAGGUGAAGCUUUUGUAUUGAAGCUUUGUAAGUGAAGUUUUUGUGGGUGAAGUUUUUGUGGGUCAAGCUUUUGUAGGUGAAGCUUUUAUGGGUCAAGCUUUUGUAGGUCAAGCUUUUGUAGGUCAAGCUUUUAUGGGUCAAGUUUUUGUGGGUCAAGCUUUUGUGGGUGAAGCUUUUGUAGGUGAAGCUUUUGUGGGUGAAGCUUUUGUGGGUGAAGCUUUUGUGGGUGAAGCUUUUGUGGGUGAAGCUUUUGUAGGUCAAGCUUUUAUGGGUCAAGCUUUUGUGGGUCAAGCUUUUGUAGGUGAAGCUUUUGUGUUGAAGCUUGCUUUUGUGGGUGAAGCUUUUGUAGGUGAAGCUUUGAAGUUGAAGCUUUUGUUGGGUACCAUGAAUUGAUUUUGCUUCACACUAUUUUCAUCAAGAUAGUGUGAAGCUUUUGAGAAUUUGUAGUUGUCCUCCAUUGAUGAAGCUUUGGAGUUGAAGUUUUAUAGGUGAAGCUUUGGAGUUGAAACUUUUGUUGGGUACCAUGAAUUGAUUUUGCUUCACACUAUCUUGAUUAAGAUAGUGUAAAGCUUUUGAGAAUUUGUAGUUGUCCUCCAUUGAUGAAGCUUUGUUGAAUUUCCACACUGUUGAGCAAGAGAUUGUGAUGCAAGCCACACCUUGUAUUAGUCGAAGGUUUGGAUGAACCAUAUAAAUUGAAUUUGCUUCGAAGGUCUAAGAAUUGUAGUUGCCCUCCAUUGAUGAAGCUUUUGUUGGCACCAUAAAUUGGUUUUGCUUCACACUGUCAUGAUCAAGAGUGUGUGAAGCUUUUGAGAAUUGUGGUUGAACUCCUUUGGUGAAGCUUUUUUUGGCACCAUAAAUUAGUUUUGCUUCACACUGUCUUGAUCAAGAGUGUGUGAAGCUUUUGAGAAUUGUGGUUGCCCUUCAUUGAUGGAGCUCUUGUUGGCACCAUAAAUUGGUUUUGUUUCACACUGUCUUGAUCAAGAGUGUGUGAAGCUUUUGAGAAUUGUGGUUGAACUCCUUUGAUGAAGCUCUUGUUGGCACCAUAAAUUGGUUUUGCUUCACACUGUCUUGAUCAAGAGUGUGUGAAGUUUUUGAAAAUUGUGGUUACCCUCCAUUGAUGAAGCUCUUGCUGUUGGCACCAUAAAUUGGUUUUGCUUCACACUGUCUUGAUCAAGAGUGUGUGAAGCUUUUGAGAAUUGUGGUUGCCCUCUAUUGAUGAAGCUUUUGUUGUCACCAUAAAUUGGUUUUGCUUCACACUGUCUUGAUCAAGAGUGUGUGAAGUUUUUAAGACUUGUGGUUGAACUCCUUUGAUGAAGCUCUUGUUGGCACCAUAAAUUAGUUUUGCUUCACACUAUCUUGAUCAAGAGUGUGUGAAGCUUUUGAGAAUUGUGGUUGCCCUCUAUUGAUGAAACUCUUGUUGGCACCACAAAAGCUUGACCCACGAGGCUUAUGUAUUGAUGAAGCUCUUGAUGCAUAAAAUCAGUGAGGACUUUGGUACAACAUAAAGUGUUAAGUUUGUGACAUUCGCUAGAUUGCUCCGGUCACUAGUAUGGAUAAGUAUGUAAAUGGAUAGAGAUAGGGAAGCAAACACAAGAUGUACGUGGUUCACCCAAAUUGGCUACGUCCACGGAGUAGAGGAGUUCUCAUUAAUUGGGAAGGGUUUACACAAGUACAUAGGUUCAAGCUCUCCUUUAAUGAGUACUAGUGAAUGAUUUAGUACAAAUGACAUUAGGGAAUAUUGUGAGAGAAUGAUCUCUAUUUAUAGAAGAUAGUUUCUAAUUUCAUUCUGAUAUUGACACGUGUCGUGUUGUGAUUGGCUUCUGAUGUUGACACAUGUCGCGCUAUGAUUGGCUUCUGAUGUCGACAUGUGUCGCGCUGUGAUUGGCCUCCUGGUUGGAGAGAAACUCUUCUGGGUCCUUGAUGGUAUAACGUUGACCGGUACUCAGUAGUUUCGGGAUUGGUCAAGUAUGGUACAAAUAAAAACAAUACCAAACGAAGCAUAAAACCUAUUAACAAGAAGUUGAGGAAUCUAAUUUCCUCAUGUCUUAAUUAGCAUCUUAACACUAAUUAGCUCGCAAAGAUUUGACUAAUAUACAUAACAAUAAUCAAUCUAACCGAUGAAGAAGCCAUGAAGCCACUCUUCAAUGUUGACCUUCUCCUCCACGUCAAAUUCUCAAUGUUAACAAUAGGUCUUAGUUCAAUUGCGAGAAUAUUCAUGGCUGAAGCGACCGGCAUACUCUCGUAGUGACUCGUCCGGCUUCUGGCAAAUAGUGUACAAGUAAUCUGCAGAAUGCAAGUGAUCGAUCUGGAAGAUGUGUUGAGAGACAAACAGUUUCCUUAAUUCCUCAAAUGAGUCUACUGUCUCAGGUGGAAUACGGCAAUACCAGUUUAGAGCUCCGCCAGAAAUAGUGGAGGGGAAGAGAAGACAUCGCUCUUCGUCGGUGUGCAUUCGAUAUGCCAUGGUGGACUCAAAGAGGUUAAAGUGUUCAAUUAGGUCCUCCCUUCCUGUAUAGAGUUGUAAACCAAGCUUUUGUUUUGUCUUCGCUUGAAGGGGCGUGUCGAUGAUCCUUCUUAUGAGAAGGCCAAGCCUGGGUUGGUUCCAGUCAGGUAUCUCGGCCUAACGUUUGGCAUUCAACUUGUUUACUUCCUCAAGGAGCUGUAGGGCAAUGGGGUCCUGAGUGGAGUCAUGUGUCACUGGAAUUUUCUUUCGUAAGUCUUCAUCGCCUCUUGGAAGUAGGAAAGUUUAAGCAAUGACGUGUGGUUUUUUCAUGGACUCGCUGUACUGACUUUUAGGGCAAGUAUGUCGGAAUACCUCAGAGUCCCCCAUACCUUCAUGUUCCUCUGGGACCAGUCAUUCCUUCCCUAGAUUGGCAGUUGGCCUGGGUCGUGGGAGGGGAUCGAGUCUUUCAGAAACCCUUGGGUCAUUGAUUUUCGAGCAUAUGUGGAGGGGAUUUUUUCGACGUUGCUUUAGGAAGUCUCGGCAGUCACGAUAAAUGGUUUUCGAUCCUUCCAACCUUUCUGCAAGGAGGUGUCUUCCUCCACUUUUUCUACUUCGGGUCGAAGCAUCUGGGUUGAAAGAAGUCUCAUGUUGAUCAAUGUUUUGAUGAUUAGCUCGCUCCUCAUCAGGGAUACCCAUGUCGAAUGGAGGUGACCCUCCGUGUUGGGGGGCACCCAGAUGAUAGUUGAUGUCCAUAGGGGUAACGAGCUUCCGUGUUUGAGUACGCUUAGUUUCGUGGAGUGUCUUAAAGAGCUUCUCAUACUGCUCCUGGAGGACCUCAUUCUUCAUUUCUAUCUUGUUGUUCUAAGCUUUUAGCUCAUCGACUUUAGCUUGAAAAGCAACCAUCUUUCCUUCAUUCUUUCGUUUCUUCGCACUAGGUGCAAGAGGGGUGUCAUUCUAUGUGCUGUGGCUUCCUUCGCUCCCCAUGUUGGAAAGGGAUGCCUGGUCAAAAUAGAGUGUACGAAUGGUGGAAACCAGCUUGGCAAAGCUGAAGAGAGUGGGAAUAAGUGUCGUUCCCACAGACAGCGCCAAAUGUUGAUACACAAAAUCAGCGAGGACUUUGGUACAACAAAAAGUGUUAAGUUUGUGACAUUCGCUAGAUUGCUCCGAUCAUUAGUGUGGAUAAGUAAGUAAAUGGAUAGGGACAGGGAAGCAAACACAAGAUGUACGUGGUUCACCCAGAUUGGCUACGUCCACGGAGUAGAGGAGUUCUCAUUAAUUGUGAAAGGUUUACACAAGUACAUAGGUUCAAGCUCUCCUUUAGUGAGUACUAGUGAAUGAUUUGGUACAAAUGACAUUAGGAAAUAUUGUGAGAGAAUGAUCUCUAUUUAUAGAAGAGAGUUUCUAGUUUCAUUCUGACUUUGACACGUGUCGUGUUGUGAUUGGCUUCUGAUGUUGACACGUAUCGCGCUAUGAUUGGCUUCUGAUGUCGACACGUGUCGCACUGUGAUUGGCCUCCUGGUUGGAGGAAAACUCUUCUGGGUCAUUGACGGUAUAAUGUUGACUGGUGCUCAGUAGUUUCGGGAUUGGUCAAGUAUGGUACAAACACAAAAUGUAUUGAUGCUAGGUGAAUAAGUCGCAACACAAAAUGAAAACGGACCAAUGCCAAAUUAAAAUGUAUCGACCAAAUUUAUUUAUUGGUACUAGAUAAAGUACGGACCCAAUUUAUUUACCCAUUCUAUACAUGCCACUUCAAGUAAUGCUUAGAAAGUACAUGCCUACUAACACACAAUUAACUUUAUAAAUUAAAUAUGAAAAUAAAUGUACCAAUCAACAAUAUUAAUAAAAUCGCUUUGAAAAAAAUGUAUAAAGUUAAAUUGAAUAUAGAAAUAAACGUACCAAUCAACAAUAUGAGUAAAAUUGCUUUAAAAAAAUAAUAUAUAUAUAUAUAUAUAUAAUCAAACGAUUGUGGUGGCACUAGUGGCGGUUGUGGUGGCAGUUGUGACGAUUGUGGUGGCGGUGCAGUGGUGGUGGUGGUGGCAGUGGCGGUGAUGUAAGGUUAGUGUUUAUAGUGGUAAGUGGUGGCAAUCAUUUUAUUCUCCAAGGAUUAAAUGUGUGUAGAAGGAUAAAAUAUGUUAUUUUAAAAAACUAAUGAAGGUAUUACAAGAAUUGAAAAUUUUCAUUAAAUGCUCAAUUCCUUUUAAAAACAACCUAUAUGCUUCUUUUAAAAAUUGUUGUAUGGAGACUAUUGUUUUUAAAAUAAACAGAAUAUUUUAUUUUUACCAAACACUUUUUACUGCUUAACUAUAAAUGAAACAAAUUUCGAUAAAAAAAAAACAACACCAAACGAAGCAUAAAACCUAUUAACAAGAAGUGGAGGAGUCUAAUUUCCUCAUGUCUUAAUUAGCAUCUUAACACUAAUUAGCUCGCAAAUAUUUGACUAAUAUACAUAACAAUAAUCAAUCUAACCGAUAAAGAAGCCAUGAAGCCACUCUUCAAUGUUGACCUUCUCAUCCACGUCAAAUUCUCGAUGUUAACAAUAGGCCUUAGUUCAACAAUGAGCAUAUAUUAUUCCGUUAUACUUUCAAAACCAAUAUGAACUCAAACAUUCGGCUAAAAUACACCUCAUAUUCGAACAAUAUAUUUUGUUAAUUGUGAAAGGUGAUUUGGAAGAUAAUUGUGAUACUUGAUGCCAUGCGCGCUCUCGAUUUCUAACUACUCAUGCCGCCAUUGUCAUUGGGUAUGACCGGUGACAACUUGGUGGAAACGUAGCAAUUCGACACGAUUAUUCUCCAAACAUAUGAUUGUUGAGAGCCUGAAUCCUAUGUAAGGGUGGGCAACGGUUAUGCCAGACGGGUAACCGCGGUUAUUUACUUAUAACUGUUUAUGCUCAUACUCGCAUAACCGUUUACCCAUUUGGUAAUUGCCUAAAUUGUUAUACUCAUACCUAUAACCGUUUAUAAACGGUUAACCAUACCAAUAAUCGCAUACCCAUUUAACCGUAACCGUUUAAUACCCGUUUACUCAUUUUUAACUUGUUUAUCUUUUUCCCAUUUUUAACUUGUUUAUCUUUUUUUUUUACCAUUACCCAUUUUUCACCCAUCUACAUGUUUUUUAACAAAUUGAAAUUUUAAAAAAAAUUUGUCAUAAUUUUUUUUGACAAUUAAACACCGUUAUAGGGGUACAUUCAUUAUACAUUUCCUUAUUUUAAUUUUUUAAGUCCUUAUACCGUUUCAAUAAUUGAAAUAAUAGUUUACAGACGAUAUUUUUAAGGGGUGUGAUAUCCACACACCCCAUUUUACUUCUCACACACCUUUUUAAUUUUCGACCGUCGGAUCAGAUGAAUUGAAGAAGAUCAACGGACAAUAAUUAUUAAAGGUGUGUGAGAAGUAAAAUAUGGUGUGUGGAUAGCACACCCCUAUUUUUAACUGUUACCAAUGAAGGUAAUAUAAUAUUUGCUAAGUAUUCUUGGGUUAUGAAAACUGUUUAGAAGACAGUAUUUUUGAGUUAUUUAACCCAUAGUGCAAAGUAUUAACAUAAUAUAUAUAAUGAGCUACAUUAUUUUAUAAUUAGCUAUAUAAACCAUGCACUAUAGUCAAUAGCAUCAGAGGUGCAAUUUGGGCUGAGCCAACCCGAACCCGCCCAUGUCUAACCUGACUUUAAACUCGAAUAAGCGAAUUUUGUUGUUGUUAUAACCCGCCUGAACCCAACCCGAUUUCAACCCGUUCAUUGAUUGGGUUGGAUUGGGUUGAUCAUUUGUCCAUCCCAACCCAAUCCAAUUAACCAAACCCUAUUAGGUUGAGCUGUGCAACAUACUUCUCAAUAACCUUUGCACCUUUGCACCUUUGCACCUUUGCACCUUUGCACUUUCAUGAGAACCUACUGAUAUGAUAUACAAUUUGACUUGAAAGGAAUCAUAUUAAGUUUAUUUUGCUUUUCACAUCACAUCCUGUAGAACAACUUCCUUUAUUAAAUUAAUAUUGCAACUAUUCGACCUCUCUUUGAGAUCUGCUUCACAGUUUGAGUUGUGAUUGUUUCUUAUGCUGAUUCAGACGAAGUAGGCUAUUGAGCAAGUAAAUUUGAGGGAAAGUGAUUUUAAGGUCAGUUGUUUGCUAAUACAAAUAGGUUGACAUCAUUGUUGAAAAACAUUAAACACUACUUGAAAAAGUUAGGCAACCCAAACUCAACCCAAGUAAAUCCAAACCCGAUUAAACCCGAGCCCGACUAAACCCGAUUAAAACCCAAUCCGAACCCGAACCCGAAUUGUAAAAGUUGGGUUAGGAUUUGGUUGAUUUUCCAACUCGCCCGAGUUGCACCCCUAAAUAGCAUUGAUCUAAGUUUUGUCCUAUAGAGAACAUGGUUUGUGUUAAUUUUACAUAUAUAAAAUAAAUGGGUAAACGGUUACCUGUUUAUAACCGUUAUUUAUACCUAUAACCGUUUAUUUAUCUAAAUAGUUACCUAUAACCAUAACCGUAAAGUUUAAAUAAGUGGGUAACUGCGAUUACAAGGUAUUUUACCCAUAUUCCCAUGUCAGAAAGUAAAGCAUUGCCGUAUAAUUUAAAUUAUCUUAGAUCAGUUGAUUUUAGACCGAAUGUUCACAUUCUAAAAUUUCUAAUAACGUCUGCGUUGGUUGUGAUAUGAGUUCUGCACCUCCGAUAUUGUAAAGCAUUAAAUAAAGGCCCAAUUACAAAUUCAUAAUUUUGGCCCAUGGUUUUUGGGCCCAGAGUAAGGUUGCGUAAUUUCCAGGGUCAAGUUUUAAAUUUGAUGCUUAAAUAGCAAGCCCAACCUUUUGCAAUCUCUUACAUGGGCAUUUUCCAGUCUUUACUUUUCAUUUUCAUUUUUACUUUGGAAUUCUAAUCCUGUAUAACAGUACAUGUGGAAAAUCUAUAUCUUUUUUUCUUUUUCUGCAUAUUCCUGUUUAGUUUUGUUAUUUGAUUUUCUAAUACUUUAUUUCAUUCAAAGGUUAGAAAUGAGCAAGAUUUGUGUGUGGGAGAAAAAAGUGUGUGCGACAAUCAUUUCUCAUUUCAUUUUUUAUCGAGGAGAUAAGAGAUUCAAACUUAAAAUCUCUUCUAACAUUGAGAAGUAUCACUAUUGUACUAACGACUAGUUGGUAAUCUUGCACAUGUGUUCAAAACCAAAAAAUUUCUAUUUUGUAUAAUGAGAUGCAAAAUUUAGAUUGCAACGAAGUUCUUCUUUUUAUGCAUGUGAGAGUGAAAUUGCAAUAAAUCGAACAACUUCAAUUACAUAUAUAAGAGUUUCUUUUCUUGUUUGUUAGAAAAUUUUGUGCAGAACGGUUUCAUAUUACAUAUGUAUCUUUUUACUUUUUAUCACGUAUCUUGUCAGGUGACUUCGCAAUGAGAGAUAGAAACACGUCAAGAUACAACGAUUGUUCCAAGAAAGUUUUCUAGUGGUAUGAGAAAGUUAACGAAAAGGGUUGGGACUUGGGAGGCGUUACGUCGUUAUCUGUAACGGUCUUAACAUGGAGCCAAGAUGGGAUGGUAGGGUUUUCGUGUGCAUGAAGGAUGCAGAUGACCUGAUCUGCCUUUCCCUUUGUGCUUGUGACCUCCUGCAAUUUCCAUAUCGACAAAACUUUUGCCCCUUGAUGGAAAUAUCCAACUUUGUGGGGGCCACCAGUCCAAUCCAUGCAUGGAUCCGGCCCGUUCAAUUUUCAUCGCCAGAAUUCAGUUGAUCACCUUGAUAUCAUGACCUAAUUCAAUCAUCAUUUGGAAGACUUUUUUGUCAAAUAAAACGAAAUAAUUGAUUAAUAUGAUUACAAGAUUAAUUCUUCAUUUUCAACAAUAUUGUAGGAUUUAUUUACUAGAGUGAUAGAAGAUUUGAACUUGAAUCCAGACCGCUUUAAAAACUCGUAAAAAAAUAGUAUCAAUGACCAUUUCCUCCUGUUUUGGAGGCAAAUUUGGUCCACUGUUUUUGUGCAUGAAUAAUGGUUGCCUUUAGUAUUAUUUGCUACUUUUUCUUCAGUAAAACAAUAAUACUGUCACUUUCUAUGAUGCCCAUUUCACACUAGCAUGCCCUGGAAGAACUAAAUAUCUUUUGUCAACAAAAAUCUUCCAUAGGUUGUUCCAAUCCAAGCUAGCCUUGGGUUGUCAUGAUGAUUUUGGUUUUAAUACAAAGUAAAUGGUAUAUAUCAACCGACCAACUGUAUAAGUUACUGUCAGUCGUUAAUAUAUGAACGUUGGUUCAUAUAAAUCUCAUAGGUUCCAUUUGGUGUACGAAAUGAAAGGUUGUGAGUAACAGUUAUAUCCUUAAAGAAAAUAUUGACAAAUUAUGUAAUGUACCCAUCCUGCAGUCCUCAUGUUGGCCAUAACCCUACCCAUGUGCAAAUACAAGUGAACAUAUAUCUCUUUUAAUGUAAUCAAAAUUAAAUUGAAACUUAAAACUUAAAUAAGAUUAGGGUUUUGAAUAUUCUAACGUGCAUGGGUUUGGUGACAUAGCAGGUUUAUUCGGUCCCUCGUACACUAGCAAAAGAGCUUGAAAUUAAUUAAUAUAAUUUUAAUUAAAUUAAAUAAUAAUGAUUAAGCUGAGUAAGAAGGAAGAAAGAUCUCCUAAUUAAUCAUCUCCCAAUUGGAUGCAUGACAGUAGCAUUUGGCCCACGUUCCGGAGUAGGCUCCAUCCUCCAUAACAUGCACAUGAGCUGCCAACCAUUUGGUCUCUCUGGGACCGCAUCAUAUUCAUCUGCAGUUAUUUGGAUUCUCAUACGAUCGACACAGAGAGAGAGAGAGAGAGAGAGAGAGAGAGAGAGAGAGAGAGAGGUUUGCAUUGUGAUGAGUGUGAACCCAUGAGACGUUGCAUAGUAUUAUCUUCUGCUACUAUCCCUCCCCAUUGGUUCUGCAAACCCAACACCAACCAAGAUAAGCGUUAGGCUAGUCGGUCGCCUUACCGCUUCUGGUGACGGUAUACUGUUGAUGUAUGUAUAAAUAAUGAACGACUGAGUUUAGUAUUCAUCUAUCUCUUUUGAAAUACCAAACGUACAAUAUGUGACAUUUGUGUAACAAAAGCCGUCUCCUUAUUCUUAUACUUCCAACACCUAGAGUAGUACGUAGCAGUGGUAGUCUUAUCGCACUUACUGACCUUUUUGUUUCAAUUGAUUCUCUCGAUUGAUAAGUGGCCGGUGUUUGGUCCUAAAUAGAAAUUAGGUUAAAUUAUAAACAUAAUCUUUUUCACAAAUGUAUGUUUUACAAUAAGGUAGAAUAAUUAUGUUGACAAAAUUGAAGGUUUCAAUGUACGAUAGAUUAAUUGGAAUGUAGAUGAUUCUCAGUUGUUGAGGCAUUCACUUUAUUUGGUGCGGAUGUAUAAUUGAUGGACAGUCGUUCAUGCACGUGUGUUUGUAUGAAGAUAUGUAAAGCAACCCUCUAGAUAUGAAUAGACAUAAGGUCUUUGUAAGUUGGGCUACUACUAUAUAGCGAAUUAAUUUUAUGUUGAAACCUCAGCUUUAUUCAUGAUAUCAAAGUAGGGUGUUUCAUGUGUGAAGCCCAACGGCUACACGUGCUUCACAUCACUCAUUUUAUUUUGUCCAUGUGCUAAGCUUAAAAAUUCGUCACGUGAUGAGACGUGUUGGAGUAUUAAUCCUACAUCGAAAAGAAGGAAACUUGCAUUGACAAAUAAGAUACGCUAAUACCCAUAUUAUCAAUUAAUUUUAUAAAUUUUAUAGUAAAACCCAAACAUUUUUCAUAAUUUUCUUUGGAGUUAACUAAAGCCAGAAGUUUGUGGUGUUGUUAACUCACUACCUAGGAGUGGACAUUUUAACCGGUAAAUCGGGUCGAGAAAACCAAAAGAAUCGGGUUUGACAUUGUCACAUUCUUGUUGCAUUUUUUCCCAAAUACCGAAUGUAAUGUGCCAUUCUUGUUACGGACAAGGAUUGUCUGCCCUCCUAGUUGUGGUGCCCUUCUAUGCCCUCCUAUUUUGUGCGGUCACGGUUAAGCCACGUCAACAUUUUAUAUUAAUUUUUUAAUGAGAUAAUAAGACAAAAAACAAUAAAAAUAUAAAAUAUUAACGUGGCUUAACCGUGACCGCACAAAAUAGGAGGGCAUGGAAGGGCACCACAACUAGGAGGGCACCUUGUCCUUCUUGUUACAAAAGCCUCUUUAUUCUUAUCCAAUAGAAGUAGUACGUAGUCUUAUCUCACCUAAUGGUCUUUUCUGUCAAUUGAUUCUCUCAGUUUAUAUAUAAGCUUUGUUUGUUUCAAAAUACAAAUUAGCUAAAUCAUAAACGUAAUGUGUUUCUGUUUGGAUCUUACUGUACACCAUUGAUCUGUUUAAUUGAGGCUGUUGAAUUUUAAUAUUUUUCUUAAAUAUUACUAUUGCUGAUUCGAAUUCAAUAGAGAAAACCAGGCAUUAUCCAUUGCUGGUUGUUUGUUGGAGAUCCAUUUGUUGAUAAAGACUUACUCAAGUGAUGGCAAGGAUUUUCCAACUUGGCUUGAGUAAAGAAAAGAUAAAAGAAGGUACCAUCCAUUUGUGAUAUUAUCCCUUUGGCCAAUUUGAUAAUUUAUUCUUUUUGGCCAAUUUGAUAGUAUUUCCUAAUAGAAUGCUCAGUGUUCAUUAAGAUAAAGAUGGCCAUCAAAAGGCCUUUGGUAGCCACGGUAUGGACUUUACAACACGUUCAAGCGUAUUAGUCCUAUAAAUACAUAAAACCGUGUAAUGAGAAGGCAACCUUCAACUUAACAUACAAAUAUGCCUUGCACAAAUCUCGCUCUAGGCGAACACUUCUCACACUCAGAGAACUAACUAACUCACAUUUUGAGAAAUCACUAACUCUCCACUUUCCUAACUACUUAAAGCUCGAUUGAUUAUCUAUCCAAGUCUCAGCUGACGAGGAGUCCUUGAUUCUUUAAUUGAACGAGGUCACUUUACUAGCUUUCCAACCAAAUUAAGUGUUUUAUGCUUGGUUACUUCUGGUACAUUUUAGAGUUCGGUAUUCUGACGGUUGAACAACAUUUACCAUCAAGACAUUUAUCUCUUUCGAGUACGAGUAUCCUUACAGUUUAACUCCGAACUGAUCAGAGCACUUAUAUUUUCACAAAUAUAGUCGAGGCGGCCGAACCUGGUGCAAAAGAUCAUGAACUUCACAGUGACUAACAACCUUUUUGACAUCACCACCACAUUCAUUCUACUAACCGACCGAGUUCGAUGGCAAGUUAGCACGACCGCAUUCAUCAUAAUGACGUAGUUAGCUUUUUGUUAUUCAGUCUACGUGUAAGUAAACUUGAUAGUUUUUAAGGUCAACAAUUUCACAAAUUGUGCUUUACAUUCUAACAAGUUUUACGAUCUCAACUUAUACUAGACGAAGGCGGACGAUCGAUUGUUAGUUGUUGCUGCGAGUUUCAUUGUGAUUGCGGAUGUAUAAUUGACAUACAAUCGUAACGUGUGUUUGUGGGCAAAGCAACUCUCUAGACAUCAAAAGAUAAGGUCUUUAGUUUUAUUCAGAAUUUGAGGUGUCUAUAUAAGUCACAAAAACCAAGAAACCUCUCGAACUCGUACCUUGGAUGCAGUGGAUGGGUUCCUAUCACAUGGUUGUCGCCAAAGGCAACAGAAGAGUACUCGCUAUAAUACUAAAUUAACAUGGUCCACUAGACGGUGGCUUUCCACCCUUUUUGUCGAUCGUGAGAGUAUGAUUUGGCCAAAUGCACUGUUAUUCUCCCAAAGUCGAGGUCAAUUUAGUAAACUAAUAUAUAGAAGUUUUUAAAAGUCACUAGUCUAGUAGCGGGUAGAGGCCUGUCGCUUAGGGGGGCCUAGGUAAUUUUUUAUUUUUAAUUAAUUUUUUAUAUAAUAUAUAGAUAAAUAUCUACUUAUAUUUUUUUUAAAAUAUAACUGUAUUGAGAUACAUUAAUUAGAAAAUGGAACUAUAUAUAAAUUAUAAAGUAUUAGAAUUGAAAACAUGGGGAAUAAACAUAUAAUGAGUGUUCAUCUCAAUAUUUAACAAGUUUUUUACAAUUUAUUGAAAAAAUAAAAUGUAAAAUGAAAGUUAUCUAUUUUCUAUCUAAAUGAGAGUUACGAUCUAGACGAGCGCCUACGCAGAUCUAGACGCUCUUUCUUAGUUUUCAAACGUCUAGUGAUCAAUCAAAGCGAUGACUACCUGCUUAGCGCCUAGGCAGGCUUAAGCGAAGCUAGGCGGUAAUUUUUAAAAGAAUGUGAUAUAUAGUUAGUAAUGAUAGCUACAAGGAAGAAAGAAACAACCCCACUGUACGAAACCAAAAACACUAAGCUACGAUGUGUUCUUAUCAUCUUAAGUUGUCCUACGAAUAAGUUAUGAAACCUAAUAUUAUGUUGUUGACCUAACCAAGUAGCUAGUAGCUAGUAUCGUUCACAUCAUCACUCCUAAAGUAACUUGAGGUAAAUUAGUUGCAAGAUAGCUAGAAUACAGAUCCGUCAAGGGACAUUUUUGUAAGACACAUUUUUAUUGAAAGCGCUACAAAUUUUUAUCGAAAAUUCAAGUACAUCUUGUUGGAGCAUAACGUGGUAUUGUUUGCAUACAUCAUGUAAAACUUUUACAUGUUAGGAUUUAACAAAGCAAGUAUUUUACGUUUUCAUCUCUCACACUUCAUUGUGAUCGAAACUCAAAAGAAAGAUGAUAAUAAGGUCAACUAGUACCCUAAUGAAUAUGAUUUUUAAUUUUCCGUGUAUUGCAUUACGGUUAAAAUGCAAGAUUUUUCCAAUAUUAAACUAUCAUAAGUAGUGUGUGAUGUCAGAGAUAUUACGAGACGAAGAACUUGCUGGUUCUAGUAUGAAAAUUGUUUUUGAAAUUUUGAUUUAAAAUGAUUCAGUCUUCAUAGGUGUCGGCGGGUUGGAUUGGUUUUUAGCUUAAAAGACCAUUUCUGUCCAUUAAUGUUGGUAGUCAGUUGAAUCAAUUAUUUUUUCUACGUGUUUAAUCUUAAACAAAAUUAAAAAAACGGUUUGUUUGGGGAAGGCUGUUAUUUAUUUUUAUUAAUUUUGAAAAAGUCGCGGUAAAAUCCCGGACAACUGUCAGCAGCUGGAGUCACUGUCAGUCGCGCUUGCACGCCGCCGUAGCUUAUUAAACUCCGGUCACUCACUUCCGCUCGUCUUCCGCCGGAAACGCCCUUUUUUUUUUGCUCGAUCAAUAAAAAUUAAAGUUAAAAAAAAAAGAAAAGAAGAAGAACGUUUCUGAAUUACCAAUCAGCUCUUCAACUUCCAUUGGCCACAGCAGUACAGAGCACUGUGUCUCUCUACUUUCUCUCUCUACACACUCUCUCGUAUACUUUCUCUCUCUAUACAGAGAGAAACACAGCACGAGAGCUCUCUGUUGGUAUUUUUUACGGACGUACACGCGGUUGUGUAGGCGUAGAUUCCUUUGCCCCCACUGCGUCAUAUAAUUUUAUCAAUAAAUAAAUGCCAAAAAGCUCUCUCUCUCCCCGCUGAAACCGCAUUUAUACACAGAGAGAGGGCCUAUUCCUAACGUUUUCCUCAUUUUUAUGUGCUGCUUUGGUUUGCCUAUAUUCACUCCUCCUCCGGGGAUCUCAGCCGUCCUCCGCCGCUCUUGCGAGAAUUCACCGGCUCAGCUGUCACCGGCAAGUUUCUCUCUUUGCUUUGGUAUUUAUUUCUGCUGAAAUUUUAAGCUGUUUUUUGUUUGUAAAGUUGGAAACUUUGCUGUGAUGGAAUUGAUGGGUUUUGAGUAUGUUGAUUUUGUGCGGAUUUUGAGGGCAUAAGUGGGUAAUUUGUGGAUUUUGGGCAGAUGGGCAGAUGGGCAGCUGUUGUUUUAGCCCAGUGCAUACGUGGUCUACAGUGUACUGCUUUUGGAUUUCUGGGGAACCUAUAGAGAAUAAUUGCCAGAAAGAUAUGGUCUUGUAGUGUAAACUUAUUGAUUUCUGGGUGAAAUCGAAGGUUUCAUAUCUGGGUUUGUUUUAAUUCGUUGAAUUGGGGAUUUAUAUCUCGUGGAAUUGGACUAUUGGCGUUAUAAAAUUCUGGAGUUUUUGUGGAAUUUGGAUUUAUGGAGGCUUUUGGAGGCAGAGCUCGGAAUUUCUAUGGUACGAUGGUGCCGGAUUUGAAGGGGGCUGGGAAAAAGAGUUUGGAAUGGGAUUUGAAUGAUUGGAAAUGGGAUGGUGAUCUUUUUACCGCUAGUCCUUUGAAUGCUGUACCAUCUGAUUGUAGGAGCAGGCAGUUGUUUCCGCUUGGGCUGCCGGAAACUCCCUCCACUGCUGGUUUGUCCAACAGUUCUUCUUCUGGUUCGGACGGUAUCUGUCCAGGGAAUGAGAAAGGUAAAAGAGAGCUGGAGAAAAGAAGAAGGGCUAGUUUUGUAGAAAAUGAAGGGCUAACUGAUGAAGUUGGGUCUCUUAAUCUCAAGCUUGGCGGGCAAGCUUACCCAAUCAUGGAAGGAGAGGUACAACAUGGGAAGAAGACGAAGAUAGUUGGGACUACUUUAAACCGAGCAGUUUGUCAGGUGGAGGACUGUAAGGCUGAUCUUAGCAAUGCCAAGGAUUACCACCGACGACAUAAGGUCUGUGAUAUGCAUUCUAAGGCAACUAAAGCGGUGGUGGGAAAUGUUUUGCAGCGGUUCUGUCAGCAGUGUAGCAGGUUAGUUCAAUUCUAUGGUUGUCCUUGUAUGGUGAGAAAUAUUUCAAAUUUUCUUCAGUUAAGUUCUACGUCGUUUAUUCGGUGCUUUCUUAUAGACAUUGUUUCUAGAAGAUGAAAUACAGAGUUUGAUUUGUAAGUUUUAAAAAAAUUAUUUGUUGCUCUCAUGAUUUGGGUCCAUAGUUGUUCAUCACUGUGUUUGGUAUAGUCGAAUUUUGAAGAACUUUUUUGUUGAAUUUGGAAUGUGGUUAUACUUAUGGGCAGGUUUCAUGGCCUUCAAGAGUUUGAUGAAGGAAAGAGAAGUUGUCGUAGACGUUUGGCAGGCCACAAUAGGAGGAGAAGAAAAACACAUCCUGAUACUGUAGUUAAUGGAGGCUCAUUGAAUGAUGAAAGAGGAAGCAGUUAUCUAUUGAUUAGUUUGCUGAGAAUACUCUCCAACAUGCACUGUAAAUCUUUGUGUUAUUGCACAUUCAAUUUUUGGCUGCUUUGCCUGACAUUAAAUUGAUAUGCUAAGUGUAUGUUAAGUGGUUACCGGAUUGUGUGUUGAUUGCCAUAGACUGAUGUCAAAGUUCUUGUGGUCUUUUGCUCUUAGGUUUUGUCAUUAUUUGAUUGAGGCUUGUAGCAAAAUGAUUAUGUCAAUUAACAUUUAAUAACUCCACUCAUAAAUUUUUAUUUGUAAACAUACAACAUAUUACUUGAUGAGUCCUUAACUGCUUAAGGUGCUCUAUUUUUGUGUAUAAAUGACAAAGUGCUAGUUUCUCUGAAUUUAAUUUGAUGAAAAUUUGAAUAUUGAUGCUUACGCAUGAAAAGUUUUCAGUUUUUCAGAGGUUGAUUUGAUAGAAAGUUAGAAUUUUGUGCAGACCUUCAUGUCGAAAAAUAUUUCAAUUUUUAUAAUCCAGAUUACACCUUGUGUGCUUGAAUUUCAUCCCUUGAACCCUUGUUUUUUGCACUUUCUUUCUCUGAUUGUUGGACUGUCCAUAUUUCACAUUCUAGGAUGCAUGAAGGAAGGGCCUAUUAAAGGGAAUUCUAAUUAGGAAUUGUUAUUUAGGAAAUUAUGUCUCAGUGAUCAUGUUAUUAUAAUAUUUAUUUGAUUAUGUUUGUGUUUGUUUUUCUUCUCAUAAGUGUCUUACUCAACUCCACUUUUGAUGCCUAAAAUGCAGCUAAUAGUUCAGAUCAAACAAAGGAUCAGGAUUUGCUAUCUCAUCUUUUGAAGAAUCUAGCCAAUCUUUCUGGUACAGUUGAUGGAAGAAACAUGUCUGCAUUGCUUACGGCAUCUCAAGGUUUAAUAAAUGGCGGGGCAUCAAUUCAGACUGCACAAAAGGUCCCAGAUACAGUUUCCAACGGCUGUGAACCAAGUAAGCCUUCUGUUUCAGCCUCUAAAAUGGAUGAUUAUAUUAAUGGUGAGGACCCUUCAAGACCUAUACGACAGUGUUCUACGGUACCUGCAUCAGAUUUCAGGAGAAUAUCUUCAGUUGAUGCAGAUCAUGGAGGUCUACAAGUUGUUUCAGGUCUAAAUGCCACGAAGCCAUUUCCUUCAAGAGACAGUGUUCCAUCCACAUCAGUUGCACCAGAAGCUACAAUGGGGAGGAUGCAGUUAAAUGGCAUUGAUUUAAAUAAUACAUAUGACGAUUCCCAGGACUAUUUGGACAACCUAGGGAAUUCGCAUGCCCCUGUAAAUUCAGGGACAGUGGCUCAUGGUUUUCCCUUUUGGAUGCGUCAGGAUUCGCAAAAGUCUAGCCCACCUCAGACAAGUGGGACUUCAUGCUCAACUUCAUCAAGUUCUAGUGGAGAUGCUCAGGUAUAUUCUUGUUGUACUUGCAUCUCGUUCCUCGUUAUUGCUUGGUAUAUUAAUGCUUGUAUAUGCCAUAACCUGUCCUUUUCUGUUGGAUAAAAGAAUAGCUUUGUUCUCACUUUAAUUUGGCAUUUAGGUGACAAUGCUUUGCAUUCGACUUGUCCGUUUGUCUAGCCAAUUGAUUGAAAAAACAUGAAGUACUCGGCAUACCUAAUAAAUACUUCUGUUGUGACGUAAGAGUCAAGAUGGAUUCUCUUCUUUUGUAUAGUGCUUUGUAUGUAUAAAUGUGUGCGUAUGCUUCUGCUUGAUAAGGUUUAUAGAGUUGUAGUUAAACUACAGGAGGUUGCAGGCUAUAUCAGUUAGAGUUGAGUAUUUUUUAAAUAUUUUUUAUUAUGAAGGCCAGUGUGUAAAAUGUUACUGCACUGUUACGUCUCUUAACCACUCUUUUUCUGCCGUGUUUCAGAGUCGCACAGACCGUAUUGUUUUUAAACUCUUUGGAAAAGAUCCAAAUGAUCUUCCAUUUGUUCUACGAGCACAGGUAAUAUUUGGUGCCUUGAUUUAAUUCUUCACAAUGUAACUUGUGUUUCCUUGCACAUACAACAAUUUUAUGAAAUAUUUUGAAUAUCCAGAUUCUCAACUGGUUGUCCCACAGUCCUACUGACAUUGAAAGCUACAUAAGGCCGGGAUGUAUCAUUUUGACAGUUUACCUCCGUCUAGAAAAAUCCACGUGGGAGGAGGUAUGUUUCUGUGCUGAUGCCAAAAUGUUGAUUGCUGACCUUGUAUCAGGGAGAUCUCUUUUCUUGUCCUUAAUUGUUAUGUUUGCCUGCAGCUCUGCUGUAAUCUGGGAUCCAUUAUAAAACAACUUUUACAUGCUGCCAAUGAUCCUUUUUGGACAACAGGAUGGGUGUAUACUAGGGUGCAACAUUCUGUAGCAUUUACGUACAAUGGUUUGUUCUCUCUCUCUCUCUCUCUCUCUCUCUCUCUCUCUCUCUCUCUCUCUCUCUCUCUCUCUUAAUUAUUCAUUCAUAUAUUUUCUAGCUCAUUUAGUGAUUUACCAAUAGUUGUGUUAUGAAAGAAAAGACAUUUUAAAUAGUUAUGUCUGUACUGCAGGUCAAGUUGUCUUAGACACACCCUUACCUCUGAAAAGCCAUAAAAAUUGCAAGAUAUCAUGCAUCAAACCAAUUGCAGUUUCUUUAUCCGAAAGAGCUGAAUUUGUAGUAAAGGGGUUUAAUCUUUCUCGUGCCACCACAAGGUAUCCUUAUCUUUCAUUCAAGCUUCAUUAUGUAGACCACUCCAGUGUCAUAUGUUAUUUCUGAAUUAGUAACUAUCAGGAUAACUGGGAAGGAGGAAAGUACUAAGUCCUAGCUUGUGACAGGUUGCUCUGUGCUCUGGAAGGGAAGUAUCUAGUCCAAGAAACUUGUUAUGACUUGAUGGAUGGUGCUGAUACAACCUUUGCGAAUGAUCAGCUACAGUGCCUCAGAUUCUCCUGCUCUAUACCCAAUGUUACUGGCCGAGGACUCAUUGAGGUGCUGUUCCAUUCUUAAUAUAUGUUUUAUAUUUCCUUUGAAGUGUGCUUAUCAUUACUUAUUUAUUUAUUUUUAUUUCAGGUUGAAGACCAUGGUCUCAGCGGCUGCUUCUUUCCAUUUAUAGUUGCCGAGCAGGAAGUAUGUUCAGAGAUUUGUACCCUGGAGGGUGCGAUUGAGGUGGCUGAGACUGCAGAUAACAUCCAGACAGAACCUGAAAAGUUGGAAGCCAAGAACCAAGCGUUGGACUUUGUACAUGAAUUGGGUUGGCUCCUUCACAGAUGUCACACUAAAUUUAGACUUGGUCACGGGGAUCCCAACUUAGAACUAUUUUCUUUUAGACGGUUCAGGUUGCUUAUGGAGUUUUCCAUGGACCGUGAUUGGUGUGCUGUAGUGAAGAAACUCCUGGGCAUUCUGCUUGAGGGUACCGUUGACACUGGAGAACAUCCUUCUAUUGAGCUUGCGUUAUUGGAUAUGAGCCUCCUCCACGGAGCCGUGCAAAGAAAGUGCAGGCCUAUGGUGGAACUCUUGUUAAGAUUUGUCCUAGACAAAGGGUGGCAACAAGUUGACGGGGACGGCAGCAACUUCUUAUUUAAACCCGAUGCAGUUGGGCCCAUGGGAUUGACUCCUCUUCAUGUUGCAGCCAGUACUGAUGGAUGUGAGAAUAUAUUGGAUGCCUUAACUGAUGAUCCUGGAAAGGUAAUUUCUCAUUGUCUUCUUUGACAGUUUUCUUUCUAAUUGGAUGUAAAAAUCAGAACAGGUCUGCAUCAUUAUCCAUUUUUCUCCGUACGUGUUUGACCGUUUGCUCAUACAAAUGACUCAUGUCAGCUCAUUCUGUGUCUCACAUGAAUGUUGAUAUUUCAAAUCGUUGUAUUUUCAAGCAUACAAAUGUUGAUAUCUUUGCUUCUUUAGGUGGGAAUUGAAGCGUGGAAAAAUGCUCGAGACAGUACAGGAUUGACACCAAAUGAUUAUGCAUGCCUGCGAGGCCGCUACACCUAUGUCCAAAUUGUCCAGCGGAAAAUCAACAAGAAACAUGAAAGCGGGCACGUGGUGCUUGAUAUCCCUGGCGUUAUCUUAGACAGCAGCAGCAAGCAGAAACAAUUAGAUGGGCAUAAGUCCUCAAAAGUCUCCAUCUUGGAGACCGAAAGGAUCGAUAUGAAAGCAAUGCAGGCACAUUGCAAGCAAUGUGAAAUGAAACUAGCAUAUGGAAACACAAGGUCGUUUGUGUACAGGCCGGCAAUGCUGUCAAUGGUAGCCAUUGCUGCUGUCUGUGUUUGCGUGGCCUUGCUCUUCAAAAGCUCGCCUGAAGUCCUUUAUGUCUUCCAGCCCUUCAGGUGGGAACUCUUGGAGUAUGGACCGAGCUAAGGCAGUUUACGCGUCUCAAAUUUUAGUUACUCUGGCUUUAGGCCGUUUGUGUUAAUCAUAUGUAUAAACGGAUAACUCAAAUUUUAGUUACUCUGGCUUUAGGCUGUUUCUGUUGAUCAUAUGUAUAAACCGAUAACUCUAUAGGGAACAUAAUGUACCAGUUUUCGUAUCCGUUAAGAUUUCCACGAGAGGUGUUGCACUGUAUGUAUUAAUGAUAGUUCAUAUAAAGCGUGUAUAGGGAAAGAUUGACGUAAAUAGUACUAUUGACCAAUUGUUGAGGCAAUAGAUUGCUGCAUUACUUCCAAAAACACAUACAAACAUUGUAUUCGAUGAGGCGGAAGAUUCGGACUUGAAAAUUCUUUCGCUUUUAAGUCAGCUUUCUUAAACAGAAGACAAUAUUUAGUAGGGCGGCCUGACUAAUAAUUUCUUUCGCUUUUAAGUCAGCUUUCUUAAACAGAAGACAAUAUUUAGUAGGGCAGCCUGACUAAUAAGUAGGUUAGACUACUCUUGCUAAAUUUUAUGCAUUGAGAGUUGUAUUUACGUAAGACUGGAUGGUGACCAAAUACAUAGAAUCACGUUCCUUCAUGAGGGGAUAAGGCUGUCUCACAAAGGUUGGAGCUUUGUGCUUACUUAGAUACAUGAAUCUCGUUCUUUCGUGAGUCAACUUUUCAGGUUAUUCAACUCAAAUGUUAUGAAUAAAAUUGGGCCAAAAUUAGAUCAAACAGUUGUUUUUCUCCAAAUAUUUUUAAUUUGGUCAAAUGCAUGAAUCUCGUUCUUUAGUGAGAUAACUUUUCAUGUUAUUCAACUCAAACGUUAUGAAUAAAAUUGGACCAAAAUUAGAUCAAACAGUUGUUUUUCUCUAAAUAUUUUUAAUUUGGUCAAAUCCAAUCCGAGUCUAAUAUUAACUAGCAAAAAAAAAAGCAGAAAAAUGGAUUUUACAGGCUAAUAAAAUAAUAGGAAAAGGACUCCAGUCACAGAGACACGUUGACUCAUAUUUUGACAUGAAAUUGUUUUCCACUUCAACAAGUCAUAUUCAUGGUCCUUACAUAGUGUACACAAUUAUUACCUUGUUUAAUCUUUUUCAAUUAUUUUGUCGUUUUGAACCUUUUUUCUUUGGUUUAAUUGCCAAUAAUUCAAGCAUUAAAUCUUGAUCUCGAAAUGGAACAAUUUUCCGGUGUACUAAGAUCACGUUCACGUAAAAUUACUGGUUCAUUUAAAUUAUAUUACGUAGAUUUGUUAAUAUUAAGUUUAGGUUAAAUCUCACAAUAAUUAGUAAUAAUAUGACGAGAAUUAAACUUGAAAUAUAUCACUUAUAAUAAAAUAAAAUAUCAUUAGUUUAAAUAUUAAAAUGAUACACCUCGUAACUUGUAACGCUGUUAAUUUCUAAUCGAAAUCAAAAGGAGACGCGUCAUUUGAGGCCACCACCUCUCUCCUCUCACUCUCCCCACUGAAACCGAAUUUACACAGUAAGAGAACCCUUUUCCUAACCUUUUCCUAAUUUUCAUGUGCUGAUUAGCUUUGUCUCGGGGCCUAUAUUCUCUCUGCCUCAACUGCGAUCUCAGCCACUUCUUCGUCAGCUCUCAGUUCUCAGCUCAUCUCCCAACAAUUCACCAACCUGCCGGCAAGUUUCUCUCUCUUUACUCUCUCGCUCUCCUCUUUAUUUCCACAAAAAAAGAUUGGGUCUUUCAGUUCUUUCAGCUCAAGUUUCUUUCCAUGGAGUUGAAAGCAUUGACUAGGAUGUAAUUGUGGGCUUGCAAAUACGGUAUUUUGUACUGACUUGUUGAGAGAAAAACUGGGUAAUUGGUGGAUUUUGGGUUCUGGGCAGCUGUAGCCUGUAGUUUAGCUCCAUUUUUAUGCUGGUGUGCUGUUCUUGGUUUUCUGGGGUUCUUGGAAAGAACAAUUUCCAGAAAUUUCUGGGGCUGUGGUGUUAUUGACUUUUUGUUUUGGGGUGAAAUUUAUAGUUUUAUCUCUGAGCUGUAGUUGUUGUUAUUGUUCAAUUGGGUGUUUGUAUCUGGUGGAGUUUGACUAGGGGGCAUUGUAACAUCUCUGGGUUUUUUGUAUCUUGAUCUAUGGAGUCUGAAUUCGGAGGAAAGGCUUGUAAUUUUCGUGGUGUGAUGGUGCCGAAUUUGAAGGGGGUUGGGAAAAAGAGUUUGGAAUGGGAUUUGAAUGAUUUUAAAUGGGAUGGUGAUCUUUUUACUGCUAGUCCAUUAAAUUCUACACCAUCUGAUGGUAGGAGUAGGCAGUUGUUUCCGGCCAGGCCAGAAACUCCGUCGGAUGCUGGUUUGUCCAACAGUUCUUCUUCUGGUUCGGAUAAUAUCAGUCCGGGGAAUGAGAAAGAUCAAAGAGAAUUGGAGAAACGGAGAAGGGAUUUUUUUGUGGAAAACCGAGAGUUGAAUGAUGAAGCUGCGUCUCUGAAUCUUAAACUUGGCGGGCAAACUUACCCCAUUAUGGAAGAAGAAGUACAAACCGGGAAGAAAACAAAGACAAUUGGGACUACUUCAAACCGUGCAGUUUGUCAGGUGGAGGACUGUAAGGCUGAUCUUAGCAAUGCCAAGGAUUAUCACCGGAGGCAUAAGGUCUGUGCUAUGCAUUCUAAGGCAACUAAAGCGCUGGUUGGAAGUGUUAUGCAGCGGUUCUGUCAACAGUGUAGCAGGUUGGUUCCAUCCUAUUGUUAUUUAUUGUUUGGUUGAAACAUUUCCCCGAUUUUCUUGAAUUAACUUGAAAUACAGAGUUUGGUUGUGUAAAUUUUGUUGUCAUGCGUUUGUUGUGCAUGGCUGUUCAUCAAUCUUCUUACGGUAUGGUUGAGUUCUGCAGAAGGUUUUUUUUGUUGAAUUAAAUGUAACAGGGUUAACACUCGUGGACAGGUUUCAUGCUCUUCAAGAGUUUGAUGAAGGGAAGAGAAGUUGCCGUAGGCGUUUGGCUGGCCAUAAUAGGAGGAGAAGAAAAACACAUCCUGAUACUGCAGUUAAUGGAGGCUCUUUAAACAAUGAAGGCGGAAGCGGUUAUCUAUUGAUUAGCUUGCUGAGAAUACUUUCAAAUAUGCACUGUAAGUACUUGCCUUAUUCAUUGUACACUUCUGUCUUAGUGAAACAUUGUAUCUCAGAUUUAUUUGAAUCCGCAUAUUAUGCCAUUUAUAAAUUGCAGCUAGUAGUUCUGAUCAAACAAAGGAUCAGGAUGUCAUAUCUCAUUUGUUGAGGAGCUUAGCCAAUGUUGCUGGUACGGCUGAUGGAAGAAACAUAUCUACAUUGCUGCAGGGAUCUCAAGGUUUAUUUAACAGUGGGACAUCUGUCCAGACUGCACGAAGGGUUCUAGAUAUGAAUGCUGGUGUUAAUACUGAGGACCCUUUAAGGUCUAAAGGACACUGUUCGAUACUACCUGCAUCAAGAGACAGUUCUGAAUCCAAAUCAGUUACACCGGAAGCUACAAGUAGAAGGUUCCAGUUAAAUGAUUGAUUUAAAUAGUACAUAUGAUGAUUCACAGGACUAUGUAGAGAACCUAGGGAAUUCUCAUGUUCCUGCAAGUCCAGGCACUGCAUCUCUUGGUUUUCCUUCAUGGAUGCAGCGUGAUUCUCAUAAAUCAAGCCCACCUCAGACAAGUGGGAAUUCAGACUUAACUUCUACUCAGUCACCGUCAAGUUCUAGUGGAGAAGCUCAGGUAUAUCCUUGUAAUUGCAUCUAUUCCAUAAUUGCUUGGUAAUAUAAUGCUUAAAAAUGCCUUUGUCGUGGAUGAUGCUCAGCCCACUGUAAUUCGUCUUUUUUUUAAUCUUUUUUUCCAUGAGACCAGGGAUUAAUAUAUCAAUUGUCAUUAAUCAUUAUACGGCGUAUAACUUGUCUUUUGUUUGGAUAGUAGAAUACCUUUGUUCUAUCCUUGAGAGUAGUUAGGCAGUCAUGUAUUGUGUUCUGAACGUGUCUGUGUAUCUUUCCAUGGAUUGUCAAAAUAAUGGCGAGGUUAAGUGCGCUCGCUGCUUGGUUAUGGGAUAUAUGUAAGAAAUGCUUCAAUUGUGACUUAAAGUUGAGAUCAGUUAUCUCUUCCUUCAAACCAAUAUGGCAGUUUACAAGCGCAACCACACACACAAACAUACUUGUUGUGUAUACGUCUUCUUGAUGCUGUUAAUAGAAUUGAGGUUAAAGUUACCUGGUGGUUUCUGCAGUCCUAAUGGAACAUGCAUUAUUUAUGUAAAAGGCCAGUAUGUAGAAUGUAUCUGCAAUUUUACGUUUCUUGACUGCUCUUUUUCUGCCACAUAUCAGAGUCACACAGACCGAAUUAUUUUUAAACUAUUUGGAAAAGACCCUAAUGAACUUCCACUUGCUCUGCGAUCACAGGUACUAUAUUUCCUUUGAUUUUUCUAGUUUUCAAAGUACUUUUCAAAGUAUUUUGGUGUUUCAUUCCACGGACUCCAUGAUUUUUAUAAAUUAUUUGAAUAUCCAGAUCCUCGACUGGUUAUCUCACAGCCCUACCAACAUUGAAAGCUACAUAAGGCCGGGCUGUAUCAUUUUGACAAUUUACCUUCGUCUAGAAAAAUCCACGUGGGAGGAGGUAUUCUCGACUGUGGAUGGCAGAUCCUUGUAUGAGGAAGACUUUUUCUUCAAGUCCUUAAUUUUGACAAUUCACCUCUCCCAGACCCUGAUUAAAGCGGGAGCCUUGUGCACUGGGUACGACCUUUUUUUUUAUAAUUAUUUUUGCUUACAGUUCUGUUGUCAUCUGGGAUCCAGUUUGAAAACACUUCUUGAUGCUGCGGAUGAUCCUUUUUGGAGAACAGGAUGGGUGUAUACAAGGGUGCAAGAUUAUGUAGCAUUUACAUACAAUGGUUUGCCUCUCUCUCUCUCUCUCUCUCUCUCUCUCUCUCUCUCCCCCUCUCAUUUCGUGUGUGCGUACACAUUUGUGUAUUUAGGGUCUAUAGAAGAAUCUUGCUGUUUUAGUUUUCCAUUAUGCUUUAUUGAUUUUGGUCAUGCUUUGUUUUGUUAUUUCUAGUACAUAAUGAGGAUUGACCAAAAACAUUAACCUUAUAUGAGAGAAGCAUUUUGAUUAGUUAUGUCCAUCCUGCAGGUGAAGUUGUGUUAGACACACCCUUGCCUCUUAAAAGCAAUAAAAGUUGCAGGAUAUCAUGCAUCAAACCAAUUGCGAUCUCCUUAUCUGAGAGAGCUGAAUUUAUAGUAAAAGGCUUUAACCUUUCUAGUUCCACCACAAGGUUCUUUCAUCUUUCAUUCAUGCGUCAUUACUUUGUUUUCAAUAUUCCUCUCUAGUUUUAUAGGAUAACAGAAGAAAUACUAAAUUCUAGAUCUUGAGUCUUGACAGGUUACUCUGUGCUCUAGAAGGGAAGUAUCUGGCUCAAGAAACUUGUUAUGACUUGUUGGAUGAUGCGGAUAGCACUGUUGAGGAUGACGAACAACAAUGCCUUAAAUUCUCCUGCUCUAUACCAAAUGUUACUGGGCGAGGAUUCAUUGAGGUGCUGUCAUAUUCCUAAUUGUCCCUUUCCCCCUUCCUCCUCUUGUAAUGUGCAUUUUGAACGAGCCGUAUUUUAUAAGUCCGGAAUUUGUUUAUAAAUCUUCUUAUGAAUACUGAGUAUAGAUUUGUUUCUAGACAGCGCCUUAACUGAAAUCCACGGUUCUCAUUUUAUUGGUCAAAUUUAUGUCAGGUUGAAGAUCAUGGUCUCAGCAGUAGCUUCUUUCCAUUUAUAGUUGCAGAGCAGGAAGUAUGCUCUGAGAUUUGUAUGCUGGAAGAUGUGAUUGAGGUGUCCGAGACUGAUGAUGAUAUCCAAUCUGGACCUGAAAAAGUGGAAGCUAAGAACCAAGCCUUGGACUUUAUACAUGAAUUGGGUUGGCUCCUACAUAGAAGUCGCGUUAAGUUUAGACUGGGUCAAUUGGAUCCCAAUCUAGAUACAUUUCCCUUUAGACGGUUCAGAUUGCUCAUGGAGUUCUCCAUUGACCAUGAUUGGUGUGCUGUGGUGAAGAAACUCUUGGGCAUUCUGUUUGAUGGUACUGUCGACGCUGCAGAGCAUCCUUCCCUUGAGUCUGCACUACUGGAUAUGGGCCUCCUCCACAGAGCUGUGCGAAUCAAUAGCAGACGUAUGGUGGAAUUCUUGUUAAGAUUUGUCCCAGGUUUAACAGGAUCUGAGCAGAAGGAACAAGUUGACAGGGACGGCAACAGUUUCUUGUUUAAACCUGAUGUUGUUGGGCCCAUGGGGUUGACUCCUCUUCAUAUUGCCGCCAGUACUGAUGGCUGUGAGCAAGUAUUGGAUGCCUUAACUGAUGAUCCUGGAAAGGUAAUAUCUCCGUUUUUUGAAUUGCAACAUAAUAUUUUUCUUCUAAUUCUAUGUAGAAAUCACUUUGCGCUGGCUACAACCUCCAUCCCAUCUCCAUACCCAUUUGAACUCUUGCGCCUACAGUUGACCUGUGUCUGUUCUCAUACUGUUUCACACACGUGUUUUGAUGAUUUUAACUCAUUCUAAUUUCCAGCAUGUCAGGUUGCUCACGGAUUUUAGAUCUGUAAUCAUGUCUUCUUUGACUUUGAGCUCUCUCUUUAGCUUUUCCACUGUCUUCUGCCUAAACAAAAUACACUGAUUCCAGUUAUUGAGUUGUAUUUCAAAUUCUCAAUUAACCAAUCCUAGACAAAUUAUGCAGUCUUGUAUUUUCUUUGGCUUGCGAAACAUAUGAAACAUAAAUCACCGUAGAAAAGUUAAAUGCGCCAUUCAAAUUGGUAAAGAAAGCAGCACCCCACAUCUAAAUGCAUGCUAACUCUUUCACAGCUGAAAGCGGCACCCAAAUUCUACAUUCAACUUGAAAUCAAAUAGGACUGCUGUUAAAAUUUUUGACGAUAAAUGAAUUAUGAUUCUUUUCAUCGUUCUAGUUUCAACUUUCAAGCAUGUGUUUAGGACUGCUGUCAUGAAAUUUCUUUAGUGUCAGAUAAUCCAUUCAUCAAGUUGAUAUGGGCGUUUUUUUCUUUAGGUGGGAAUUAAAGCAUGGAAAAACACUCGAGACAGCACAGGAUUGACACCAUAUGAUUAUGCAUGCCUUCGAAGCCGCUACUCCUAUGUCCAUAUAGUCCAGCGGAAAAUCAGCAAUACACUGGAAAGCGGGCAUGUGGUGCUUGACAUCCCUGGCCUCACGUUAGACAGAAAUGGAAAGCAGAAGCAAUCGGAUGCGCAUAAAUCAUCAAGAGUAGCCAGCUUGGAAACUGAAAGGAAUGAUAUAAAAGCAAUCUUACGACACUGCAGGUUAUGUGAACAGAAACCAGCUUAUAGCACCACACGGUCACUUGUAUACAGGCCGGCAAUGCUGUCAUUGGUGGCUGUCGCUGCUGUCUGCGUUUGCGUGGCCUUGCUCUUUAAAAGCAAUCCGGAAGUUGUUUUCGUGUUGGAGCCAUUCCGGUGGGAACACUUGAAGUUUGGUUCAAGCUAAGGUUAUAGUUUACGUGUAUUAAUUUAUAGUGACUCUGGUUAUACAUAGACCAUUUCUUUUCACGUGGAUAGGAGUAUAUUUUCUAUCUGAUUUUUAUAUGUAUAUCUAGGGCCACUCAAGCCAACAAGACUCUUCGCAUUGCAAUGGUCGGAACGUCUAUCGUAUCUGUAUUUGUAUACCUAAGCUUCCAAAAUAAACAUGGGCUGUCAUGGAUUUUGGUCCACCAGGUUUGAUUGUAUUUGUAUUUGUAUAACAGUGUUACAAACUGGAUGACACAUAAUUUCUCUGUUUGAUAUUUCUUUUUUUUUUUUCAAAAUAAACAUUUGGCACGAGGUGAUUCGGUGUUCGAUUAUUAGUGCAUUUACUGUAUAAAUUAAAUUUUAAUUUUAGAAAAUUCAGCAUUUUUGUUGGUUAUAUUGGAGGAAAUCGAACUUUGGUCUACUCUAAUUCUAACUUAUUACCAUACCCUCCUCCAUUAUUUGAGCUCAUAUAAGCAUAAGCACACUAAACAAGGUUAAGUAUAGAAGAAUUUGGGAAUUGAGAAUUAUUGUUUGAGCAUUAUUUCAUGUUUAGUGCAAAUUGAGGUUGAAUUAUUUUCUAAUUUUAUUAGUUUAAUCAUUUGGAUGAAUUUGUUCAUGCUUCCAUAUGAAAUCAUUAUUUUAUUAAAAUAAUUUAUUAAUAGUUCGAGAAAAACUUAAAUGGAGGUGCUCACGUCAUUCAUCACGCAUUCACAUUCACAUUCGUUACACGUUUCUCAUAAAAACAUAAAACUCUUUCAAAUGAAUAGGUUUCACUGAAUUUGGAUAAUAUCCGACUUUACAUAAGUACAAGUAUCAAUGCACAUGAUUCCAACCAGUAAUUAUUAUCUUAUUUGAAUUACUUACCCCGAAUCAGACCUGAAAAAGUGUAAUUUAUUCAAAUUUUAUUUUCUGAAAUUCAAAAAAAUAAAAUAAAAUUUGAGGAUAAGAAAAUAAAGGGUAAAGAGGUCAUUUGCAUGCCCUGCCUCCUAAAAUCCACCUCACUACUCACUACCCCGUCACUGCUCUAACAAUUUUGCAGGCCAAAGCCAUCCAUGGCUUCUUCAAUCUCUCUCUCCUUCUCUUCCUCUCUCCUCCCUCAUCCUCUUCCUUUCAACAAAUACUCCACCGCCACCGCCGCCGCCUCCCAGAAAUCCCAAUACCCCAACUUUAAGCUGCUCCUCCGCGCAUUCGCCAACCCAGCUGUAAGCCGUCGCUCCACUCCAUCUCCGUCUUCCGACACCAGAAAGAGGCACUGGAAGAAAGGUGAAUACCCAGGCGUCUCGGAGACGUCGGCUCCGGCGAAUUACAGAAAAACCCCUGGUCGUUCCACUUCAUCUGAGUCUUCCGACACCAGAAAGAAGCACUGGAAGCGAGGUGAGUUCCCGGGCGUCUCGGAGACGUCGACUCCGGCGAAUCACAGAAAAACCCCUGGUCGUUCCACUUCAUCUGAGUCUUCCGACACCAGAAAGAAGCACUGGAAGCGAGGUGAGUUCCCGGGCGUCUCGGAGACGUCGACUCCGGCGACUUACAGAAAAACCUCCGCUCGUUCCGCUUCAUAUCCGUCUUCCGACAACAGAAAGAAGCACUGGAAGCAAGGGGAGUUCCCGGGGGUCUCGGAGACGUCGAUUCCGGCUAUUUAUAGAAAACCCCCUUUGAAAAAUGUGAAGAAGAAGCUGGACCGGAAGAACAAUGCCAAGGCCUGGGUCAACACCGUCACGGAGGCCCUGUCAGACGCCAUUGACAAGAAGCAGUGGCUCCAAGCUCUUGAGGUUUUUGUCUUAAUCUAAACAAAAAUUAACAAAUUUUUCAUCUUUUUUCUUAUGUGUUUUUAGUUUGGUGAAUGUAAAUUGAUGCAAAAUUUAAAAAAAUGGUAUUUUUAUGCUUACCAAUUUAGUUUCUUGAACCAUGUUCUUGAAAAAUGUGAUCUUUUUAGCUGAAUGAUUUUAGUGGAAUUAUAAUUAAUUGGGUGUUUUUGUUUGGAAAAUGUAUGAUGAAAUUGGGUACUAUUACGUUCAGGUGUUUGACAUGCUUAGGGAACAACCAUUUUAUCAACCGAAAGAAGGGACUUACAUGAAACUCAUUGGUAUGCUUGGAAGGUGCGGCCAACCCAAUCGUGCCCGCCAGCUUUUCGAUACAAUGGUUGAAGAGGGCUGUGAACCAACUCUUGACCUUUACACAGCCUUGCUCGCGGCUUAUUGCCGGAACAAUCUGAUUGACGAGGCAUUUUCUGUUCUUAACCUGAUGAAGACUCUCCCGCAAUGCCAGCCUGACGUUUUUACUUACAGUACCUUGAUAAAGGUUUGCAUUGAUCAUUUGAAGUUUGAUUUAGUUGAGUCCUUGUAUGAGGAAAUGGCUGAGCGGUUGAUAGCUCCGAAUACAGUCACCCAAAACAUAGUGUUGAGUGGAUAUGGUAAGGCCGGGAAGUAUGACCAGAUGGAAAAAGUGUUGUCCGGGAUGCUGGAGGGUACAAGUUGCAAGCCUGAUGUCUGGACAAUGAAUGUUGUCCUUAGUGUGUUUGGAAACAAGGGUCAGAUAGAUAUGAUGGAGAGAUGGUAUGAGAAAUUCCGUGAUUUUGGGAUUGAGCCGGAAACUCGCACUUUGAACAUUCUGAUUGGUGCUUACGGGAAGAAAAGGCUGUAUGAUAAGAUGUCAACUGUGAUGGAGUACAUGCGCAAGCUUCAAUUCCCAUGGACAACCGCAACUUACAACAAUGUGAUAGAGGCUUUCGCGGACGUAGGAGAUGCAAAAAACAUGGAAUACACGUUUGAACAGAUGCGUGCUGAGGGCAUGAAAGCAGACACCAAAACAUUCUGCUGCCUUAUUAAUGGGUAUGCCAAUGCAGGCCUCUUCCAUAAGGUGGUUAGCUGCGUUCAGUUGGCUGGAAAGUUUGAGAUACCUGAGAAUACCACAUUUUACAAUGCGGUGAUAGCUGCAUGUGCAAAGGCAGAGGAUUUAAUGGAGAUGGAAAGAGUUUUCAACCGGAUGAAAGAGAAGCAAUGUCAACCGGAUUCCACAACAUACUCUGUCAUGGUUGAGGCAUAUAGUAAGGAAGGUAUGAACGACAAGAUCUACUACUUGAAGCAGGAGAUUGGUACUGAUGGUAAUCAAAGUGAUCAGAUUAGUGUUGAAGAAAAUCAAAGUGAUCAGAUUAGUGCCGAAGAGAAUCAGAGUGAUCAGAUUAGUGUGGAAGACAAUCAGAGUGAUCAGAUUAGUGAUGAAGGCAAUCAAAGUGAUCAGAGUAGUUUUGAAGAUAAUCAAAGUGAUCAGGCUUUUGGAGCUGAGUCUGGCGGUGUUGUCUAGUUGAGAUCUUUGGAGGCAACAGUAUGCUCCAAAAAUCCCUAAUCUCACAGGGCAAUUCCAUUCCCCGCAGUUCUUCUAAGGCAGCAGCAAACUCUUAUUGUGAAAUUGCCGAUCGAUCAGGUAAUCAAACAUUUCCAUUCUCGGAUGGGUGUUAGCAAUGCUGCUUCCUCCAAUUUUAUGUUUCUGGUGAAGGACUGUAUGGAUUGAUCUGAUAGACUGAUAACCCGGGUGAAACUUUAUGGAAAAUGAUUGUACAUACAGAGUUGAUAAGUGUCUCUCUCCAAACUUGAUGCGAUCUCUAAACUAGCAUGCAAAAUUGUACGACGAUUUGUAAGAGUGUUUAACUGUGUUCAACAGAGGAAUUGCUUUUUGUUAUUGCCUGAAAUGUUUUGAAUGUAACUUCACGUAUAUAUUGUCUGCAGCAGCUGCUGGACAAUCAUAGAAGGUGGUCUGUAAACACGUUGUUUUUGAAAAUUAAUCGCUCUUUUCGGUACAUUUUGUGCUGCUGUUGUUCGAAUGUUUUGGCACUUGAGGCAGACAAUUGAUCUGCAAUUAUCCCAAAAUGUAAGGGUCCAGCUCAACAAAACGCAGGGGUAAUUUGAUCAAAGAUGUAAGUUUUGUUAUAUUGACUUUUGAGUAGCAUUGGUAGUGUAAUAAACAAUAUCAGUAACGUUGAAUAAUAAUAAAUUUUACUUGGAUGCCGGCGUGUGUAGUAAGAAUAUGUCCAAAGUGGUUUGGACAACGACAUGAUGGUGCGUUAACUAAUAUGAUCUUAUCACGUGAUGAGAGAUAAAGGAGAGAUGAAUGUAUUCGUGACCUGGAGGUUAUUCUACACGUAAACUUGUAAAGAUAGGCAAACAGGGUGCUUUUUGGUUGAAACGAAAUGCUGAAUUGUUUACUCUUUCUUGUGUAAGAAGAGAAGACUUGUAUCGUAAUCAGGUACUAAUUGUUGUCUUUUGGUCCCACCUUACCUCACACUAUAAAUAAUGGCAUCUAAACCCGAUUAUUCACAGAGAAGCUUUCACAAAAGCAUAAAACUCUUAUAUUUUGGUUUCACUCGCCUCAAACUAGUCUCCCUCGUUGAAAUAGCUAACCUAGUUAGGAACUGUACACAAGUUUCUCUCGUAUCGAAGAAAGUCAAAGAAGUUUUUAGCUCACAAAAGCACAUAACCCCCUAUAUAUUCCAUUUGAAUCACCAUUUACAAAAUUUGUACUAACUUUCCAGUCGAAGAUAGGAUAGUUUCGACAAGUAUUGAACGGCUAAGAUAACUUUAUUUAUUACAUGAAUGGCUAAGAUUAAAAACAAGGGCACGUAGACGAAUACAAACAUCUUCAAUGAGAGGAUCCACCAUUUCUACCAUUGGAAAUUUAAUUUCCUUACAGAAUAGGCGAAAAGUGAAGCGAAAACAAUCGGGAAAGCAAUGAGAACAAUCGCCACGAGGAAUAAACGAUCGUGAUGGAAGCCAUAGUAGUCUUGAAGGAAGGAAGCAACUGUUUUCUGCUCCCCAAAAAUCAAAAUCUCUUUGUUCAUGUCUCCAUAUUGUGAACUGAGGAGGGCAUUUAGGGACCAUGAUGUAGGACAAAUCCAAUAGAACCAAAUCCACCACUUGGGAAUUUUCUGCAUAAAAUAUAUAGAACAUGGUCCGCUAGGCUCACAGUAAACCGUCAUAUUAAGGGUUUAUUUGGCACUGCUUCUUUAGAAAGAACUUUUGCUUAUAAAUUAUAAGCGCUUUUUCUGUAAGUUGUUUAAUAGAGUUAUGUUGCAAAAAAAGCAGUUGGGAGGGCUUCGCAUACUAAAAGCUCUUAAAGUUUUACUACAUAGUCUUUUGGCUUUUCUAGAAGCAGUCUCAAACAGGGCUAAAGACUAAAGAGAGAGUUAGAUUUAGUUACCGGCCCGAGCACAAGGAAGCCGGAAAAAAGAUUCAAUAUGGUGUAGAUUGCCGUUGCGAAAAUGGAAGCUACUUGCAGGCUUGUGCUAAAAGAAGCUAUCAGCAUCCCAAGGUAUACAAAUUAGAGAAAUGUAGAGAAUGUUGCAUGGAAGUACCAGAAAACCUUAGUAGCUGACCAAUAGUACCCUAUUGUAGGGUAUGUAAUAAUGACAUACAGAAUUGCUUGAACCACUUUGUAAGUUAUUUCAAUGGCCACCUACAACAACAUUCAAAAUUUCGACAUGUUAAAAACCUUUCCACUACAAGCUACGUUAUAGUACCAGUUAAAAUGUACGAACCUGUGCAAACGAAUGAGCGUUUGAUGAGUACAUCCCAGCAAAUCUUUCCCGGUACAGAACUGCGCGCUCAGUAGCCACGUAAGGCAGAACCGUCGAGCAAUUGGUUGUGCCCAAAAAUAUUACAGCAAUGUACAGUAACCCAAGCACGUUGAACAAAUCAUGCUCAUUGUUUCUUGAGGAACAAGAAAAACACAGGAUUUAGCGUUGUUGAGCAAAAAUUGUACAUAAUAUGUAAACAAAUAAUUCUCUCGACAUAAUUUCACCCUCGUUCAUUUUUCGAAGAGGGUUUUAUUAGUUUGAGUUUGAUUCAUUCUAGGUUACGCGCCUAUUAAUUACAACCUUUCUUUUGGGAAAGGAAUACCCUUUGAUUCUAAUAUGAAUAAAUCGUAAUUUGAGGAUUUGGGUGUUUAUUUGAUUUUGUGACUGUAUCUAGGUAGAGCCCUAGAUUGCCUACGUACCCUCGUUGAGGGAUCAAAUCACUCGUAGUUCCUUAUGUGUUUUGUUGGGGUUUGACGCCUUGUGCAGUUUCAGCUCAUGCAGAUGAGGAUUUUAAGCCGUUGGAGCUUUAAUAAAUUUGAUAUGGUUUUAUGCCAUUCUGAAAUUUGAUACGGCUUCGUGCCAGUUAACAUAGCUUCGUGCCACUUGAGAUUUUGUUGCGGCUUCAUGCCAUUUGAUAUUUGACUUUUUCUUCGGCUUUACGGCUUCGUGCCAUUGAAUUGGCUUUGAGCCAUUUGAGGCAGCUUUGUCCCAUUUAAAGUGGUUUUAUGCCGCUUAAACGUUGAGUAAAAUUAACAGGUUUAUUUCUGAUAAACCCACUAAUAUUUUGGCAUUUGACUCUGGCUUGGUACCAUUUCUUACUCCAUGUUUAAUUUUACUUUUCCUUUUUCGUUUGCCCUUUCUUCUGACAAAUUUGUAGAGAAUCAUGCUUGGAAUAAAAAAAAAAUUUCCUCUGUUCCUUCAUGGGAUUUACUCCACAAGGGUUUUGUUCAAAGCAGCAGAAGUGAAUUUAGUUUAUACAAACCAGGGAUUCAUCUUGAUUUCUUGGUUGCGUCUAAAAUUUGAUAUCAGACUGCCUACGUAUCCUUAACGGAAUCAAACCGGCGUAGUUCGUAACUUUUGAGACUCAUCGCGGCUUUGUGCCAUUUGAUACUUGAUAUGGAUUCGUGCCAUUUGAAGUUUGACGGAGCCUUGUGGCAUUUGUGUCUUGUAAAUAUUUGUGAUGAACCCACUUUUACAUUGGUAUUUGACUUUGUCUUCCUUUUCAUUUAUUUUGUCUUGGAACCCAUUUUAUUUUGCCUACAAGCCCGUCACUCUAUUGUUGCCCUUUAUUUUUUUGCAUGGUAGCACAAAAAAAAUCCUUGCUUUCAUAUGGAAAAUAUAAAAGCAAGAGUCAAAGCUCCUUUAUUUUUACCAAUGCCUUUUUCAAGCUUUUAAGUCCCUUGCUUUUCUUCUUUCUUUAUUUUUCUUUUGUCAUUGCCGUAUGUCUCCCUAAGAACAACUCCACUUUUGGAGCCCUUUCUCCAUGCAAUCCACUAUUCAAUCCACCAUGUAAACAGUAAUUACCCUUAAUAAACAGUAACUACUUUUGUAUCUCAACCCUUGCACUUGAAUACCCUUGGCAAUAGGCAAUAAAAUAUUAAUUUUUAUAAUUAAUAUUAUAUUAUUUAAUUUGUACAAAUUAAUAUUAUAUUAUUAAUUUAUCUUUUCCAAUCUCUUCCCGAAACUUCUACCAUUUUUGUUUUCUUCUUCCUUCCCACUCUCUCACUCCCCUCUCCCUCAUUGUCUUCUUUUUUUUCUCCGGCCGACAGUCUACCUCCCCUCUCUCUUUUUCUCCCCCAUUUCUCCCUGUUUUCUUCCUCAAACGAGGAAGCUGCGAAUUUUGAGAGAGAGCAGCACCGAACCCACCCGCCUCCCGCCAUGUCUAAAUCCACUGAUGUGUCUUUCUUCCUCCUCAUGGUCCUCUGCGGCCAGGCCCAAAGAGGCCGCCUGCUUCUUUCCGACUUCAACCAAUCAACGUCAUCCGAUCUGAUCUCCGAUAGAGUCCACCACCACCACCGGUCCCACACCCUGGCUCCCUACCUCACUCUCGAGAACGCCCUUUCGGCGGAAGACUCCACCUGCAAGCAGACCUACGUUUUCCUGCCUUGCACCACCACUGUGAUCGACAACCUUUCCUAAUUCCUGACAGAAAAAAAUUAAAAAAAAGGACUGACGCCAGCCUGACGUCAGCCCCUACUCGGGCUGGCAAUUCCUCAUAGACCCUUUGCUCGGGCCUUGGCUGCUGCUUGGGCUUGCUCACGCUGGAGCUGGUCGACAGGGCCUUGGGCUCUUUCUUCUCCCCCCGUCCCUCGAGCAGGAGCUUCCGCUAAAGCUGCUCUAAUGGUUCGAAGAUGAUGGAAUCCAAUUUGAAAUGGCACAAGUUAAAUUUCCAUAAAGAACUCCCAUAACUUUAUUGACCCCUACGUGAGCAACUUUCCAUGUGAGGUGCUGAUUUCAGUUAGCAUUCUUCUUUGAUCUUUUCAAACCCAUUUAAACAUGGGACUUCGAACCUAUCUGACCUAAACUUCUGACCAAUCUGAGAGCAAGCCUUACUCUUUUCUUUGUUUGACUUCAAAGGUCUCCAAAUUCCAAUAAGACUUUAUCCCAUACUUUAAAUGGGGGAACCAUGACUUUCUUUUGUCUUCCACGACUUUCUUUUGUCCUCCACGUGAGUGGUUUUCUUGCUAUGAAGUAAAAGAAGACCACAUCAACAUUUUUUUAACUUUACUUUUGAUUUGACAAAAGCUUUUUGGUCUGGAACUCUUCUUCUCUCCUUAUGAGUUUUAAACAUUUUUUUUUCUUUGUCUUCAACCUUGAAUUUAGCUUUGCCCAACAUUUGACAAUAACUUACUUCAUCUUUGAGGUGCCACGUAUUUAGCCUUUUUUAAAAAAAACAAGCACUUUCUUUUGAGUUUUCUGUUUCCUGCAUGGAUUUGUCUUCACAGGGGUAAAACUAGUCUUCGACUAAAAUCACGAAUCAUCUUUUGCUUGUUGGAGAUUUUUUCUUCAAUUCCUAAUUUAAACAGGAAUUUGAAUGAAACUUGGUCAGUGGCAACUAGCGCCUAUUCUUCUUUGGCUGGGCUUUCUUUGGGUUUCUGUCUCAAUGAAGAACGCCAAAAGUUUUUGAAGAAGACCAUGGCCCGUCGACCGACAGAAGCUUCGGGACCAUAGCUGGGCAUGUUGGGUUCUUGUUCUCCACUUGUUCAAAUGUGCAGAGUGACGGCUUAUUCUCCGUUGCAUCUCUGAAAAGAGGAAGGGAGAUGUCGAAAACUUCUUUAGACACCCAAGAGGCUACAGGAGGUUGUGGGAAGACGAUUUGCUGCUGUGUUUUGAUGAAAUCUCCGUUGGACAUCACAAGUUGCAGGGUGUCGAUGAUGUUGAAGACAUGGCGCAGCUGCUGUCUCUGUUUGGGCUUCCGUCUAACGUCGGCGGUUUAUUGCAAUGUUGCCUUCAUUAGCUAUUUCACACCGCUGCCAUCUUCUUGCUCAAACCUUCGUCAAAUUUGUUGAUGGUCUGGACUGGCGUGCCCAACUACGUCACCUGGUUUCAUCACCUUCGGAUCACGAACUGCACUGCCCUUGGGCUUCUUCCGGAGGACUGACAGAGACGACGGUUGAAAAAUGGUGGUGUUGCCGUAGUGCAGUGAUCACCUAGACCUGGUUGGAACUUCACGGGGUGGUUUAGACCACCCCGAAGAAAUUCAUGGGACUGGGGAUGGGAGAGAAACAAAUUGUUUUUUUUUCUUCUUGCAAAGCCGAGAGAAAGCAUACAAAGAAAGAUUUAGAAGGAUAGAUUUAUACCUUUAAAUGCUUUGUAGCAUUUCCUGCUCUUUGUUCUUGCGGGUAGCACUUGAUAUCUUCUUCUUUUUUCUUCUUUUGUUUCUCUUUUGCCUUUGCUCUCUUGCUUUGCCUCUCAUUCUCUGUUGUCUUCAUUGCGCUUUUCUGUCUCUCAAUUUUUGCAGAGUACCCUUGUCUUUUUUUUUUUUUUUUCUCUUGCUGUAGUUGAUGCCUAUUUAUAGGCAUCCCAAGUAAAGGAUGAUACAUUCCUGAUCUCUUGGGAUUGUUUCCUGUUUCAUCAUGAUUUCCAGAUUUCCCUGUUUUAUUAAAACAUUCCCCUUAUGUAUUCUUUGUAGAUUAAUUAUACUUGUAAAUCAAGUCAUUGUACACUAUUUAAAUCAAUGAUAAUGCACCCUCUAGGGCAUCGAGGGAUUGAGCCAAAAUACCUUCUUUUGAGUUAUCUUUUAUGGUACUCAGAGCCAGUGACUAACGUCUUUUUUUUCUUUUCGGAUUCUUCCUACUCUUCUCCAUGGCUGCCUCAACCAGUUCGACUACUCCUUCCUCCGACAUCUUCCCUUCUGUUUCUCAUGCGAUCUCCAUCAAACUUGACUCUUCCAAUUAUCCUCUUUGGUUGGCUCAGUUGCUACCUGUUCUUCGCAGUCGUCAAUUGUUGGCUUUUGUUGAUGGUACUUCCAUCUGCCCCUCGGCGUUCUUGUCCGACGAUACCGGCAACGCCUCUUCCAAACCCAACCUCGCGUAUGCUGACUGGGUUCAGAAGGACCAGCUUGUUCUUUCUUGGAUCAAUGGCUCUCUUGGUCACCAGGCCCUCGCCGCCACUGCUCGUCAUUCCACUGCCCGUGAUGUUUGGGUUGCUCUUCAGCAGCGUUUUGCUUCUACAAACCAAAGUCGCAUUCUUCAGCUUCGUACUGCUUUCUUCCAGACCAAACGAGGUGAUUCUUCAAUUUCUGACUUUCUUGAUAAGAUCAAUGGUAUUGCCGAUCAAUUGGCCCUUGCCGGGGCACCUGUUUCUGCUGAUGACAUGGUGCCGGUCGUCAUGUCUAAUGUCGGCCCCAAAUUUGAGAACACUGUUGCUGCUGCUCAGGCCCGUGACAACCCCAUCUCCCUUUCUGAUCUUGAGGCUCUUCUUCUCGUUGCUGAACUCCGCCUUGCUGAUCCUCCUGCUCCGCCGGACUCCAGCGUCUCGGCCCUGGUAGCCUCCCGCGGCUCUUCUGCCUUUCAUGGCCGCUCCUCUUCUGAUCGCGGCGGCGAUCGUGGCUCUGGCCGUUUCUCACGUGGGGGUGGUCGUCCUCAACAUGAUGGGUCUCGCAACAAUGGUGGUGACGGCUAUCGUGGCUAUCGCGGUGCUGGUGGUUUCCAUGAUCGUCCGUUUCGCGAUCGUGGUGGUGGUCGUCCUCAGCACGAUGGCUCUCGCUUCCGUGGCUCCAACAAUGCUUCUGGGGUUCUUGGUCCAGCCCCAUAUCACGGUUCCUCCCGUCCUCGCUGCCAUAUUUGCAAUACUUUUGGUCAUGGUGCUCUUGACUGUGCUCAACGUCUUAAUUUGGCUUAUGAAGGUCGUCCUCCUUCUUCCCGUCUCACUGCCUUGACUGCUCAGCACUCCCAGCCUUGGCUCAUUGAUUCCGGGGCAAACUCGCAUAUCACCAAUGAUCUCAAUACUUUGUCUCAGUCCCGUGAUUAUCGUGGUGGUGAUUCCGUCGGUGGUGUCGUUGGCGGUACAGGUUUGCCCAUUAACCGUAUUGGCUCCUCCACUCUCUCUCAUAAUAAUAUUUCUUUCAAGCUUAAUGAUGUUCUUCAUUGUCCGGAUGCUUCUACUUCUGUGUUGUCUGCUAAUCGGUUUAUGUUGGAUAAUAAUUGUUAUAUUACAUUGUUUCCUUCUUGUUUCUAUAUUCAGGAUAUGGAGACGGGGACGAUUCUUUUUUCGGGCAAGAGUAGCAAUGGCUUUUAUCCCUUUUCCUCUUCAUCACCGACUGCUCAUGGUCGUGCUGCUUUUCUUGGUGUUCGUGUUGGUAGUGAUGUCUGGCACUCUCGUUUAGGCCAUCCAUCUUCUUCCAUUUUAAAAUUUCUUUUUUCUAGGCAUUCGAAUAAGUUGCCUGUUUCUGGCAACCUCAAUCUCAAUACUUUUAUGUGUCAUUCUUGUCCUUUAGGCAAAAGUGUUAAGUUACCUUUUUCUGCAUCAUUGUUUGUUACUCAAGCUCCUCUUGAGCUUAUUCACUCCGACGUGUGGAGUGCGUCCAAUAAAUCUGUUAGUGGUUUCCAAUAUUAUGUUCUUUUUGUUGAUAAUUUCUCUCGUUAUUCUUGGAUUUAUCCCAUGAAAUUGAAAUCUGAAGUCUUUAAUAUUUUUACUCACUUUAAGACCUUGGUUGAAAAUCAAUUCUCCACUAAAAUUAAGAUGUUUCAGUCCGAUGGUGGGGGCGAAUACACUAGUCACCAAUUCAAGAAUUUUUUUCUUCACCAUGGUAUUCAUCAUCGUCUCUCAUGCCCUCACCAUCCCGAACAAAAUGGUUUGGCGGAACGCAAACAUCGUCACAUUGUCGACACUGGACUUACUUUAAUGGCCCAUGCGUCGAUGCCUCCUGCCUAUUGGGCUAAGGCCAUGCACACAGCAGUUUAUCUUCUCAAUCGCCUCCCCUCUAAAGUACUUGGUUUUAUGUCUCCUUAUCAAAAGUUGUUUCUUAAGGAACCUGAUUAUAGUUUUUUAAAGACCUUUGGGUGUGCAUGUUUUCCCCACCUACGACCCUAUAAUAAUAAUAAACUCCAGUUUCGUUCUACUAAAUGUGUUUUUCUUGGUUACUCUCUCAAUCAUCAAGGUUCUCGGUGCUUAGACAUCUCUACUAACCGCAUCUUUUUAUCACGCCAUAUUGUGUUUGAUGAAGGUAAUUUUCCUUUCAAGGCCAUCUCUGGCUCUCUUGCCCCAUCCUCCCCGGCCUCGUCUCCUCCUCCUGUUUUAGAAAUCACUGGGCCUCUUCCGCAUGCCCCCCGACCGUCUAGCAGCCAACCGGUGGUUGUGUCCCCCUCUUUGGAGACUCAUCAAUCCAGUCCAUCAUCCGACCCACCACAGCCGGCCCUACAGGUUUACUCCCGUGACCCUCACAGGCGGGUUCUUUCUUUUGCACAAGCAGCAACCCCAUCUGUCACUCCCAGGCCCACGCCUGCUGUUGCCUCUGCAGUUCAACCUGAUGCGCCUCCCGAGGCUCCAUCUGCUGCUGUACCACCUGCCGUGCCCUCUACUUCCCAUGGUAUGCUCACUAGGUCCAAAACGGCUUCUCUUAAGCCUCAUAAAUAUGUUUUUUCUGCUGCCAUUUCUUCUUCUACCGGUCCUAUUGAGCCUACUUGUUUUAGUCAGGCCAACACUUUUCCCGAAUGGCGUACUGCGAUGGCCGAUGAAUUUAAUGCACUUCAACGUGCUGGUACUUGGACUCUUGUUCCUCGUACCGCUUCUAUGAAUAUUUUGCCAAACAAAUGGGUGUUUCGUAUUAAACAGAAUUAUGAUGGGUCUAUUCAGCGGUAUAAGGCUCGUUUGGUAGCCAAUGGUUUUCAUCAGCAACCCGGCCUUGAUUAUGGUGAAACUUUUAGUCCUGUUGUCAAUCACUCUACUAUUCGCUUAAUUUUGGCUCUUUCAGUUCAGUUUCAAUGGCCUGUUCGUCAGUUGGAUGUUCAGAAUGCUUUUCUUCAUGGCUCUUUGUCUGAGGAGGUCUAUAUGCACCAACCUCGUGGCUUUGUUGAUCCACAGUUCCCUCAUCAUGUGUGCCGCCUUCGUCGUUCUUUAUAUGGGCUCAAGCAGGCGCCCCGUGCAUGGUUCCAAUGUUUUUCCACUCAUUUGGAAGAUUUGGGUUUUCGUCCCUCUACUGCGGAUCACUCGCUUUUUACCUAUAUUCAUGGCUCUACUCGCAUUUAUCUCUUAAUUUAUGUUGAUGAUAUUUUGGUCACCGGGAAUAAUCCCUCAUAUUGUCACCCUCAUUAAGAAUUUGGGCAUCCGUUUCUCUAUGAAGGACCUUGGACCGGUUCAUUAUUUCUUAGGCAUGGAGGUGGUCCGCACUCCAUCAGGUCUCUCUCUUUCCUAACAAAAGUAUGCCACUGACCUACUUCACCGCACCAAAAUGCAUGGUGCUAAGCCGGUUCCUACUCCUGCCGUUAGUGGGCGACGGCUCAGUCUUCAGGAUGGUGACCCUCUGCCGGAUCCUAUUGAAUACCGAAGUGUUGUCGGCGCCCUUCAAUACUUGACUCUCACUCGUCCCGACAUCAACUUCGCCGUCAACCAAGUCUGCCAAUUUCUUCACCAGCCGACUUCUACUCAUUGGGCCGCCGUCAAACGCAUUCUUCGUUACCUUGUCGGCACUACUUCUCACGGUCUUACCUACAAGCCUGGUUCCUUUCGUCUUACAGCAUUUUCCGAUGCCGAUUAUGCCGGGAUCCUGAUGAUCGGCGUUCCACCGGGGGCUAUUGCUUGUAUCUGGGUUCCAAUCUUGUCUCAUGGAGUGCCAAGAAACAAAAUGGGGUCUCUCGGUCCAGCACUGAAGCCGAGUAUCGUCAACUUGCAAUCACCGCUGCCACUCUUUCAUGGUUUCGUAUGCUGUUCCGUGACCUCCAGUUUCCUCUACAUUGUCCUACACUGUUUUGUGACAAUAUCAGUGCUAUAUCCCUUGCUUCCAACCCGGUGUUUCAUGCCCGCACUCGGCAUGUUGAGGUGGAUUACCAUUAUGUUCGUGAAAAGGUUGUUCGCAAGGAGAUUGAUGUUCGUUAUCUUUCUACUCAUGAUCAGAUUGCUGACUUCUUCACCAAGGGCCUUUCUCUUCCUCGUUUUCGACUUCUGGUUUCCAAGCUUCCUGUACUUGAUUGUACUGUCAGCUUGCGGGGGCGUAAAGGAUGAUACAUUCCUGAUCUCUUGGGAUUGUUUCCUGUUUCAUCAUGAUUUCCAGAUUUCCCUGUUUUAUUAAAACAUUCCCUUUAUGUAUUCUUUGUAGAUUAAUUAUACUUGUAAAUCAAGUCAUUGUACACUAUUUAAAUCAAUGAUAAUGCACCCUCUAGGGCAUCGAGGGAUUGAGCCAAAAUACCUUCUUUUGAGUUAUCUUUUCCCAAGAAGGCUCUAGAAUUUGUUACGUGGGGGAAGAUGGAGACCAUGACCUCCUGCCACUUUCUGUUAACCCCCUUUUCUGACUCCACGUUUCUUUUUGUUGCAGAAAAUGGGGGAGCACCUGUUUUUUGCACGUUACUUCCCCCCUUAUGUAGGAAAAAAAUUAUAAAUUUUUUAUUUAUUCCUGAAUGUAUUUGUAUGUAAAGCUCAUCCUCAUCUUUUGGGUUGGAUUACAUUUUUGUUUUACCUUGAAGUUUGACUCAAUUUGAAUGGACUUUAUUUUUUCAUAUUUUUUUUGUUCAACAAGCGUAGUUUUCUUUUUCUUUUUCUCUGUGAAAUAUAUAGUAUGAAGAGGGUGGAAAUGGGUCGGGGCUUACAUUUCCUUCACUUUCUGCCAAAAGAUUGUUCCGAACCACACUGAUAGAGCGAAAAUAAACGCGAAACGUGCUAGAUUGUACUUUGGACUUCUCCAGUGGGACAAGUGUUGUUUCCACAGACAUGCCUUAAACUGCACCCAGCUAUUUUGAGCAAAAGGAGUGGGAAGGUUCAAGCCCCUUGAACCCGGCUUUGGUUCGCUCAACCGGCUAACCAACUCGACCGUGUCUCUCUGAAAAAGAAGGAAACAAACAUAUAAAUUUGAUGAUUGAAAUAAAUACAUGAUUAAUCCUAAAAUAAUGGAAAUAUUAGAGAUAUGCCCUUACCUAUACUGAGUAGAGGGUUUAUAAAUUUCAGCAAAAUCUAAACAAAGUUUUGCCUCUACUGAGGCAGAAGUAACUUCUAACAUCCAAGUUGCUGGAUUGUAAUUUUCUUUGAUCUUUGGUACAUCACGAAUAUCCUCAAAAUAUUUGACGAGUUUACUCGAGUGAUGACCGAGAACUCCAGAAUAGAUGAUUUGGCCUCCCCUUUUCAUCAAAAGUAACUGCAAAAAUCAAUGUCUUCCGUUAGUGAUCGAGUGGCUUUUAUGAUUUGGUUUAGUUUUCUUGGACUCCAUGACAAUGCUCGUUAUACUACCUCGUCAAAUGACUGAAAAAUAUCAAUGCUUGGCUUGUGGAUUGUGCAAACAGUUGUCCUUCCUGUGGAAACAACAUUCUUUACUACGCAAAUGGCAAUUGCAGCUGCUCUGGCGUCUAAGCCUGACGUAGGUUCAUCCAUAAAUAUUAUUGAUGGGUUGGAUACAAGCUCCACUGCAAUUGUUAGCCUUUUGCGCUGUUCAGUAGAUAGGCCAGUUUGUCCAGGAAUGCCAACUAAGGAAUCUCUUAUAUCCUCCAGUUCAAUCGUUUGAAUGACUUCCUCCACAAAUUUCUGCAUAGAUUAAGCAAAGGAUACUUUCUUUUAUAUGUUCCAGGAAAUUUGCAUAUUAUUGAUAAAUUGAAAGAAUAUCAUCCUACAGCUUUUAUGUCUGGAUCAGUUUCGUGUGGCAACCUCAACCAAGCUGAGAACAUAAGCGAUUCUUCUACCGUGAUCUGUGGAGAAUGUAUAUCAGUCUGCUCGCAGUAUCCUGAUAUUCUUGCAAAUGUCUUCUGGACCUUGGGGUACCCUCCGAUUCUUAUAUCUCCCACGAUACUACCUCCUGUUUCCCUUCCAGAAAGAACAUCCAUGAGAGUUGUUUUUCCAGCCCCAUGCGGUAGGAAUUCCUGGACUGAAUGCUCCUGUUAUAUCUUUAAGCAACUGAAGCUUUUUCUCCUUGAAAGCAUGCUGUCUCAUUUCCUUUUUUAAGAAGGAAUGAAGUUAAAAUACAACUAAAUAGUUUUCCAAUGAUACUAAUAUGUGAAAAUUGACUAAUGAUUUGAUUAAUUACCGGAGGUGUAUCAACAUAAUACUGCACGUCCUUAAAUGAGAUUGUCAGUGGCUCGAACGGCAGGACCAUUCUCCCUGUUUAACAAAUUGAUUUACUCUCGAAUAAUUCAGUUGUUAAAAAAAUUCCUUGCUCGUUGCUUUGAAUGGAAAAUGUGAAACUGAUAACCCGGAUAAACUGGAUGCAACAAUUCAUCUCACCUAGUGUUAUCUUUUCUCCCAUGGUUUUGAAUAAAUCGGAUAGAGUUGAUUCAUUUUCCAACGGUGCACCAGUUUGGGUUAAUAUUUAACAUUGGGCUUAUAGGAGAGAAAGCCCAAAAGAGUUCAAUAAGAAGAGUUUCGUCCGAAGCCCAGCACCAAGCCCAGACCGUCCAUCUCAAGACCAAUUGGCACUCUCCUAUUAAUGCAAAGGCUAAGUGCUUACAAGAGAAGUGACAACUGAUGAAAAUCAACCUACUCUCAGCCCAAAAGUACUUUUCAGUGGCAAUACAAGUAAAAUAUUGAUGAGUCACUACCAUUCAAUUGCUUUUGGGUAAGAACAAAGCUACAAGCGGUCGGACUAAUUCGUUUAUAAAAGGAGGAAGAGGGCUCAGAGACAAGGACACUCAAUCAAUCAAACAUACAACUUGUCUCUCAUCCAAGCAAAUACCCAGAAAGCUGUGCUUUGUCCAGACUCUGCACCCUUUUAGCCUUAGAUUUCCUUAGAAAGACAUCUUUUUUCUAUGUAAAAGCUCUGCUACAUUUUUCUAAAUGUUGUAGUAUCGAUCCCUCGUGUAUAAACUCGUUUCCAGUCAUCUCCUUUAGUACUCAAUUCUUUUGUAAACUGCAAAGAGAAGAGAUCGCAAGGCGUUUAACCUUGCUUGACAAAGUGAAAUCUUGCCCAACUCUCUUUGUUUUUAUCUUUCAAUUAACAAAUAUGGUGUUAUAAUGUAUUCCGUAGUUUAUAUUCAAGUUAUUUCCAGUCCUUUGAUGACCCAAAGCCCCAUCAGUUCUCAGAUCUGGUUCACUUAGUGGUUUUAUCAAGAAUUGAAAUGAAUUAAACUGAUGACUUGAUCAGAUCUAAGCCUUCACCCCUCAAGCAUACAAAAUAACUAAAAGUCUUUGAUCUCAAGGCAUAGAAAAUAACUUAAUGUAGACUUAAUCCAUCUACAACAAUCCUUUGAUAAACAAGAAGUCAGAAAUAACUUGGGGUGCAAGUAAUCGGCUUAAAACACACUUGUUCUACAUCUGCCAUACAGAGAUGGCAGUGGCACGCCUAAGCACCUAGUUAGUUUUGAAUGCGAGCCUCAAGGCCUAUACCUAAGGCCCCACAAAGGCACCUUUCAGAACUAACUUUGUUUUCCUCUUGCAGUAUUGUGACAAGCAGGAGCCCAACAAUCAACCAAAGUGCCAACUCCUCGGGCAGCUGUGUGCUCGAGCCAGGAACGCCCACCAACCAGAUUUCCUGCCCAAAAAGCACCAGUUUUGCGAGCUCCCCUUCUUCAAAGUUGAGAUAAUCUUUUUUUCGAAACAAUAGCCCGAUACACCUUUGGAGCUGUAUGAGGAAAAGCUUAAGUAAACUGAUGUGGAGCUGUAUGAGGAAAAGCUUAAGUAAACUGAUGAAGUGGAUUGUAAUACUUAAGUUAUCAUCUGUCAAUUAAAAUGAAUCUAAGUAAGUUAAUGCUAAAAUAAAUCCAAGAUCAGACAGCAUUGUGAACCCGAGUAAUGCUCCUACUGAUAUCCAAUAGAAAUAGCCAUCAAAGUUCAAACCAUGCCUGGUUAGAACUUUAUUCCCUAGGGUUGUGUUUCCCUCUGAGACCUAAAGAAAUGAAUUAACACUGUCAAAACACUUAUUCGACUUCGAUGAUCGGGUACUAAAAAAGUUUAUCAUCUUGAGUUGUACCUUUUGCCAGCGAGGAGCGAGGAACUCGUUUAGAGUUGUACCGAUUUCCCCAUAAGUCAUAGGUGAACACCAGAAUAGUCAACGCAACCAAGGAGGUAAAGAGGCUGCAAAACACCCCUUAUUAGUCUAGUUGUAGUUGAAUGUAACUAAAGGAAAAAUACGAUAAAUGGACUUACAUCGUGGCAAGAUGAAGCCUCCGGAUAAAAACAUUAGCACUAGGAUUAAAAUACCGCAAGUUGAUGCAACAACCAUAGUUUGGAAAACUACAGCAAUUAAACGACAUAUGGAUGUCGAUGCUUGAUGGAGAGCAAAUAGCACAAGGAACUGGAAGAAGAACCUAAAAACCAUAGCAUAUUCUUGAGGCAUUAUUAUGAUUAUUGUUCAAGCCUUUCAUGUUCUGUCGUGUGACUAUAAAGUUGAGAUCUUACGUUUUUAUGUCUGGAGCGUACCCAAUCAAAUGGUAAGUUAUUGCUGUCCACAGCAGUGAAUCAAUCACUGAAAAUGGAACCUUCAGGAUAGACUGGAAGAGAAUACGCCCAUGCUGGAUACAGAUUGAAUCCUCUUUGCUUGUAAACCACUGGUAAUCUAGUAACAGUCACAGCUCUGCAAUUCCGUUGGUCAUAAGUCGAAUAAGUGUAUAAAACAAUGAGUUCAUAAAAAAACUUGCAUUUAUCAAAUCCACGGUCCUACGGGUGCUUAUACAGAUUGCCAUUGUAAUAAAUGCAGUGAUGACAAGCUGUGGGAAAAAAAGAGAGAAAAUAUAGUAAGUGAUUUUGAGUUUAACUUCAGAAGUACAACCCCUAAAAGUGAUAUCAUUAGGCAGUAAACCUGAGCUGUUUUGAAUACGUAGAGAAAGGAAUUCCGUUUCAUGAGAAGAAGCUCUCGGGCCAUACAACCUUUGAACAACUCCCAUUUGCUCACAGAGUAAGUACUAAAUGAUAAGGCAUUAUCAUGGCACUGUGAUUUAUUGUAUGGUUUUGAGAGCUCAUCGUCUAAUUUCUUCCCCGAGUAACUUGCUCUGAAAAGUUCAAAAAAUUUGUUUGCAGAAACAUGACCGUAGGGAAUGUUAUCAUGCUUCCAGUAUUGUGCUUGAUCCUUCUUUGAGAUCACCUCUUGAAGGAAAUCUGCAGCACCCUUUCUUGGUGGGCACUUGAAACCAGAGUCUUCGAAAAACUCAACUGCGUGGCUGCGAUGACCGUGGUAAACUAUCUUCCCCUCUGCCAUUAGUAUUACAUCAUAAAAAAUAUCAAUGGUCUCGGGUGCUGGUUGGAGAAGUGAUACCAAUGCAGUUGUAUCUGUGAUAUGCACCAGCUGCUGAAGAUAGGUAACUAUCUGAAAGGUUGUAGAACUGUCUAAUCCCGUUGAUAUCUCAUCCAUAAAAAGAGCUUUUGUAGGACCUACAAUCAUUUCUCCUGAAGAUUAAACAGAAGAGGAAUGUUAUGUUUGAAACAUUUUUCUACAUGGGAAUUAGUAAUUACAUUCAAAUUUCCCUCGGAUUCAAGAUUUCACUACCGGUUGUCAGCCUUUUCUUCUGGCCACCAGAAAUGCCUCUUCUUAAUGCAUCACCAACCAUUGUGUCACUCACUACACAUACCCAGUCCAAGUAUCUAAAGAGAUUCCAAAAUAUCGUAAUUCAUUUUUCCUGUCCGAGUGAGUUAGAAAUGUCACGUUUGAACUACUUAAUGUCAGCAUUGUCCAUGUCCAACACUGGUUGGAGAAAAAUUUACCUUCAAAACAUAAUCGGUUUGGAGAUUUUCCCUUUGUCCUUCAACUGAAAUGGCCUGUGAGUAUUAUGUAAAUCUCUAAAACCUCUAACACAAAAGGGUGGUAAGAUUUACUAAAAGGAAUGUUAUGAGACUUUACAAUUACCUUCAUGUAGGUGUCAAUAUCUGGAUCGGGGACUAUUCCUGCUUCUUUUUCCCUUCUGCUGAGCUCCAUUAUUAUAUAUGCAUAAAAUACGAUCGAAAUUAAACUUCAUACGUCAAUAGAAGUACACGACUAACCCAAUAGUAAAUGCAAUAGGGGAUAAGGAAUAUGCACCAGCUCUACUGCCAACACCCUGGCAGCGGGAGGAAAAGUCAAUUGUUUCCCUCAGUCAUCUCAGGCAGGUGAAGGUCAUGCUGGCUAAUGUAAGCUGAUGUUUUUUGGGGAACAAACUCAUCUAGCUUGUAACCAUUAUAAGUGUUGUAAACUGAAAUAGAAAGGAACGAAGUUACCUAAAAAAAUGUAGAAGCCUUGAGUGGUGAAUGAUUAUUGGGAUGAGUUGCGGACUAAGUCGCUUUCUUUAAGACGUUUCGCGGCUCUACCCAAAGUGUGCAAGCAGUUCACAAACACCACAUCGUCCUAGGAUAAAACAGCCCAAAACCUUCUUCUUCUUCUUCUGAUAAAGUUCUUCCUUGUACAGUAGAAGAACCUUCGAAUUCACAUUCUCUCAAUAUGUUGCUAACCAAAACUAUAUAUUAGAAAAUAUAUCUUCUUUUUUUUCCGCAUACUUUCAAUGAUCCAGGGACUACUAUAUAUACAUUUAGACGAAAGAGAUGUUGAGGGUUUGAGAAAAUUGAAAGCAGGACAAAAUCAAAACGUAAGUCAAAUAAAACGGUUUGAUUAUGUAUCAUGACAUGAUCUUCUUCUCUAUACAAAGAAGGAAUGGCACGUUUCAAACUUAAAAGGAGAUAACUCCUUACCUAAUUGAAAAGUCAAAAUCAAUUGGCAGUUAUGCAUAGAAUAUUGGUAAUAAAACAAAACGUUAUGUAUAUAAUAUUGGUAAUAAAAUAAAACAUAAAUAUAUUUAAAUAUUUAAAUAAAAACAUAUUUACUCAACAAUCCCCCACUUGUUUUUGUUUAAAACUAUACAUCAAGCAAUAUAUCGUAAAGCUAUACAGAAGUAAAUGUGUUUCUCAACUUAAAUCUAUACAUAGUGUUAGUGAUCGAGAUUAUACUAGAGUAACUUAUAGUUUUGAACUCUAUCCCUAACAACACCACACACACAACUUUAUUAAGGUGAAGUUCAAAAAGCCAGCACAUUACAACCAUGUGCUUGUAUCCCAGUAUAGUGAACGCUCUAGAAACUUGCUCAAGAUUUCAUAGGAAGCGGCAUCACUUCCACAUUCACAUAGUUAAGACUAUCAAGGUAUUCCUGUAGCUAGAUAUCUCACUUAACAUAGAGUAUAGACCUUACUAAGAGAAAAAAAAAUCUCAACCUAAAUACGCUUCAGGAUGUCAUGCUUCUUAGGGAUGGACAUGGAAUAAUAUUCCAAACUAAAAUUAGCAAGACUUCACUCUUAUCACUUGUGACUUGUUAUUACCCUUUGAACCUAUUUCUUGGGAUCUCUAGUCUAUAGGUUGGGUUGCUAUCACAAAUAACUCAAUUCUCUAGGGCUUUAGUCCCAUCCCUUUCGAGGUUUUCCAAACCUUUUCUCGUGCUAGUCCUUUUGUCAAAGGAUCAACCAAGUUUUCUUCAUACCGUAUAUGAUCCACUCUCACAGCUCCAUUAGACAGGUAAUCUCUUACAGUGAUGUGCUUACGACGUAUUUGUCGCCCUUUCCCAUUAUAAUAAUGAUUUUGCACUUUAGCUAUUGCCGAUGUGCUAUCACAAUGGAUCAAAACUGCUGGAAUCGGUUUCUCCCAUAAAGAGGUAUCUGACAGUAGGUUUCUCAACCAUCCUGCUUCUUCGCUUGUCGUAGCUAGCGCUAUUAAUUCUGACUCCAUAGUGGACUGAGCCAUGAUAGUAUGUUUCUUAGACUUCCAUGAUACAACCCCACCACCAAGACUAAAAAUACAUCCACUAGUGGCUUUAGAGUCAUCUGAAAGGGUAUUCCAAUCAGCGGCACUGCAACCUUCUAGGACAGCGGGAAACUUCUCAUAGUGUAAUCUAAAAUUCAUUGUCCUUUUAAGGUAUCUCAUAAGCCUAUCUAUGGCAUGCCAAUGCUCCAAACUAGGUCUACUAGUAAACCUGCAUCAAACUCCUACGACAUAAGAUAUAUCAGGCCUAGUGCAAUCAGUAGCAUAACGAAUGCUACCAAUAAUACUCGCAUACUCAGAUUGUUUAACACUGUCACCAAUGUUCUUGAACAAUUUUACACUAGGAUCAUGAGGAGUACAUGCUGGUUUACAAUCAAAAUAAUUAUACUUUCUUAAAAUUGUUUCUAUGUAGUGAGAUUGAUCUAAAGAAAACCCAUGUUCAAACCUAGUUAUUUUCAAACCAAGUAUUACGCUAACUUCACCCAAGUCUUUCAUAUCAAAAUUAGCAGAUAACAAAGAUUUGACAUUAUUCACAACAUGAAUAUUCGAACCAAAAAUAAGCAAAUCAUCCACAUAUAGGCAUAUAUUACUUUCAGACUUAUAAUAGAUGCAUUUGUCACUUUCAUUUAUUUUAAAACCAUUUGAAGUAACCAAACUAUCAAAUUUUGCAUGCCAUUGUGUGGGAGCCUGUUUCAAUCCAUAAAGUGACUUAUUUAACUUGCAAACUUUAUUUUCUUUUCUUGGAAUAAUAAAACCUGUGGUUGACCCAUAUAUAUUUCUUCCUCUAAUUUACCAUUUAAGAAAGCUGUUUAACAUCCAUUUGGUGCACAACAAGAUCAUGAAUAUAAGUUAAGGCAAACAAUACACGAAUAGAUGUUAUUCUAGUCACAGGUGAACAAAUAUAAAAGAAAUCAAUCUUUUCUCUUUGUCUAUAGCCUUUGGCAAUAAGUCGGGCUUUAAAAUUUUCAACUGAUCCAUCAGGUUUUAAAUUUUUUUUAAGAAUCUAUUUGCAACCUAUUGUUUUGCAACCAGGUGGAAGAUCCACCAAGUGCCAAGUUUGAUUUGACUCCAGGGAGUCCAUUUCAUCAUUUAUAACUUCUUGCCAAAAAAUUGCAUCUAAAGAAGUUAAAGCUUCUUGAAUUGUAUUAGGAUCUUCUUGUAAGUUAUAUACAUGGAAAUCAGGGCCAAAAUCUUUAGCUAUUCGAGCUCUUUUACUUUUCCUAGGUUCUAAUGCAGAUUGACUAUGUUUUACAACAUUAGGUUCAUAAAUUUUAGAAGAAUUAGAACCCCCACUAUUUUGAAGAUUAAAAGGAAAUUUAUUCUCAUAAAAAUCAGCAUCAAGUGACUCAAUUAUGACAUGGUUUUUCAAAUCAUAACAUCUAUAUGCUUUGCUAUUACAUGCAUAACCAAUAAAAACACAUUCAUAUGCUCUACUAGCCAAUUUCGAUCUUUUUGGACCAAGUUUACGAACAUAAGCUAAACAACCCCAAGUUUUGAAAUACAAUACAUUUGUUUUCUUAUUUUUCCAAAUUUCAUAAGGAGAGAUAUUCGAUUCUGAGGUAGGAAUUCUAUUUAAUACAUAACAUAUAGUCAACACAAUUUCACCCCACCAAUAAGAAGCAGCUCCAGAACUAAGUAGCAACACUCAAUUCGCAAAGAGUUCGAUUUUUUCUUUCCGCUUUACCAUUCAUUUCAGGAGAAUAAGGAGCAGUAGUUUCAUGAAUAAUUCCAUUAGACUUAAACAAAUUAACAAAUUCAAUGGAUUCAUAUUCUUGUCAUCUAUCACUACGAAAUCUUUUAAUCUUAUGAUUAAACUGAUUUUCAACUUCAGUAAAGAAAGUUUUGAACAUGUCAAUAGCUUUACUUUUAUUUUUCAUAAGAUAGACAAAACAGUAAUUCAAACAAUCAUCAAUAAAGGUAAUAAAAUAACGUUUUCCAUUUCUAGUUAACACUCUAUCAAAUUCGCAUAUAUCAGAAUGAAUUAAGUCAAGUGGUUCAGAUUCUCUAUUGACAGAUUUAUGUGAAGUUCUAGUGAUUUUAGCUUGACUACAAUAUUCACAUUUUUCAAAAUCAGUCAACGAUAAGUUAGGUAAAAAGCCUAAGUUACUCAUGUUCUUAACCAAGAGUUUGUUAACAUGACAAAGUCUAGCAUGCCAAGUAUUAAAAGAAGACAACAUGUAAUCAGAAGUAGACAUUUUAUCAACAUUCAAUUUAAACAUUCCAUUAGUAGCAUAUCCCUUUCCCACAAAAACCCCAUUUCUAGUAAGAGUAUACGUAUUUGCUCCAAACGUUUGAGUGAAUCCAGCCUUGUUGAGAAGUAAGCCUGAGACCAAAUUCUUCCUUAUUGUUGGAGCAUGCAUCACAUCUUUCAGUAUCAUGGGUUUUCCAGAGGUGAACUUUAACUCCACCUCUCCAGUACCAGCAACAUCAGUUGAGUGCGAAUCACCCAACAACACAUUUCUUCCCUCAGCCAUAGAAUAGGUCUUGAAAAGAGAACGAUCGUAGCAAGCAUGGGGAGAAGUGCCAGUGUCCACCCACCACCCACCACCCCUCGGACUAAGUUGAUUUCUGAUAUCAUUGCAAUUAGUUGCUCUUCAACAAGAUUUGUUUGAGAAGCAAAGUUUUCCUUAUAAUGCAUGGCAGAUUGAAUUCAUCUUAAAAUUGUUGUAAACUGAAAUAGAAAGGAACGAAAUUACUCAAAAAAAAUGUAGAAGCCUUGAGUGGUGAAUGAUUCUUGGGAUGAGUCAGGGACUAAGUCACUUUCUUUAAAACAUUUUGCGGCUUUGCCCAAAGUGUGCAAGCAGUUCACAAACACCACGUCGUCCCCAGGAUAUAACAUCCCAAAACCUUCUUCUUCUGAUGAAGUUCUUCCUUGCACAGUGGAAGAACCUUCGAACUCACACUCUCUCUCAAUAUGUUGCUAACCAAAACUAUAUAUCAGAAAAUAUAUCUAUUUUUGUUCCGCAUACUUUCACUACUAAAUAUACAUUUAGACGAAAAAGACGUUGAGAGUUUGAGAAAAUUGAAAGCAGGAAUAAAACGGUCUUAGGUCCGAUUCUCGCCGAAGGCGAAUUUGAACCACUAAACCGUAGCACUAAGUGGCUCCUAACAAUGUCUCUUAACAAGUUUAGAGGUAUUUGUCUUCACUAAUAAAUGAAAAGCGUUUGAAUUUCAUGAAUGACAAGUGCAAUACAAAAUUCAAAUUAUCAUGGUUCUUCCAUUAUAUGAUUUAACCAAAGCAUACCAUCUCUUAGUGUAAAUAUAUCAUUGAACUAUCAUUGAAGUAGUUCCAACAUUCGUAUACCAUCUUAAUUAUCAAUUUACUAUUACAAAAUUUCUAUUAAUUUUUCUUUACAAACUAAAGUGUUAUUAGGCUAAGUUGUUAAAUAUUAGGAGAUGAGUAGGGAUCGACCCACCGCCAAAGUACAUAUAUAGGUAUUACUGUUUUCUGCUACUAUGAUAAAGUGUAAUAUACUUCUAUAUAUUAAAAGAAAAUUCACUGAUACAUUUCCACAUGUAAACAUUCAACAUUGGACAUAUAUAAUAUUUUUCCCUACUUCUUUGGAAAUUUAAUUUUCCAAUGCAAUAGGCAAAUAGGGAAACAAAGACAAUCCCAACUGGGAAAGCAAUGAGAACAAGAGCCACAAGGCCUAAACAAUCAUGGUGGAAACCAUAAUAAUCUUGUAGGAUUAUUUUCUAUUUAAAAAACGUAUGUGAACAUACACAUUAUUUUCUAUUAUAAUAUGUGUAAGUUUAUGAAGGGAAAUAUUCACUAAAAUGAUCAAAAAUCAAAUUCUGAUGCCAAAACAAAAUCAAAUAUUGUCAUACUGAAAAACUAAUCAUUUCAACAAAUGAGAUUCAAAUAUUUGAUUAUUUUGGCCAAUUUUCCUGUAUUGAUACCCUAACCUAAAGUAUAAAUUACUUGCACAUCCAAAUUAUAACACAUGAAUUAACAACACUCCGUCAAUUAGACUUGUGUUACAUGUAUUUACACGGUUAUUGUCAUUCCAAGUGCUCAAAUGCUAAUGGAGUUACACAAAACCAUCAAAUAUUAGAAAAGAUUGGAUUCAAGAUAUACUAAGUAUAAUGUACAGAAUGUUGCAUAUAAAGUACCAGAAAACUUUAGUAGGUGACCAAGAGAACCCUAUUGCAGGAUAUGCAACGGCUACAUACAAAACUUGUAACAUUGUAUAAUGUAUUUUAAUGGCAACAUGCAACAUUUAACACUUUACACUAUAUUUGGAUGAGGAAGUUUAAGAUUGCUAAGGAAAUUUAAAGUAACGGAAAUUGAAAUGAUGGAAUUUUAUUUUAUAGAAUAUGUGAAUUUUCUUGUUUGGUUGAGGAAAAUAAACUUGGAAUUUAGAUAAAAGUCAGAAUUUGUAAAUUGACAUGCACCAGUUUCCUUGUUUGGAUUCAUAAACAUAUAUAGGAAUUUAGAAUUUUCGGGUGAAAAAAAAACUUGGAAUUUGGGACCUCCAAUUCCCAAGUUUAAAUUCCAUGUAAAUAUGUAUCAUUUCCCAAUUUCUAUGAUUGAGUGCUUAAAAAUAACAAAUUCCGUAAUCAAUUCCAUUUAUUUUUAGGUUAACCAAACAAGAGAAUUCACAAAUUCUAGAAAAUAAAAUCCUGUCAAUUCAAUUUCCGUCAUUUUAAAAUUCCUUAGUAAUCUUAAAUUUCUUCAUCCAAACAUAGUGUUAAGAACAAUGGAAUUUGAAAUGAAAUUUGUUAUUUUAAACCCUCAUUCAUGAAAAUUCAGAAAUGACACCAAUUUACAUAGAAUUUAAAAUGGGAAUUAGAUGUCCCAAAUUCCAAGUUUUUUUCUCAUGCAGAAAUUCUAAAUUUCUAUGUUUAUGAAUCCAAACAAGAGAAUUGGUACAUGUUAAUUUUUAAAUUCCAGCUUUUAUCAAAAUUCCAAGUUUAUUUCCCUCAUCCAAACAUAGUGUUAGUUUAAAACUGUGAAGAUUUUGAUUUAUCGAUUACAAACUAAAUAAGUACUUGAAUUCUUAGGCACUUCAACGUAUGAACUUGUGCAAAUGAACAAGGUCGGCCCUGAGAUUUUGAAGGCCCGAGCUAAGCUACCAAAUAGGAGCCCUUUAAUUCUUAGGCACUCCAAUUGGUUGUAGGUUCAUAUACAUUUUAUUUUUAUAGUAAAUACUCAUUAAUUUAUUAUUAUAUCGUACUCUUAUUUAAUUAAUAAUCAACAAUAUGCUAAAGUUUUAAGAAGGUGUUUGGACCCAAAAUUACAUCAUCGGCCCGUGCAAUCAAGGCCGUUGAGUAGGCAUAGCUCUCAAUCGUCGGAUAAAAAAGCAGAGAUAAUUUUGUUAUUAAAGGAUAAUAUUAUGGUUUUUAUCAUAAUUAUCUUUUAAUGAUUUAUCUCGACAUCUUCUUAUGAAAGAGGGAAAAUAUAUCUCCAAGCUGGAAACACGCAGCACAAUUCAAAGCGAUUUGGAUGUUUGGCGUGUGGAUGUGGUUUGGAUCGGUUUUAGUUGACAAAUAUGCAUGCAUGUGAUAAGGGUGAAGUAAAAAUGGUGAUAUGCUUUGAAAAUGAGUCUACAUGUGUUGGUGAUAAGAUGGCAGCAACUGCCUUGCUGACAAUUAACAUUGGGUAUUUUAUGCUAAAUCAUGCAUAUUGGUAUAUGCUUUUGUAUUGUGGGCCAGCAUAUGUUUUUUUUUUAUGGAGCCAAAUUCAUUUAACAAUGGAUAUUUGGAACAAUAAGAAGUUUAAGUAGGCAUAGGCCUUUGAGAGUUUGAGUUUCAGUUGGUUUCUACGAAAUCAUCAAGGCCACGCCAAGCGGGAUCAUGCAUAUUUGAAAGAGAAUAUUCCUAUUAUUUUGCAACUUACGACGGCAAUCUUACGGUUAUAGAGGCAAUGACAACAUAAAGGUGGUAUUUCGAAUUCAACACACAAACUGCCAUGCACAAACUCUUGCUCUACGCGAAACCUCUUAACAACCUUGAGAUUUUUAUUUUCCUUUUUCGCCAACACAUCUUCAGUUUGGAUAAAUAGCACUAUGAAGGCAACCGGUGAACAUCUUCACUUUGGAUAAACAAUACUAUAACCGUAGAACCAUUCGACCAUGAAGCACCUUUAGUUUGGAUAAACAACAUUGCUCCGAGACCGAUUGAUUACCUAUCCAAGUCUCGGUCAAGAAGAAUUUUCAAGUCCUUACUAGUAGAGAUCAUCUCAUCAGCCUUCUCGACGAAGUGAGGUGUUACCAGGUUACUACAUUCGGCACCCUGAGAGCCCAAUUUGAUAUUGAACUUCGUAGAACUAAUAGCCUUGUCUUCAGGUUCUAGAACCUGAAGGUCGAGACGUGUUCAUUUCUCGACCGCAGUCGUGAGAUUCAGAAGUCAAUAGUGCGCCCAAUGCAACAUCAACUCAUUUUACUUACCGGUCAAGCUCGACCGUCGAGUUGGCAUGCCCCACACACAACCGAAGGACAUAGUUAGCUUUUUAAUUACUCGGCUUGUGCGCCACGUAUACUUGAUAGUUUUUAAGAUCAACAGAAGGUAAAGAGCAAUAAAAACUGAUUAACGAAUUUAACAAAUUUAAUAGCGCCAAUUGAUCCUCUUGUAUUCUUCUUGAAAUCAAUUUCACAAUAACGAAUAUUAGAAUCAUGAGAUGAUUGAUAAUAAAUUAUUGAAACAGAGAAGAUAUAGCAAAUAAGAUAAGGUAGCUGGCAUUUGAUAGCGAUUUUGCUUGUAAAACUACACUUUUUGUCCAUCCAGAAGAAACCCAUUCUUCUGUUACAUGGCUUAACCGUGACCACACAAAACAGGAGAGCACGGGAAGGGCACCAGAAGUGGAGGGCAAACAAUCCUUGUCCGUGCUUUGUCCAUCGAGAAUAAGAAAUUGUAGGGACUAGGGGCCCAUUGCUCUUUUGAGAUGCAAGUUAAGGGACCUAACAAAGGGAAGUAAAAAGCAUUGGUAGGACAAAACAAGCCGUUUUAGGAAAACAACUUGGGGGAAGAUUCUCUCAUUUCCUAAUCUCUCUCCCAUUUUCUCUCCUUCUAUUUGAACGGUUACGGUUUAGCUACGUCAAUAUCUUAUAUAUAUAUUUUUAGAGACGAUAAGACAAAAAAUAAUAUGUGGGAGAAGGGAAAAGAAGGGGAUGAGAAUAGGAGGGGAGAUAAUUCUCUUCCAAACAACUUGCCUAUACAAUUCGGAUUCUAAGACGGUGGUAUCCCAAACGAAUCUCAUCCGACUAUGUGUUUAAACAUUGCACAUGACACCACGUGAUUGUUAAAACAUUGUCACCGUAGUGUAUUGUACAUAUACAUGAUUGUUUUGAAGUAACAUCAUCAUUGUGACAUAUUCAUGACGUAUGCUUAUCUCGCCGACUAGAGUUUCAGAUUCCUAACCAGGCGGGCAUAAACGUGCUUACAGCCUAAAAGGCCUUAACCUCAUAGAUCUGAAAACACAUUUCUGUCGGAGAAAUUGUCAAGAAUAAGAUACGAACUAGAGUUUACUCCGGGCAAGAUACCUGAGAUUUUUAGCCGUUAAAGUCAUUGAAUUCUUGACCAAUGAUCUAACAGCUAAGUUCACAUUGUAUAACCGAGGCACACUACAGAACGUAGAAAAAAAUAAUGGGGAUUAAAACGCUUCAUUGGGUAGAGGGAUAAGUGACAAAACAAUGAGAAAAAACACAUCAAUUGUAUUAGAAAUGCAACUUGCCAAUGUGCACAACAACAAAUGAACAUAGUUGCUACUCCACCGCAAAACCACCUCUGUGUCUGUCAAAUCUUAUUAAUCUCUGCGAGCAGAGGUAGCAAAACAACCUUGAAAAAAAACCCCCCACAACUUUCCAUAUGUUUUUUUUGACACCCCCGUUAACCCCUCAUAAUCAUAAACUACUAAUGACACAUUCUUCAAAGAACACGAAAAUAUAAAAAUACUAAUAAAAGAAAACCCAAAUGGCGCAAUGCCUGUAUAGAGAGAGAGAGAGAGAGCGAGAGCAGCAGAGGCUUAAUUCAAUUCAAUGUUUUGAUUCGAAGGGGUGAAGACUGAAGAGCCGCCAUUAAAGCUUUAAGCUUGGGGCUUGUCCCACUUGAGUGGCUUGACAACCUCCCAGGUGAAGUCGGGGUCAUCCCUCCCGAAGUGUCCGUAGGCGGCGGUCUUCAAAAACCUUCCAUUGCCACCCCUCUUGAG
RNAcentral lists this long non-coding RNA (100903 nucleotides) under Malus domestica (apple). Its description in RNAcentral is "long non-coding RNA (MDOM_LNC011918)". The record is from RNAcentral. Lineage: Eukaryota; Viridiplantae; Streptophyta; Magnoliopsida; Rosales; Rosaceae.